CUUGGUUGAGCUAGUUCCUGUUGAUCGGCUCUGGUCUCCUGUCUCUGGAGCGAGACCUAUUGAACGGCCGAUUGUUACAAUAUGGGCCGUUGCACUCUGGGCAGUUAUCGGCCGACGGUAACCUGAGGUUGCUUUCCCAACAGUGGAUGAAGAACGGGCAUCUCCAGUGAUCUUCAUGUCGCCGCAUCGCUUCUUUCCGGGAUCUUGAGCGCUCAUGUUGCCGCUGAUAUUUGUGGAGCAGGUAUUGGGAAGUGAUGCGUGGCUCACCUGAUCCGCCAUCGUCGUCUUCCAUCCGCCGCUUCCCCUUGAUGUCUUCAGGCACCGCUUGAUUUCUGGGAUCUAUGGCACCACUCUUUUUAGCCGAUUCGGACGUUAGCACCCUUGUUUGGAGCGGAUUUUUUCCCGUGUCAACCAUGUUGGUGGGGAAGGGGUGCUGGUCGAUCUUCAUUGGCUUGGCUGGUUUUGUUGAUACUUCAAAUUUAAGUCUGCCCUGCUCAAUAGCCGUUUGUAUCUGUUGCCGGAAGAUUUUGCACUCGUUAGUGUCAUGGGAUGUAGCGUUGUGCCAUUUGCAAUAUUUCAUCUUCUUCAGCUGUUCGGCAGAAGGUAUUGUAUGGUAUGGUGAGAGCUGAAUUUGUCCUUCCUGGAGUAGGAGGUCGAAGAUUUUAUCGGCCUUCGACGUGUCAAAGCCGAACGUUUCUGGCUCCUUCUUGCCGAACGGGCAUGAUAUCGACUUCUUUCCCUUAACCCAUUCCGCAAGACCGACCUCUGCAUCUUCCUCGGCUUCAACCUCUUCUAGGAAUGCCACCUUCUUCUGGAAGUUCCUUCGUGGAUCAAAAGAACGUACCUCUUGACCGGACAAUCGGUGGACGAUCUGGCUCAAGCUUUCAAACUCCUGUGAGGCGUAUUUUUCCUUGAUGUGAGGCAGGAGACCUUGAAAGGCUAUAUCGGCCAGCUGCGCACCAGUUAGAGCCAGAGAAUAGCAUUUGUUCCUAAUUUCCCGAAACCUCUGCACAUAUGAGGAUAUCGGCUCGUCGCUUCUCUGCCUGAGGCUGGUUAAAUCAGACAGCUUCAUCUCGUACACCCCGGCGUAGAAGUAUUUAUGAAACUGCCUCUCCAAAUCGGCCCAUGUAAUAAUCGAGUUGGGUGGUAAUGUCGUGAACCACUGGAAGGCCGACCCAGACAAGGAUGAUGAGAAUAGCCGCACCCGUAGAGCGUCUUGCGCCGCUGCUUCUCCGCAUUGGAUGAUGAACCUGUUCACGUGUUCCACGGUUGAAGUGUCAUCCAUCCCCGAGAACUUGGUGAAGUCAGGAACUUUAUACCGAUGGGGAAACGACAGUAGGUCGUACGUAGACGGGUACGGUGUCCUGUAAGUGUAAGUCUGUACCUUCGGCUUCAAGCCGAAUUGUUCCUGAAUCACUUCUGCUAUACGUGCCGACCAGUCCGGCUGUUGCUGGUAAACUAUUGGCUGAGGGAUUGGCACGUGCUGGUAUAUCGGAGGCGGGAUGGCCUGAUGCUGAGUGAAAGUAUGUGGCAUCUGAUGUGUUAUAGCCGGUUGUGUAUUCAGGGUCGGCUGUUUGAAUGAGCCACUCGUUUCAUUGUAUAGUGCGAGUUCUGCUGCUUUGCUCAUCUCUGGUGCGAUAGGCUGGUACGGCGGCAUAGUUGGUCGAGUGGUUGCCUGGAAAGACGCCUGGAAUUGGGGACUUCCCUGACUGGCCGAUUGACCCUGAACGGCCGUAGCUGAUGGCGCCCCCCAAGACGCUGGAUUAACCGGAGGGAACUGCGCAGUGGAUAACUGAACGGGAUGUGGCUGGAGGUGUUGUGUGCCCGUAUACCCCAUAGAAAUCGAUGAUGAGGAAGCGCCUGAACCCCCAACUGGAAAUUGGAUCGGCUGAGAAGCCGAAUUCAGAUAACUCUUGUUUGGUGGAAUCGGCGGAGCAUAUGCCGGACCCUUGUACCCUUGAGAUACCCCGCUAGCCAAGGAGCUAAUGACGGCAUUGUACACUGUAUUCGCAAGCACCGAGGAUUGAUUGACGAAGGCUUGAUAAACGGACUGCUGGACCAUCUCGAACAUUUUGUCCGAGUCCUCGGUGAUUGUGAUCUGGCGGGGAGUUGGAAACGGAUUCUUUUUGAUAGUUUCCCCGCUUCUGGUGCGACUGAAGGACUGUAGGCAAGCCUUCCGGUAGUAUGCCGUCUGCCUCUCUAGUUCUUCCUUCUGAUCAUCCUGGAGAUCUGCUUCCGUCACUCCGAUGACGUUCUCUUCGGAGACUUCAGCAGCUUUCGACAUGGUGGCAGUUGUGUGGGUCCCACCGAGCGUGCCAAAAGUGUGUUGGCGCUAGAAAUCGGUCAAUCGAAUCUCCAACGUCUGACACACGACCCGGGAGAAUCUGCUUAGCUCCUGUUUGGGUGAUCGCCCUGGUGCGGUUCGCGCGGCGUGCCAGCCAAUCUGACCUGUUGAUUGGCAAGGAAAUAGUCGUGUUAAUUCCCAGGGUUUGCGAUCGGCUAAGGUUCCGAUCUCAAGAAAGCUUAUCAGCGAAUCGGCCGAUUUGCAGUAAUAAAGGAAUCGGCUAUGAUGCAACCGAUUACUGUAGCAGCGUAAACGGAAACUACGGGAGUAGUUAACACAACACUACAGUAACAACACCAGGAAUAGAUCUGAUCGGCUAUGUAUGAAAUAGGUAGAUUAAACAGCGAAGUAUAAAGAAAGCCGAUGUUGCCGAUUCCUAGCUGGAUAACUGAUGAUAAAACUAGAAUACAAGGUAAAACCUAUAAUUCUAGUAAAUAUUGAUAACUGGUGAAUAAAUUUAAACGAAACGACAUCGAUGCGCCCGAAGUUAAAGCCUAGAAUUUACUCGAUAAACGGAACUUACAAGAUCGGCCGGAGGUCAAGUUGAUGCAGCCCCGCCAACCUGUAUGAACUCGUGAAAAAGAAGAAAAGUAUUGGUGAAGUCGCCUGCUUGAAAGUAAGUACGAAGAAAUAGUAGUUUGUUGUAUUGAGUAGUUGAUUGAUUACAGAUCUACAAAGAUAGCUAUUUAUAGCCCCGUACAGAUGACUCCUUAUCUGACUAGAACUCUAUCCCUAAUUCAAAUAGAAAACGAAUAUUUACGAGUACGAUUCGUACUAGGUUGGUUAUUAUAUGCUUCACGGGCUGAUCUCCCCUUCAUCCUUCUAUUCCUUUCCAAGCCCAUACCGGCCCAAUUAUUCCAACCUCCCAAUCGACCGAUUCCUCAUUGGCAAAGGGUAACCGAUAAGGAACCUGGCGUGUCCGAUCCGAACCCCAAGGGUUAAGCGAAGCAGAAGUCAUCGGCUGAUCUUGGACUAUAGCGCCAACCAACCAAUCUCGAACUGUAGCGCCAUUCGGCCAAUUUCCACCUGUACUUUCCCAUUUCCUCUUCUCCUGGCGCCGAUUUCACUUGUGACGAAAUCUGGCGUCAACACCUUCAUACUCCGAAACUAGGGGGUCUAUGUUAACACCAAAAUUUAGAAAUGUGCUCUGAAAGGAAGGUAUCGGUCGAUGAUGCAAAAAAAUAAUGAAAUCUCCUAAAUAAGGCUCAAGAAAGAAAAAGCAAGAAAAGGAAAUCAACGCACGCGGCAAGAAUUGAAUAAAAUAUUCUGGAGAUAGAGUUGGUUAGGAUAAGCUUGAUUAGAGAUAGAGUUGGAUUAGUUAGAGAUAGUAUUUUGAUUAGAAAAGAUUGUGUACAUGACUUGCCUUGUACGUGGUGCGUCAGAGGCCAUCCGCCCUAUAAAUAUAAGGGGUCAUGGCCAUUGUAAUUAUCAUCACACGAUCAAUAUACAACAUAUUUAUCUUUUACCUUUUCGGCUUCACGCCAUUGCAUUAGGAGUAGGAGUAAUGUAGCUUCUCGACGAGUUCCUUCUAGCAAGCUGGGCUGCAUCGACCUUGAUCUCCGGCGAGCUGCAAAGUUUUGUCACCUGGUGUUCUAGGCUUUAACCACCGGGCGCAUCGCUGUGGUUUCGUCUAGUUUCAUCUACUAGGUAUCGAAUAUCAUGGAUCUUUGACUUACGCAUCGCUUCUGUCUUGAUCUACGGUAUUCACCAGUUAUCCUGCCUUGAUUAAGUCUGCAUCGGCUGAUAUUUAUCUGUUCUAUCAUCUUGCCGUUCAGUUUGCUUUAAUUAGCUUUAGAUCAGUUCAUUAUAGAUGACAGAUCGCUUAAUAGCCUGUUGCAUCUUAAUCUUGGUUACCCCUUCAAGUGCUGUUGGGAUUAAGUUUCGUUAUGAUUGGAUUCAUCGGCUGGUGGGGUUCAGAUUAACAUCCUGCUAAAUAUUUCUAGACUGCAACUACUGGACGCAUCGCUGUGGUUUCAUCUAGAGAUAUUGGUAGAGAGUUUAGUUUAGAUCUCAUCGGUUCGUGGCUCUAGCUAUGGUGGAGCGGCAGCUGAAUAGCAUCCUGUUUUCUAUCGGUCGCCUGGCCGAUGGUUAUUGCAAAAUAUAUUAAAUCGGCUGCUCACGCUCGUCAAGGAUCAUAUCGGCCUGAUCGGCCAGUUACCUCGGACUUCAAAGGAUUAUUUUCACCUUGUCAGUUGAAUGGUCAAACUGGCUGGAGUUAAGUAGAUCUCCCAGGUCCUCAUGUGGUGACGAAGGAUCCACCACCGUCAGAAUUUUACGUCAACAGAUUUUAGCACGCCCAGUGGGACACGGUUAUAAGGUUCAUAUUUUUAUUCAUAUAAAAAAGCAUCUUCGGCAGCUGUAUCAAAUUCAUCGGCCAAAUGAGUGUUCAUCGGCUUGUUAGAAUUAAUUCAAUAUAAUAUUUCAGCAAAAGCAGCCGAUGUAGUGAUUGGAGAUAAGGCCAAGUCAAGUCUGCGUGUAUACGCAUGUUCCGGUGGGAUCAUCUUCAUAAAUGCCAAUGACGAUUAGAGAUGAAGCUUCCUGCAAAAUGAUUGGCUACUCUAUCCGGGAAGAAUUGCUUUUUUAUGAGGCAUAUAUAGAGACCCAUGUUGCAAUUAGGGGGCGUAUUCGUGCAUCGGAAGAAAUAAAAAAUACAUCGGCAUAUUGAAAAUUGCAUCGGCCGAUUGACAGUCGUAUCAGCUGAUUGGAAAAAUAAAAAGGGAUCAGGGAUCGGCCGAUUGGAAAUUGCAUCAGCUGAUGGAAAAUGAGAUCAGCCGAUUGGAGUUGUAUCGGCUGAUUAAGAAAAAAACAGCGGCCGAUCGUAGAGAAAGGCAUCGGCCAAUUAGCAUCAGUAAGUUGGAAUUAAAAAAAAGAAGAGAGAGAAAGGCAUCCGCGGAUUAGCAUCGGCCCAUUGGAAAUAAAAAAAAAGAAGAGAAGAAGACCAGCCGAUAGGAGAUCACAGCCGAUGGGCAAGAAAGAAAUAAAAAAAAAGAGAAGAAGACCGGCCGAUAGAAACUUCAGCUGAUGGGCAAAGGGAUAUAUGAAAGAAGAAAUAAAAAAGUUACGUCGUCCGAUUAAAAAUUGCAUCAGCCCAUAAUGCUAUUUCUUAUAUUUCAGCCGAUGGAGCUCUUGUCUCAGCCCAUAAUGCUAUUUCAUAUAUUUCAGUCGUAGUUUUUUGUCUCAGCCGAUGGCGUUGCUUGCUAUAUUUUGGCCGAUGGAGUAAGAGGAACAGUUACAAUAUUUUUUUUAAAAGAAAGCAAGUAUCGGCAAGCAGUAGCCGAUGGAUUUGUAUUUCAGCCAAUGAGGUUUUUGUUUCAGCUGAUAGUACUGCUGGCUGAUGGCAAGUCCGAUGGAGUUAAAAUUGCAUCGACUGAUUGAAAUAAAAAUUAAGUAUCCGCUAAUUUAUGGCCAAGUAGCAUCUGCUGAUUUGUUGCAAAGUAGUUUCGGCUGAUUUAUGGCAAAAUAGAAUCGGCCGAUUUAUUGCUUAAAAUUAAGUAUCGGCUGAUUUAUGGCAAAGUAGCAUCAGCUGAUUUGUUAAAAAGUAGUUUCGGCUGAUUUAUGGCAAAAUAGAAUCGGCCGAUUUAUGGCAAAGAAGCCAAUAGACAAAAGCAUCGGCUGGUAGAGAAGCCGAUUGAGCAAGCAUCUGUUGAUGAGCUAUGUAUGGGAAAAAGUAUUGGCUGCUUAAACAAUUGACAAAAGCCAAUUGGUCAGACUAAGAAGCCAACUGGGAAAGCAUCGAUCGAUGGAUUGCGUAUGGGAGAGAGUAUCGGAUGAAGUCUUUAGUAUUGACUGCUAGAUAUUUGAGCAAGCGUCGGCCGAUUGCCUGCUUGGUAAAAAAAACAUCGGCCGAUUGCUUGGUUAAUAAAAAAAUUGCAUCGUUCAAGCAAAGAUUGCAUCGGCUGAUUGGUUCAAGCAGAAUAGUAUCGGCUGCUUAUAGAAUAUAUCGGAUAUUAAUUUCGAAGCAUGAAAAUAUUCAUACUCCGAAACUGGAGGGCCUGUGUUGACAAUAAAAGCUUGCUGGUUACUGCACCAAGUUUUGGUGUCAACAUACUUGAUCAUUUGUUUCCAUUGCCAGCGGAUUCAUCGGCUCAGAGUGGGAUCAAGACAUUAAGCUGAUGGAGUUCUUUAUAUUUCAAGAGGAGUCAUGGAGUUCUUUAUAUUUCAAGAGGAGUCGAUGGUGCUUUGUAUAUUGCAACCAGCUGAUGGAGUUCUUUAUAUUUCAAGAGGAGUCAUGGAGUUCUUUAUAUUUCAAGAGGAGUCGAUGGUGCUUUGUAUAUUGCAACCAGACGUCAUUGGCUCUAAAGAUACCGAAUCACCGGACUUCUAUGAUCAGUUUCGGAACAUGAAGCCUUCAUACUACGAAACUGGGGGCCUAUGUUGACACCGAAUCAUCGGACUUCUAUAAUUAGUUUUGGAACAUGAAGCCUUCAUACUUCAAAACUGGGGGGCCUGUGUUAACACCAAAAUUUAGAAAUGUGCUCUGAAAGGAAGGUAUCGACCGAUGAUGCAAAAAAAUAAUGAAAUCUACUAAAUAAGACUCAAGAAAGAAAAGCAAGAAAAGGAAAUCAACGCACACGGCAAGAAUUGAAUAAAAUAUUCUGGAGAUAGAGUUGGUUAGGAUAAGCUUGAUUAGAGAUAGAGUUGGAUUAGUUAGAGAUAGUAUUUUGAUUAGAAAAGAUUGUGUACAUGACUUGCCUUGUACGUGGUGCGUCAGAGGCCAUCCGCCCUAUAAAUAUAAGGGUCGUGGCCAUUGUAAUUAUCAUCACACCAUCAAUAUACAACAUAUUUAUCUUUUACCUUUUCGGCUUCACGCCAUUGCAUUAGGAGUAGGAGUAAUGUAGCUUCUCGACGAGUUCCUUCUAGCAAGCUGGGCUGCAUCGACUUCGAUCUUCGGUGAGCUGCAAGUUCCGUCACCAGGUGUUCUAGGCUUUAACCACCGGGCGCAUCGCUAUGGUUUCGUCUAGUUUCUUCUACCAGUUACCGAGUAUCUUGGAUCUUUGACUUACGGCGCAUCGCUUCUAUCUCGAUCUACGGUAUUCACCAGUUAUUCCGCCUUGAUUAAGCUUGCAUCGGCUGAUAUGUAUCUGUUCUUUCGUCUUGCCGUUCAAUUUGCUUUAGUUAGCUUUAGAUCGGUUCAUCAUAGACAAUAGAUCAUUUAAUAGCAUGUUGCAUCUUGAUCUUAGCUAUCCUUCGAGUGUUGUUGGGAGUAUGUUCCGUUGUGAUUGGAUCCAUCGGCUAGCAGGGUUUAGAUUAACGUCUUGCUAAAUAUUUCUAGACUGCAACUACCGGGCACAUUGUUGUGGUUUCACCUAGAGAUAUUGGUGGUGACGUUAGUUUAGAUCUCAUCGGCUUGUGGCUCUAGCUAUGGCAGGGCAACAACUCAACAUCAUCCUGUUUUCAAUCGACCGUCUAACUGAUAGUUAUUGUAAAUUAUAUUAAAUCGGCUGGAUGGCCGAUGAAUCACUCACAUUCAUCAAGGUACUGGAAUCGGCUUCACAGCCGAUAUAUUUGUCAUGAUUUAUUUUGUUGCACCAUUAUCGCUACUGUGCUAGGAUUAUAUCGGCCUAAUCGGCCGGUUUCCUCGGACUUCACAACGACUAUCAUCUCCUUGUCAGUUGAAUGGUCAAACUGACUGGCAUGCCCGCGCACACCACACGUGCCGAUUUGGAUUCUGCACUAGAGUUAAGCAGAUCUCCCAGGUUCUCAUGUGCUGAUGCAGGGUCCACCACCGCCAGGAUUUUGUGUCAACACCUUGUAAUCUUCCUUUGAUUUCCUCAAUGAUUCGAAGACAAUAACCUUGCUUCUAUCAAUGAUAAUUAUAAGGAGAACCUAGUGGAAACUGUGUAUUCAUAUUAGAACUACCUAUGGUUAAUUAGGUUAGGAAAGGAAAUCGAAAAUAGACCGUACCCACACUUACUUAAAGUUGUUGGGCAGUAGUAUGUAAUGCUUGUAAUUCUGUUACUCCAAGAAUUUGUAUAUGUAGUCCAAUGUAGACUUUGGUUGAUCCCAUAUUUGUUGUUGGUUAAAUAAGUGUUUCUAGCCAUUUCUAGCCGUUAGAACCGGAACUAAAGGGGGCUCUUUAGUACGGGUUGAUAUUACUAAUCGGGACUAAAGAGCCCCCAUUACAGUUGGUUUUUGGACGCGGAACUAACAACUCCUUUAGUCCCGAGUCCAAAAACGACUGAGAUAGAAGGUCCUUUAUCUACCGUGAAUAUUGCCAGAAAGAAUUGAAAGAGACCGCUUGCUAAAAAUAUGUCAUAGAUGCAGACCAAGCUACCAAGGAGGUAGACCAAACAUGAUACACACCAUGCGUACCUUGCUGUGCAGACUAUGCAUGGACAAGAUACCCGACCACAUGUUGGCCUCGAUCACAUCAAAAGAAUCAUGUAGGCCACCAAUAAACUACUUGAAGCGUCAUUCCGUAUCGUAUAUGCAUUGCCGGGUUCAUCUGCAUUACAUUACAUAAAGUAGUAUUAACUAUUUGAAUAAAAUGAAGCAAUUUAAAAGUAAUGUGUUGUACUCUACUAUAGAAAGCCCUAUCACUGUCGGAUCCAGAAACAUCAUUGUUGAUGGUUGUUAAGUACCAAGACGGUCAAUAUUCUCAAGAAUAAUGGAGAAUUGGCAUUUCUUACACACAUAUUUGGUUUUGAACAAUGUAGUUCCACAUGUCCUUGGAGAUUAUUUGGGUGUGGGUGAAAUGAUACAAAAAGAAGGAGAAAACACACUCCCAUGGCGAAGAAACACAACUCCGACCAAUGAGAGAUAGCCACAGGGGCAGCACACGGAUCCAUGGGCCCACAAUCCGCAUCAAACUGUCUUACCAAGGCGGGUAGCACCCACAACCAUGAUUAGGACCCACCUGGAUGUCUACCAAGAAGAAGGUUGUGAGUGGGGCCAGGAGGGGUUCGGCUGAAUCAUCUCUAGCUCCCCUCAUCCCCAGCUGGUGCGUGGCGGUGGUUGAUGGUGUCCCUACAUCGGUUAAAGGAGAUUCCCCCAAAUAUUCCUCUUGUAAACCACCUGUAUGGACCUAUACAUAGAGGGGUGUGCUCUCCAGUCCAACACACACCACAAGUUUAAUCACUCUCUCCCUCUUUAGUUUCCAUGUUUAUGGAGUUAGGCUAGAGUAGCUCUGCUCAAGGUUCCAAGUCCACUUGGAGUUAAGCAUAUGUCUCUUGUAUCGUUAUUUCCUAGAUUGACUUUAUGCUUAGUUCUUAUAUGCAUGAGUUAGUCUAAUAGCCUUGCUCUAUUGAUAUGCUCGGCUUAUAUGCUCAUAUGCUAGUCAUAUACCCUUGCUGCCGUAGUAUAGGCUUAUAUGCUCUCAUGUGUGCCUUUAGACCUUGCUACAGUAUAUACUUGUUGUGUAUACAUACCAUGUAUAGGCUAGUCGAUCUUUACCAUGGCAUUGGUUCAAUAGCCAUGUUUUUGGUGGCUCCAACCCUAGUCACAAUAGCUCGGGACAGCUGGAGUGUUGUUAAAAAUGCAAGAGUGAUGGUUGGGUUGUUUAGCAUCGUUGGAUAUGGGUUUUCCCCACGGGUUUCUAAGAGUAGGCGGCAGCUAGUGACAGCCCUGUCCGUCCUUCGUAAUCCCCCCCACAUUCAAGUACGCCAUAGAAAUUCAUAAAUUAGCAGUAACUACACCGGCAGACCGGCAGGAUAUUGUCUCCCUAUAGUACCUUGGUGCAUAGAACUAGGUCAUAUACACUGUGUGUCUAUGUUUACGCUGAUAUGAUCUGUGCAGUAUAUAGGAUGUAUAUAUGAACCUAGAGCUAACUCCUAGUCCAUUCUCCGUAGCUUAGUUAUCUUGAGAUGAUUCUUCUGUGUGUGUAACACUACCCAUCUUAUCAUUAUCCUUAAUCCUAUCUUGUGUAAUAUAUCUACUCAUCCUAUGAUAUACUCAUAUGCAUAGUAAACUAUUUUGACCUACCUGCCUUCUUUUGGGAAAUACGAUACCCUGGAAUAAUCCUAGGUGAAAUGCUACAACGGUAUAUCCAUGUGCUUGCGGAAUUAUUCAUGACCAUUAAAUAUACCAACAAUGAUCACUGUCGGUUUUGGGCAUCGUUAGUGAAGCGUCGGCAGUGAUGGGCAUCCCCUUCACCAAUGGAGCUGGAACCGGCGGUGAUGGCCAUUAAAAAAAAUGGGACCCCACCCAGCGUACCCUGCGACCCGGCCGGCCGCGCCUCCCAUCAUCCCCGCCGGCCGCCCUUCCUCUUUGCUGGCCGAGCAUGGUUCCGGCCCUCAUCCCUACCGCCUCGCCUCCAUCGCGACCCCCUGCCGAUGUCCUCAUGCCUGGCCCCCCUCGUCUGGCCGGCCACCCUCCCGAUGCAUCCACCGGGGCCCUCGCACCACCAACCACCCUAGCCGAGAGAGAGAGAGAGGAGGGAGGUGAGGCCACACACCUCGUCCUACAACGCCGCUGUUGCUCCUCGGCCCACCGCGCCUCACCCCACACCACAGCCACGCCUCGCCAUCUUACCGGCCGCGACGCCCCAUCUCACCGGCCACCGUUCCUCAACCCCACAUCGGUCAUUGCUGCUCCUUUCCCUACUGCUGCUCUUUGCCGCCGCGAAUGAGGGGCGAGUGGAGGGGGAGGGGCGGGGCAGGAGGAGGGCAAGAUCCGGGAGGAAGGGAGAGAUUUUGGGAGGUGGAGAUGGAAGGAUAUGGCGGAAGGUAGAGAUCCAGAGGGAGAGAGCGGGGGAGAGAGGGGGGCAUGUGGGGAGAGAGCGCAUGUGGGGUGGGGCCGGGCUGGUGGGAUGGAAGGUAGAGGGGCCGGAGGGCGCAGUGCAUUCAACUGGAUUAAGUAAAUAUUUCGGAUUCGAGACCCCAGCUUUAUUAUCACCGCUGGUCCGUAGUACCAUUCGGUGCUGGCUCAUAAUUUAAUUUGAACCGGUGGUGAUGUUUUAUUAUCACUGCUGGUUUCAAUUUUCACCAUCGGAUCAUAUAAAAAUCCGGCGGUUAAAAAUCCGCUGGUUUCGAUGAAAACCGACAGUGAUAGGACGACUGUGAUAGUCUCUUCUCUAGUAGUAGUAUAUUAGUACCGGCUGCCGGAUGGUGUUGCCGACGAGUACUUCUCCAGGGGCGAUUCAGUACUGAUGUUAGCAAAGCAUGUUCUCUAUGAAUUUGGGGGAUGGAAAGCUAGUUCUCUAGUUGUGAUUUGUUACAUAUAUCUCUAUGAUAGUCUAGAAAUUGCAUGUCCUUCGUUGACAUAGUUGAAGCUGCUUCAAGAAUUUACUUCGUGCAGUCGUGCAGCAUAUUGGAUUAUCACCUAGACAGGAUACAUAGGUGAAGCAUUGGAUGUGAUUGUGGCUGAUAAUUAUGCAGGACGCUGUUGCAAUCAACCAUCAAGAAGACUGGAGCGAUGGGGUUGCCUCAUCAACAAUUUUUAUAUAUGGCUGCAGUAUUAUUAAGCCCACGUCAAUAAUUUUUUCUCCGCAGCAUAUAUAUGGUUACUCAGUUCGCUGGAGUAUCGCUGUGGAAAAACAUACGUACUGCGCCUCGGAACUAACUGGCAUUCAGGCCAUCAACGACCAGAUAUUUGGGACAACAAACAAAUAGUAGGUGGUUCCUAAGUUGUAGUCGUAUGUACUAAUGCGCCUCGAUGGGGUUUUCUUCAGAUAUUUUAUUGCCGUUCAAUGAACAAGCAGAUACAUAACCUGUGCAGAAAAUUCCAUCUCCACGCAUGCCACUGCACCAACAAGAUCCUCAGUCGACGAUGAUGGCUCAGCCUGUUCCUUCUGCCACCAAAUCCUCAAUCUUCCCUCCAGCAACGGAGAAUGCACCUUUAGUACCUUCAGUAUCAGAUGUUGCAAUCGGUACCGUGAAACCGAGACUAAAAUCCUUACUUUGCAGGGGGCAAAACAAUCUUGCAAAUAUAUAUUUUGAAUUCCAACAAAAUUUAAGAAAUGUUAAAGAUGACUAGCUGAGAGUCAACAGACAAGAUAUGAUAUUAGGAAUGUGGGAGGAUGAAUGCAUUUGUACAGGGGUCAUACUAUUUCCAGACUCUUCUAUAUUUCCAUAUGACUACCUACUUCAAUGUCACGCGAGCCAUUCAAAAACAUACAUGGUACACUUGUAUGUCUAAUCCAUUAUUGAUUAUUUCCUCUUGUCAUCUCUUACAAGUAUUUCUCCAUACUAUAGAAACGUGCAACACAUUUUUAGGAUAUGGACACGCAUGAUUAAUAUGCUUGGACUAGUAUACAGGUCAUCUUUGGAUGAGUACAUAUGAAUGCCAGGGAGGGACUGAUGGAUAUAAGGAAAAGGGACCAUGCAUAAAUAAUGACAUAUGUCACAUGGCAAUCUUCAUUGCCAUGCAACUCCUAUCAACAAUCAUGGAAUACAUACUACUGCUCCAGAAGGGUGGUGUGCAAAUUUAUUUUACCUCGCGGUGAAAAUCUCCAGAGCAGGCCUGAAGUUAAAAUAAGAGGAGGCAGUCACUAUCGAUCAUGACAGUCUCGAAACUGUACAGCACUAUGCUAGUCCUAGUCCUCAUGUCGUUCGUGCUGUCGUGUAGCAUGAUGGAUUAUUAACUGGGCAGGACACGGAGAUGGCUAGCGAUGACAGAGGAUGACGUACAUGAUAUUCACCUCUGAAAUGAAGCGUAGGCUAAUGAAGCACAAUUGCAUGUGAGUGUGGCAGAUAUUUAUACAGGACAGUGAUUGCAAUAAUCGACCAUCGAGAUCGAAGACAGGGGCGAUGGGCUUGCCUCAUCAAUAAUUCGCGCAACCAGACAAGCUGCAGACUCAAUAUGGUACGAAGCUAGUUGGUCAGCCCACAUGCUCUGAUAUAACAUUGGCAUCUGCUGAUCUACAGUAUAUAUGACCAGAAAUAUUGUGCCACCUCAAUAAUUUUCUGAAGUAUCGUGGGGAAGAACCUACUCGUACUAUGCCUCGGAACUAACUGACAUAUCGGCCUAGGCGGUCUAGGCCGAUUGGACUGGCUCUUCCUUGUGGCUUCUCACGUCCCCUUCGUUCCUGAGUAAUCUCAGGUGUUCUGGAGUUUUCUUUUCACUUGCAUGUGGGUCUCAUAUAUCAAUAGCUUCGGGAUAAGAAUGCCUCUUGAUAACCUUCCAAAUCGUCGCUUGAUUCACUUUGAUUCCAAAAUCAUCUUGCCAUAGAGACUUAGGCCCUAAGGCAUCAUGGAGGAUUGCUCGCCAAGAAUGAGCACCAUUGGGCUCCUGAGGACCCUAGGCCGAUCAGCCUGUGCUCUAUAGGUCAAUUGGCCCAGGCCCUCUCUGAGCCCAUUGGCCUUCAUCUUUCUCUGAGUCGACGCUUAUUCAGGGCUUUGUCCAAUUAUAGUCCAUUAUAGUCUAAUUUCCUAAAAAACAGAAUAUCCUCCAAAAUACAAUACAUAUGUGAAAACAACCCAAUUAUUAGGUAUGAUCAAUAGUCUAGGUAUUAAAUUAAUAUUAUUAUUUAAGAUAAAUAGGGAUAAAGGGUGUCAUUAAUAACGAGCACCAACCAGCGUGCCAGCUGUUAACACUAACCGAUGCUAAUAUGUAACCUUUAGUACCGGCUAUUUCACCCGGUACUAAACGAGACAAGAGCACCCUAACAGAAGGUUAAUAUCAUCCAUUUCAUGAGUAAAAUACUAUGAUUCAAAAAUAAUUCAAAUCCCUUAAGACAAUACCUAUCAAAUGAGUAGAUUGUAAAUAGAGUAAUAUUGAUCAAACAAUGUCCUAAUGAAACGGAACACUUCUGGUUCGUGUAGAGCACAAUAUAGAAAACAGUAGGGUAGCUGUACGAUUGACACGUGGUCCAUUAAUUAUUGAGCCAUCACUAUGGACAUGUCUUCAUGAGUAGUGUACUAGUCAUGAUACAUGGUAUGUAGUAGGUGGAGGUAUUGAGUUAGCCAUGCCAUGAGCACUUAGUUAGAACAAACACUUUGCCAUUAUCGAGCAUCCCAAAUCACUACAAAAUCCAUAGUUUACCAUAUACUACAAAAUCUGAGUUAAAAUAAGAGCAUACACGGAAGAGUCCGAAUGCACCGGUUUAGGACCAGGCACAUUGAAUUACUAGAAAAAGUUAUCGGACAAGGUUUUGGGUAACCGCAUGAAAAAUAUUGGAUUUUACUGAACACUUAGUUACAAUUACCAUACCGUGAGCACUUAGUCACCACAAACAUUUAACCACUUUAGAUCAUCCUGCAUCCCUAUAAAUUUUGUACCUUACACCGUACCAUGAAAACGACAAGAACAGAGACAGAUGCAGUGAAAAUCUCCAGAGCAGGCCUGAAAUUAAAAUAAGAGGAGGCAGUCACUAUCGACGAUCAGGACACGGAGAUUGCUAGCCAUGACAGAGGAAGACAUGAUAUGAUAUUCACCUCUGAAAUGCAGCGUAGACUAAUGAAGCACAAUUGCAUGUGAGUGUGGCAGAUAAUGGACCAUCGAGACCAUCGAAUGGUAUGAAGCAUGAUUAUCACCUAGACAUGAUAUCCUAGACAGGACGGUGAAUUGUAAAAAGAGUAAUCUUGAUCAAAGAAUGUCCUAAUGAAACGGAACAUUUUUGGUACGUGUAGAGCACAAUAUAGAAAACAGUAGAGUAGUUGUACGAUUGAAACUGCAUCCAUCCACGUGGUCCAUGAAUUGUUGAGCCAACACUGUGGACAUGUCUUCAUGAACACCAUCUAGUGAGGACAGCAUGCAGAAAAAUAUAAAACAUGUCAUAGGGAGGCAGACCAAUCUUGCAAGGAGGUAGACGAAACGUGAUACACGACCUGCCUACCUUGUCGUGGAUACCCCAAGAGAAGAUGUCAUAGAGGUGCAGACCAAGCUAGCAAGGAGGUAGAUGAAACGUGAUACACGGCCUGCCUACCUUGCCGUGGAUAUUAGCCCUGAUAUCAUUCUAUUGUUCAAGGAAUAACACUCAAUGCUGCUGCUGCUGCUGACCUGGCUCCAUAAAGUUAUAUUCCUCUAGCCGCUUGCACUAACUUUAUCUAAGUAUUAUUCUCUCUGCACUAAUAUGUCUUGGAACUAACAGACAUUGAUUCACAGACAAACUCUACAAGGUGCUGUUGUCCCAAAGGACUAUAAAUAAUAUAGUUUACCAUAUACCGUAUACCAUUAUAUGUUAGCUAAAAUAAGAGCAUAACAUGUCGUAGGAGUCCAAAAGCACCGGUUGAGGACAAGGUAUAUUGAAUUACUAGAAAACGACAGGGGACAAGGUUUAGGUAGCCACAUGAAAAACAUUUGAAUUUACUGUUCCAUUAACACUUAGUUACCAUGCCGGGAGCACCUAGUUAACACUAACAUUUAGCCACUUUAGAUCAUCCCGAAACACCAAUGACCCUCAAUAGCGACAAAUUUUGGUUUAAAUGCCGUCACCAAUGAUCCUCAAUAGUGACGUGUUUAGGUUUAAAUCCCGUCACUAAUAACCCUUGGUAGUGACGUGUUUUGGUUUAAAUCUCAUCACCACUGAUCCUCAAUAGUGACGUGUUUUUAGCAACACACUUUAUGAUUGACUUGUCAUUGGUGACAUGUUAAACGCGUUAUCUCAGUGGCAAAUCAUUGGUGACGUGUUUUAAAAAAAAUGUCACUGUGAGAGUUAUUCGUGAAGGGUAAUUAAAAUGCAUUACUAAUUUUGUAGCAUUAGUUAUGAUAUAAUUUAGUAACGCAAAAAUCUACCAUAGUAAUGAGGUUUAGAGCCGUCGCUAAUCUGGGUUUCUUACGUAGUGAUUCAAGCUCUAAAAGGUGCUGUUGUUGCCAUUUUAAAGCAUCCCAAAUGACUACAAGUUAAUAGCAUAGUUUACCAUAUACCAUAAAAAUAUUAGUUACAAUAAGCACAUACGCAUGUGGAAGAGUACGAAUGCACCGGUUGAGGACUAAACACAUUGAAUUACUAGAACCAAAUGUAUGUCCAGAACAAAGAAAGGGGUCAAGGUUUGGGUAACCGCAUUAAAAACAUUAGAUUUUACUGUACCAUGAACACUUAGUUACCAUUACCAUGCCUUGAGCACCUAGUUACCACAAACAUUAAUUUAGCCACUUUAGAGGUUCCUGAAUCACUAUAGAUAAUAUACCAACACCGUACCAUGAAAACAUCAAGAAGAGAGACGGGUACAUGGACCACCAUCAAGUGAGUAGUGACAGCACGCACAAGAAUACCCGGAACCUGUUAGCUUGUCUAUAGUGAUCUGUUUUCUUCCCCAUAAAAUCCAUGAGUAUUGCCACAAAUAAUGAAAGAGGCUGACCAAGCUAGCAAGGAGGUAGAGCAAACGUGAUACACGUAGGUUUCAUUCAAGACAUCCAUGUAAGUUUCAUUCAAAACAUUCAUGGAAAUUUCUUGUAAGUUUUCAUGUAAAUUUCAUUCAAGACAUUUCUUAGAGGUGUUGUAUAUAUACCUUAACGUACAUAUAUCUAUGAUUUCAUGGUUGUUAGUGAUGGCAGAUGAGGAGCAUGCAAAGUAUUUAAUGGAGCAGAUUAUUGCUAGUGGUAGUAGCUCCAACCUGCCCGUAACGUACACCAACGAAGAGAGCAGCCAGGCGGACAUGUUCCUCAACAUAUCCGGUGAUGGCAAUGAAGAGCCCGAGCAAAAAAUUGCCGUGACGGAAGGUUCCAGUGAGGUAUAUAUCAUUUCCAUUGUUUUACCCCAUCUAUAAUUUUAUAUUCAUUAUUACUAUGUACUAAUUAAUGGAUCUUGAACCGUUAGCCCUCUAGAUCAACGAACCGAAAUAAGUCCCGAGGUCUUACAAAGAUAAUGCAGGGAAGGCUUCACAUCACGGAAGUCACAGAAGAGGGCACAUCAGUUGCUCCCGAACAUGUGGCAAGAAAGUACGUGAGUCAAACCAGGCAAUGUGCCCAUCAGCAUUAGGGAAUGAAAGGGCAAUAGAAAUGAUCUAUACGCGCCCCCGGAUACACAAAAGGAUAUGCUGUGGGCAAAUAUCAAGAAACACUUCACAUUUCCCAAACGAUAUGUUGAAAAAGAUGUGAAAGCAUGGAUGCUGAAGAAGAUGGCCACCCAAUUCCAGACAUUCAAGAAGAUGUUGGAUGCCAACUUCAUCAAGAAGGGUCGAACUCCGGGUUUCGAUGAGUGAACAAAGUUAAGGGACCACUAGGAGUCAUUUGUCAAAUACAAGACGAGUGAAGGUGGUGCGAGUAAGGUUCGCAUCAAUGUUGCCAAUGCUAGCAAGGAGUACCAUCAUCAUCUAGGGCGAUGUGGUUACAACACUGCAAUUCCCAGAUGGCGCAAGAUGGAACAAGACCUGAUCGAUCGGGGUAUCGUCCCAGCAACUCUUGACUGGCCUGAUCGAUUGAAAAAUUGGUAUUAUGCUCAUGAAGGCAAUCUGAGCCAACAGGAUGCGACAUUGGUCUUCAAUAAAACAAUACGUCAGAAGGCCGGAAGGCUUAUUAGGAACAUUGAAAAUUCUAAAUCUGGGAGGUUCAAGGUGGAUAGAGAGAAUGAUGAGCUCACAUUGGCCCUUAGGACUGUCAUCUCUAGCACUUCCAGCUCCAGGACUGUCGUCACCACCGGGACCAUCGCUUCUUGCUCGAUCACAGUCUCCAUCUCCAGCACAUCCAGGUGGUGCGAACGAUGACGACAACAACACCCCUCCCUGCCCACCAUCGCCGGGACUAAGACCCGCAUCGAGUAAGGAACCUGCAGCACCACUGAAGAAGUCGCGACCACCGCCUUCCAAGCCAAGUCAGCAAAAGAAGAAAGCAGAGAAGCCUAAGCCCACUGAGAAGCCAGCAACCGAUAUGACCGAUGCGGAAAGAUGGAAGGCACUCAAAGAAGAAUGCAGGGAGUGGUUCAGAAAAAGGACCAAAGAAAGAAAAGGAAAGCAGAUGGAGCCACUGCCAGUAGAUCCAAGAAAAUUAUAAUUUUUUAUUAAGAUGUCAAAAGGAGCCAAGAAGAUGAUUCCACAACUAUCAAACUACGACCGGACCUUAGUCAAGGCUGAUGAGAGUUAAAAAAGGAAAGGAAAGUCAUCUUCAAGUGGUACUGUCCCCCACCUCGAGGAUCUACCAGAAAAAGACGCUAAAAAGAUAGUAGCAAUGCUCUUGGAUCAACAAACACAUAUAUCGUGAGAUUCAUGCAAGAAACAGGUAUGUGCCUUACUGAAUGUCUAGGGCAAGUUGAUAUGCUAGCUCUAGAGCCAUUUGUACCGAAAUGGACCUUUGAGCUAGGCAAGCCUCUAGUAAGGCCUGAGUUGGUACAGAAGCUAUCCACAUAGCUGUAUGAAUACCAUGAAUGGUACAUGAAGUAGUCUGCCAAUGAGAGGGAAAUGUUCGGUCUCGGGGAAAAACUGAUAAUUUUUUUCGGCGAAGGCAAGAAAGUCUUGUGGAUGGAAUUCAAGGAUAUAUAUGAAGUGUACCAUCAGGAUGCCCUUGAUGUCUCUCUCAUCAGCGCCUAGGUUAUGUAAGUGUAUGUUUAUCUAUACGUAAUUUUUGUCUCAUAUCAUUAUUUCUUUUGCGUGCGUCACCCUACUAACUUCGUCUUCCAUUUUAUGUAGGAUGCUAAUUCAGAUGUGCCGCAUAGAAGCGCACUUCCAUGUUGGCUUCAUGGAUCCAUCCCUAGUUAACCAAAAGCAGAUACGGAAGUAGCUAGAGAAAAUGUUGGAGGUGGUAUACAACUUCCUGGACAAACAAAACUAUAGAAUAGGGGCAAUAUGUGAAGGUCUUGUAGGAUUCCUAGUGGACGAGGUGAUAAAUCCAUAAGGAGAAUAUCAUUACAACGGACGAGCAUUAGACACACUGAGCAACACCUAGACGGGAGGAUCCUAGGAAUGACCUGGACAGAUUUUGGUAUAAAUAGUAAUUGUGUAAAUACUAGUUUGAUUUGUAUAGGAAUAUACUAAGAAUUGUAUAUAUAGUAAUUGUACAAAUACUAGUUUGAUUUGUAUAAAUACUAGAUUGAUUUUAUUAUAAAAAAGUUUUAAGUCGUACGUGCAUGCGCCUACAAAGGCGCGUAUGCCCUUUAAUCCCGGUUGGAAAAACAAACCGGUACUAAAGGGGCUCGUGCCCCACCUGGCAUGACCACCCCUUUAGUCCCGGUUGAACGACCCAGGACCAAAGAUCUGCCCCGUCUCAUAAAUUUUAUCCCGGAUGCUUUUUAGAGAGAUUUGAGGCCUAUCAACCAAGACUAAUAUCGAGUUUUCUACCCGUGGAACUAACUAACGUUCACAUGCUUUUGACAUUCACCUGCCAUUUGGUGUAGACAAGGGCACCCUAACAUAUGGUUAAUAUUAUUCAUGAAAGAAAAUCCUUUGAUUCAAAAAUACUUCAAACCUAAUAAUACAAUACUUCUCACGUCUGAAAAAUAUGAGAUGGCCCGACAGUAUUCUAACCGACGCAAUAAUAUUUUGAGGGCAGCACUACUACAGCGACCUUCAUUCGUGCCGGUGCUGGGACCCCUAUCACGACCCUGAUACAAAUGAGGGUACAUUAUUGUUGCCAGUGCUAGAAUAGCCACGAAUAACUUGCUAAACAUGCUGUUACACUCACUACUAGAAAAAUAACCUCUCGUCCUGAGGCUUAGUACCGGUCACUUUUUUGCCCAGUACUAAUGUUAGUAUUAGUACGGGAUCCAAAUUUGGGAUCCCCCAGAGACCCUUUAGUACCAGGUGGAGUCUCCACCCGAUACUAAAGGCUUUGUUACCGGGUGAAGGAUCCUCCCCGUACUAAUGGGGGAUUUUUAGUACCGGGUGGGAACCCCACCCGAAACUAAAAUCUCCCGUGCGGACCCCUCCCCCCCCCCACGCGUUGCCUCUCUCCUCCCUCCUCCUCCUCUGAGUAGUUAUCCCUUCCUCAUCCCUCCUCCUCCUCCCACACGUGGGGCGAGGUGAGGUGGCAGUAGCAACGACUAGUGGUGUGGCGGGUCGCGGCGGGCCGGAUGCGGAGCGGCAACGGUGGUCGGCGGGAUGGGGNNNNNNNNNNNNNNNNNNNNNNNNNNNNNNNNNNNNNNNNNNNNNNNNNNNNNNNNNNNNNNNNNNNNNNNNNNNNNNNNNNNNNNNNNNNNNNNNNNNNAACAUCGACAAAACAUAUAAACCCAGCUCAGUAGCUCAAGCAUCAACUAAAACUGCUGAAUUAAAAUAACAUAACAUUGUGUAGUUCAUCAUGAUGAUAACUAACAGAACCGAAAAGCCUAACUGGGUAAAAGAGCAAUUCGUUCAUAAUGCUUCAGCACUUACAUCACCGGAGUAUGCAACUGGCGGCGUCGCUUACGUCACCAUCACCGCACUUGGCGAGUAAAGGAGGAAGAGGUGGCAUAGUAAUCGAAGAGGAGGCCGCUGCCGGCGGGUUUAGACUACGUGGAGGUGUGGGUAGGGUUAAGGUGGCUCUGUGGACGAGUAUAUAUAAGAGGUCUGGGCUUGUUAGAAUAAGAUAACAUUCUAACUGGCCAAAUUCGGAUCCGGUUAGAAUAAAUUGUUCUAACCAGCCCUAAUUCGAGGUGGUAAGGAUAAGUUAACAUUCUAAUCAGCUCUAUUUGGAGCCCGAUUGAAUGUUCUUGUUAUUCAAAAAAAGAUCAAGUUCAUCAAUUUUUUUCUAGAAAAACAUCAAGAUAAUUUAAACACGAUAUAUAACAAGAUUAAUACAUUUAAAAAUUGUUUUCUCCAAUAAUUAACGAUAUUUAACAAAUUCAAAAAAAAUCCAAAUUAACAGAACACAAUAACCAAUUGUUCGAAAAAAUCAAAAUAGUCCACACAGUAUCAUAUUACAAAUUCAGAAAAAUAUCAAAAUAAUCCCUGAUCCACUCGAUACCGUCGUAGAACUUUGAAAUACUGAGCUUCUUGAUUCAUCUGAGGUCCACGUACUCGUCUCAGUAACACUAGUGGUGGCCAUGCAUCUUGUAGAUGUCUUCUAACGAAUCAAGCUUGACAUACAAGGUCGUGCCUUUCGCUCCUUGAGGAUUGCUUAUGACGUUUCUGCAAAUAACGAAGCAUUGCUUUCUCCAACAUGCUCAUUUUCUUCGGCUUAUCCCAAGGGACAACUAUGGUUUUCCCCUUGCCGGAAGAGGAACGAUGAUCGCCCCCACCAUCGCCACUUCCUCCAGUAGCAGAAGCCAUCUAUGUACAAAAAUUCAUACCUUAGCACUACAGAACUUGUUGAACUUGAAGACUGUGAUCAUUAGGCGAGCAUGUUCUCAACUGGGCGGCACCGCACUUCGUCAUGGAAGAGCUUCGAUUUUACAAAAAAGGGGACAUGAUCUUCCAUGAUGUCCGUAUCCGCUCUUUCUCGUAUAAUCAGAGCUCCUCCUUAACAUACGAUGCUGCUCGGCGAAGAACAUGCUCACCGAGAUGAACACGGUAUGCAAGUUCAACAAGUAUGGAUUUGAAAAACCAUAUUGAAUUUGACAAGACAAACUAUCUAGACAAGGGUAGCAUCAUUCUUAAACCACUGCAAGGAUACGUACUAUAUAUGACACAUCAAUCUCCCUCACAUUCUAGCUCAAAAUACCUCUCCAUUUUCUACUUCACAUUCUAGCAAAUAAACUAUCUAUCUCCAUUCUACACAUCAAGUUGUUUUAACUAAUACAAAUCGUAUAUAACAAGCAAACUAUCCAUCACAUUCUAGCUCAAAAACAUGUAUAAAUACAAAUCCUCUUCAUUCUCCCUCUUUCUAACAAACAAACUCAUUUUUCUCCCUCUCUAAAGCAUAAAUUAAAGCGUAACAUGAGGAUGAGGUAGCAAACCUUCACAACACAUUGGAUGAGUGAAAUUCCCACGAAAAUGAGGGAAAAAAAUUCGGGCAGCACCUCCCUUGCUUCGGCACCUCUAGAGAGUAGGUGAAGCUCAGUUCUCUAUUUUUGUGGUGGACUGGCUUGGGCUGGAGGAGGAAGAAAGGCCUCUAUCUUGGUAUAUAAUGGGGGAUGAGUUUUUAUCCCAGUUAAAAGCUCCAACCGAGACAAAACGGCCAAUCUUUUGUCCCGGUUGGAGCCUCCAACCGGGACAAAAGGGGCACGCCAUCGACGCCCGGGAACUAGCCGUUACAACCGGGACUAAAGGGGGGCCUUUAGUCCCGGUUGCAAAUACCAACCGGGAUUAAAUCUCCCCUCCAUUUUUGCCUACCGUGGUGCGCCCCCUUUUAUCCCGGGUCAACUUUAAACCGGGAUAAAAGGGGGCGUAUCGAAGAUCAGUUCUCUACUAGUGACCCCUCCCCACCUAUCUCUCUCCCUCCAUGCUCCUCGAUCUGUGCCUCCCCUCCCCUCCCCUUCCACUCGCCCCUCACCGACGGUAAGGAGCAGCGGCGGGGCGAGGUGAGGUGGCGGCAGCAAUGGCAGGUCGUGGGUCGCAGCGGAGCGGCUACGGUAGGCAGCCAGACGGGGCAGAGCGGCGGGGCGGGGUGGAGGCGGAGGCGGCGGUUAGAGGCGGAGCGGCGAGGCGGAGGCGGAGGUGGAGGCGGAGUGGUGGGACGGCAGGGCCGGGCGACUAGUAUAGGUGGGCGGGCGGAGGGCGGCGACGGUGGAGCGGGCGGAGGCAGAGGGGCAGUGGGGGCUGCCGGCGGGGGGUGCGGUCGGGGAUUUCAAUUUUUUUUUAAUUUUUUAACACCUUUUAGUCCAACUAGUUCUAAAGGGACCCCUCUAGUAUCAAAAUUGCUAGUACCGGUUGCACAACCGGUACCAAAAGGGUUCCUAACUGGUACUAGAGCCACUUUCCCUGGUAGAGACUUUUUUACCGGUUAGAAUAUGUUAUUAUUUUAAUCAGCUUUCGCUGAUCGCCAGUAUGAUUUAGUACCUAAUUUUACUGGCGAUUGUUACCGCUGACACGGAUUGGGUAUAGUCCUAACAGUGUAUAACUACGGCACUACAUUUGUUAACCUAUAACUACUUGUAUCGAUUAGCCCUGGUUAGAAUACUGUCAAGGCAGCCAGAAAUUUUUUUUUUGCCAAUUCUGCUAUCCAUGAGAUCCAUGACUAGUACCGCAAUGUAAUGAAUGAACUGCACAAAUAACUGAUGCACACAAAGGAAUAUGCACUUGCACGCUAGACGUUCGUAACAACAAAUUACUCUCAUCACCAAUUGAACAUAAUAGAUUAAACAUUAACCGAACAGAAUUCAACACGUACAUCAACACGACAAAGCAGUUUAAACAUCAACUGAACAGAACUGAACACAUACAUCAACUGAUGAUAAUUAUCGACAUCAACAGAACACAUGAACAUCAACAUCAAUAGAACUUAAUAGAGCAUAUUAAACAACAACAUCGACAAAACAUAUAAACCCAGCUUAGUAGCUCAGGCAUCAACUAAAAUUGCUGAAUUAAAAUAACACAACGUAGUGUAGUUCAUAAUGCUUCGGCGCUUACACCACUGGCCGGUCGCUUACGUUGGCAUCACCGCGCUGGCUGAACCUCCGACACCCCCACCACGGCAAACGGAGGUGAUGGCGGAAGGUGAGGCAACGACAGUAGCUGGUGAGCUCCCGCUCCAAUGUCUCGCGAGUGAAGGAGGAGGAGGUGGCAUGGGAAUCGAAGAGGAGGCCGCCGCUGGCGGGUUUAGACUACGUGGAUGUGUGGGUAGGGUUAAGGUGACGGUGUGGACUAGUAUAUAUAAGAUGUCUGGGCUUGUUAGAAUAAGAUAACAUUCUAACCGGCCAAAUUCGGACCCGGUUAGAUUAAAUUGAUAUUCUAACCGGUCCUAUUUCUAGGUGGUAAGAAUAAGUUAACAUUGUAAUUGGCUUUAUUUGGAACCCGAUUGAAUCUUCUUGUUAUUCAAAAAAACAUCAAGUUCAUCAAUUUUAAUCCAGAAAAACAUCAAGAUAAUUUAAGCACGAUAUAUAACAAGAUUAAUAAAUUUAAUAAUUGUUUGAUCCACAAAUUAAUGAUAUUUAACAAAUUCAAAAAAUCCAAAUUAACAGAACACAAUAACCAAUUGUUCAAAAAAAUCAAAAUAAUCCACACACAUUAAUAUAUUACAAAUUCAGAAAUAUAUCAAAAUAAUCCCCGAUCCACUCGAUACCAUCAUAGGACUUUUAAAUACUGAGCUUCUUGAUUCGUCUGAGGUCCACGUACUCGUCUCAGUAACACUAGUGAUGGCCAUGCAUCUUGUAGAUGUCUUCUAACGAAUCAAGCUUGACGUACAAGGUCAUGCCUUCCGCUCCUUGAGGAUAACCAUCUUUGGUGAUCUUGAAAUGGCAGACGGUGGAUGUGCCAAAGGUACGUAACGAUCCUUCUAAAUGUAUGCCACCACAACUUCCGUCUGAUCGCCAUGGGUGACACCAAGAAGAGCUACCAUGCGGCAAGGGACGAACAAUUUAUCAAUUAGUGCCGCUGUCCAUUCGCCAUCAUCUAAUCCAGCCAUAUCUUGAUGUAUAUUUAAGUAUAGAAAUUAAGAUUUAAAAAUAAACAGAAUAAAUUGAGAUCGACUAUGUAUGUAUAUCAGAACAUUAGCUUUUGGAAAAAGGGCUUCGAUGGAAGAGAGGCACGGGGCAUAGAGACAACAACGAGUGACAAUAUGUCAGAAGAAUACCCGAUCACAAUUAUUGGCUACAGGACGGGCACACACAGCCGAUAUUUACAGUAGUCAAUACCCCUGGUAAAUAACCACACCAUCAAGAGUAAAUAGUGACAAUAUGCAGUAUAUACACGACAUAGCCUUGGUUGCCGUGGAAGCGCCAGAAGGGAGACAAAUAACAGGGACCACAACAUCAAGUAGAUAGUGACAAUAUGCAGAAGAAUACCCGCGCCUGUUAGCAUGUGUGAACUGACCACACCACGAAACGUGAUACACGGCAAGCGUACCAAGGCCUUGCUGUGCAGACUAUGCAUGGACAACACAUGGUACCUGACCGCUUUUGGCCUCAGACACAUCGAAAAACUGCAUCGUUCCACGUUGUACAUCCAUUGCUAGUUUAUCUAUAUUACAUAAUAUAUUAUUAGCUAUUUGAAUAGAAUGAACCAAUUAAAAAAUUGCGUUGUAUUUUAGUACCGGCUGCAGGAUGGUGUUACCAACCAGUACUAAUUGGCCUGUAGGAGUGAUGGUUAUUAGACUUGGUACUGUUGUUAGCAUCAUUAACCUAAUUGUGCGCGGUAUGAAUUUGGGGAUGCAAAGCUAGCUCUCUAUGAAUGUGAGGGAUGGAAAGCUAGUUCUCUAGUAGUAAUUAGCUAUAUAUAUAUGUCAGUCAAGAAAUCGAACACUAUGCUGCUACGAGUCACCAUCAUUUCCUUCAUUGACAAUCUGACAUAGGUGAAGCUGCUUCAAGAAUUUCCUUCGCGCAGUCGUGGAGCUUAUUGGAUUAUCACCAGGACGGGACACGGAAAUGGCCAGCAAUGAAGCUGAUUGCCGUCUGAGGAAGAUUACAUACUUACCUAUGAAAUGAAGCGAUUGCAUAGACUAAUGAAGCAUUGCAUAUUUGCAUGUGAGUGUGGCAGAUAAUUCUGCAGGACAUGAUUGCAAUCCACGCACCAUCGAGAAGACUGGGGCGAUGGGGUUGCCUCAUCAAUAAUCACGUGGAUGCAUGCAUGCAUGUUCCCGCAACCGGACAAGGGUCUGAUAUAUGGCUAUAGUAUUACUGAGCCCACAUCAAUAAUUUCCGCUGGUGUAUCGUGUGGGAAGAAUCAACAUACUACACCUCGAGUUCUUGGAACUAACUGACGUUCACAUGCAACCUCCACAAGGUGCUGUAUAUAUGCUUUUGACAUUCACCUGCCAGUUCGUGUAGAGGACACCCUAACGUAUGGUUAAUAUUAUCCAUUUCAUGAGUAAAAUACUGUGAUUCAAAAAUACUUCAAAUCCCUUGAGACAAUACUUCUCACUUGACUAACCACUAACCAACCCCGAAACCCUAACUCAACUCCGAACCCUAACACCUAACGGCAUAACCACUCCGUUUUGCCAGCCAGAUGGAGGAACUGGCUGGGAGGGAGAGAGGGCAGCGGUCCAGGGUUGAAAACGACGGGCGAGCGCAGUAACAUGUGGAGGAGGAAGUGCCACGUAUUCGUUCACCGCUAUUGGGCAGCGACACACAACACGCCCAAUAAGAUUUUCGCACGGUAGAAGGGCGCCAUGUAUUCAAUAAUGUUAUUGGUCCUCCAUGUGCAGAAGGGCGCGUAUGGAAUAACAAGUAGGGACACUGCAACUAAUCUACUCUGCUCGUCCAGUCCCUAGCCUAUAAAUAGAUGCCAUGCUAGCUCUUGUUGUGCUCACAGUUAAUCCGAUUACACACGAGCUUCUCUCCCUGGCCAAGACACAAUCAUAGUAUGAUGAAGAACAUGGCACUAGCCGGCAAUGGUAUGAAGAAGUUAAUCCUCGCUGUUCUCUUACUGUGUCUAGUUAUAGGGCAGAUACAAGUGGAAGCUAAGAGCUGCUGCCCAUCCACCACUGCAAGAAAUGUCUACAAUACCUGCCGUUUGACGGGUGCAUCCCGUCCAACGUGUGCAAAACUGUCAGGCUGCCAAAUUAUCAGCGGGAACAAAUGCAAGCCCCCUAACGACCACCUCACCCUUGACCCGGACACUGGUAAAUAAUAAAUUUAUCUCACUUGAUUUCUUUGUGUUUUGAGUCGUUAAUGUAUUUUCCAUCUGAUGAAACGCAUUGGUUUUGCAUUGAAGAGGAAGUUAAUGUGCUUAACUUCUGCAAGUUGGGGUGUGCGUCGUCUGUGUGCAACAACAUCAACGCUGGUAAGCACCUUUUGCUCAGACAGAGAAAACAAUAAUCAUUAAUUAGCGGCAGCUAGAAUCCUAUAAUCUAAUAUAUAUAUAUAAUUUUAUCAGCUCUGGGAAAUGAAGAGGCGAACGAUGCCGUUGAGAGUUGCGACCAAGCCUGCUCUAGCUUCUGCAGCGUGCAUGUUGGCAGCGCCACCGUGGUUGCUUAAGCAAAUGCAUCCAACUAGAUCGUCCUUGUGCUGAAUAAUUGGAUAUCGUAUCCACUUAAAGCUGCCUUGUGUAGUACGUCUUUGUGUCUCUCUUUAUAUUCCAAUAAGGUCGGUGAUCUUGAUGCCACACACUCAGAUGUGUGUUCAUCUCCAGAUACUACUCCAUGCUACCUGCCCUUUGUGUUUUGUUCAAUAACUGGGUAUCAUAUCCCAACCAGUAUGCCGUCUGUUUUGUGUUUGUUUCCUUCUAGUUCCAAAAGGGUCAUCAUGAUGUUACCUUCUUUCAAUAUGGUGCUUUGCAUGACUACUAUUGUAUGGUACCAUCUUGUGGCCAAUAAGUACAUCUUAUCCUAUGACCUUUGCUAUGACCCUUUGCAAAUAAGUAGAAGAUUGUUAUAAGCGUCAAUACUCCUUAUAAAUUGAUCGCUGCUGUGAGUUCCCUUUCAGCUUAUCGUAGGCAUACAUUAUUGCUAGCACGGUAAAGCCAAUCAACACGAAUGAUGAAGUAAAUGUAGCGGUACUUCUGUAUACCAACACCCUUACUUAAAUGUACCGGUGUCAUUCCCUACUGGCACAUAUAUUCUUAUAUGCUAGCCAGCUUGUAAAAUUAACCAAUUAAAAUAAUUAAUUCAAGAUAGAAAUAACUUAUCGGCUUCUCGAAGCAUGUGUAAUAUGAAUCGCUUCAUCUAUAUUGCUUUCAGGAUUUUGGGUAACUAAAUUUAACAUUUGCACAUACAAAUGUUAAAGUACAAAUGUUAAAUCUAGUUACCCAAGCAGAAUAUGAAUAUACUCUAUAGUAUAUAUAUACUAUAUAAAUCUAGUUAACAUUUAGUCUAAAUGUUAAAUCUAGUUACCUAAAAUCCUGAAAGCAAAAUGUAUAAAUAUAUAUCUUUUAAGGCAGUAUAAGCUUCGAUUCCUAUUGCUGCUCUGUUAAAUCUCAUCUUUCGUUGUGGCCCAACACUCUAGUAUGUAUGUUGCACCAAGCUUCCUUGAGCCGCUCUGCCCUCUGAUUUUGCUGCGUAGGGGAAUCUUUAUCAGGUUGGGCUGCUUCCAGUCAUACGAUGUGUGGCUUCAUAUCUUCUACAAGUUAGACAGGAAACCCGCGUUCUGGAAGAUUCUGCAACGUGCACGUUGGCGCUGCCACCGUGGUUGCUUAAGCAAAUGCAUCCAACUGAAUCGUCCUUGUGCUAAAUAAUUGGAUAUCGUAUCCACUGCUUAAAGCUGCCAUGUUUAGUACAUCUUUGUUUUUCUCUCUUUAUAUUCCAAUAAGGUCGGUGAUCUUGAUGCCACACACUCAGAUGUGUGUUCAUCUUCGGAUACUACUCCAUGCUACCUGCCCUUUGUGUUUUGUUCAAUAACUGGGUAUCAUAUCCUAGUCAGUGUGCCAUCUGUUUUGUGUUUGUUUCCUUCUAGUUCCAAAGGGGUUAUCAUGAUGUUACCUUCUUUUGAGGUGUCUAUGACUUUGUUAAUAUCAAUAUUAACCAAUUCAAUCUAUCUUAACUAUUUGUAAGGGGUAUGAUGUAUGCAUGAUUAUAACAAUGAUUGCGCAUACAAUCACUGCCAAAGAAACGGUCAAUACCAUAAAGACAUAUUACAGACAAUUCUCAUAAUUUAUAAUGAAUAUACAUAUUCACUACUGCAGAGACUGUCAUUUGUAUCAGCUCAUACGUGCCAGGGCAAAGGUCACCCUUGCAUUAAAAGUACAUUUGCACGGUAAAGAUAACCAACACGAAUAAUGAAGUAAACAUGCCGGUGCUUUUGUACACCAACACGCUUACUUAAAUGUACUGGUGUCAUUCCUCACCGGUAGCCGGCUUGAAAAUUAACCAAUUAGAACAAUUAUUUAUUGUAUCGGUGUGAAUUUUGACCUAUUGGAAUAUGAAUUUGACCGUUACUGCAUUCGUCAAGACUCAAGAGAGAAAUAACUGAUCGGCUUCUUAGAGCGUGUGCAAUGUGAAAUCAAGGACUGGAUGGAAGUUGAAGCGCUAGCUUCAUCUUCCGCUGCAUGUUAAUUGCUUGGAUAAGAAGUUGUAGCCGCGUAUAUAAAUAGUCCCGCUGAUGCUGUGCUCCGAAGUCUAUACUAUAUAUGCGAAAACUAGAUUGCUUUCAGGAUUUUGGGUAACUAAAUUUAACAUUUGUACAUAAAAAUGUUAGUUUACGAAUGUUAAAUCUAGUUACCCAAGCAGAACAAGAAGAUAGUAUAUACUAUAUACUAUGUAAAUCAAGUUAACAUUUAGUCUAAAUGUUAUAUCUACUUACCCAAAAUCUUGAAAGCAAAGAAAGAAUAAGUAUAUAUCUUUUGUUGGAAAAUUGGUCCACGGAGAGUGGCCUCGUUCGUUUCACCGGGAUGGAAUUCCAGUCAGGAUUACUUCCAAGUCCGGUUUAAGUGAUUCCACCCAUGUCACUCAAUUCGGCUAGGAUUCAUUCCAGGGGUGAGGAGGUAUGGUUUCAAUCCGGGCCAUCUAAUGUAGAAGGAUUCCAAUCCAGGCCGGUUUUCGUUCUAGGCUAGACUAAAACGAACAACACUUUCAAUGCAAGUCUGGUUUCAAACCGGGCCACUUCAAACCACCCGGAAUGGACCUCAUUCCGGGCCAAUCCGGUGAUAACAAACGAGGCCUUAAUGGAAUCCCAAAGCAAGAGUUCAGUGGCAUUCUAUAGUCCCAUGCUGCUAGUUUGAGUUGGUCGAAGCCAACUUAAAUAGGAGAGCUCUCUCACUUCUCUAAAAAUGUAACUGAAGGAGAGAAGGGGGCUUGGGUUACACAACGCACGCACGCACGCAUAUUUGCAUUCUUUUCGCGUAACCGACCGCGUGACUUGAAACUUGCGACGUAGCGUGCUGCUAAGUCAAGUUGAUAUAACCUUUUUGCCGUUUGCGUGUAAUCUUUUGACAACGGUCAUUGGAGGUGAUAAGCACGCAGUCAAUACCUUAAUCCUGAGUUAAUAGGGCGGUUACUACUGCCAAUUAGUGCAGCAAUUUUGUAGGGGAAACGGUUAGCAGAGGGCUACCGUCUUCUCUAUAAGAAGUUUUGGAGACGUUCAGGAACACACAUGUACAUGUGAGAGACCCACGGAUUCCUUCCCUUCUCCCUUUUCCAUCUGGUGAAGUGUGCUAUGGUACUGAGCUGCUGGAUCUCGCCGGCUCUUCUCCUUGGCGUGCACCGAGGAGGAGGGUGAGCGGUAUCUCUGAGCUAUUGCCGUCAGGAAGCCUGCACGAGGGACAACAAUAAAGUUUUUAGGUAGCGCCUGCCUAAUCUUCGAUCUGCACUGCAACGUGUAACCCUGCAGCAACUCUACACGAGGACGGAGCACUAAUCUGUAAGUCCUAGAUUGGUUUCUUACAUAGUUGUAGGUUACACAAGAUCUAGAAUGGUUACAUACCAAUUAUUAUGGGUUACAUGAUGUUUUGUACGGUUUCGUCUAUUUUGCAUAUGCUAUUUUUUCUAUUUUGCAUAUGCUAUUUUUACAUACCGUUUACAUGCAUAUGUUAAUGGUUACACCUAGCUAUUUGAAUCUAGAAUUGGGUUACAUAGCAGUAGCAAUGAGUUACGUAAUAUGCCUCACGUUUAUAUCUGGUAGAAUUUAACACGUAUCUCCAACAUAUUUUGAGGCAGUAUAAAUUUCAAUUCCUUUUGCUGCUCUGUUAAAUCCCGUCUUUCGUUGUGGCCCAACACUCUAGUAUGCAUGUAGCACCAAGCUUGUUUGAGCCGCUUUGUGCUUUGAUUUUGCUGCGUAGGGGAAUCUGUAUCAGGUUGGACUGUUUCUUUGUCUUGCGAUGUAUAGCUUCAUAUCUUCUAGAGGUUAGACAGCAAAACCCGCAUUCUCUUAAGGCAACAACCCGAAGAAUCUGCAGCGCCUCUGAUAUAUCACUGCUGCAGAAACGAUCUUUAGUACUGAUCUCCAACCCUCUUUAGUAUCGGUUGGGCAACCAGUACCACUAUGUCGGUACUAAAGGGAGUUCUCUAGAAUCGGAUCAAAUAACCGGUACUAAAAGGGCUCCUUUACUACCGGUUGGUAACAACAAUAGGUAGUGACUUUUUUGCACCCAAAAAAUUAAAGAAUAACAGCCGGGAGGCUCGCACACACACGCAUCAUGAGUAAUAUGCGCGUGCAUGGUUUGUGGGAUUUCAACCCACGACCAAGCUAUAAGAACGUAGUUACAACAAAUCAAACACUUAGACAUUUUAGAGCAUCCCAAAUAACUACAAAUUCUAUAGUUUACCAUAUACCAUAAAAUAUUAGUUAAAAUAAGAGCAUACACAUGUCGGAAGAGUCCCAAUGCACCGGUUGAGGAUCAGACCAGGCACUUUGAAUGCACAUGCCAUAAGAUAAUUCUGCAGGACAAUGAUUGCAAUAAUGGACCAUCGAGAAGAUAGGGGCGAUGGGGUUGCCUCAUCAAUUAUCACUUGGCGCAACAAGACCAGCAAAGUCUUUAUCGACAGGGGUGGAUCAAGGGGUGGGGCAGGCAGAGCUCCAGUCCUCCUACCGCCGCUCGAACAAUGGAGCCCCCUUAGCCCCUCCAUAAAUUUUUAGGUAGAAGAAAAAAGAAGAGAAGGGAAGCAAGGGGAAGAAGAGGGAGCCCCUACUAAGUAGGUCGCCAUCGUGCUUCCCAACGCAUGAUCGCCGCACCGCAUCCAUUCCUCUACAAGCCUUCAGCGUCUCUCCCGCCGCUACCUCUGAACCAUGUGCAGCUAUAGACCCAACUAGUGUGUUGUCGCCCAUCUCAGUCCCAACAGAGCGGCGGCGGCUGCCAACACAAAUCUCCCUCCGCCUCUUCUUCACGGUCGAUGGCCGCCACAAGCAUAAACCUCGCCUUCGCAUCCAAGCAAAAGGGUCGUUGGGGUGCCUUCUUGCAUCACUUCUCAGCCUCCUUCACUUGCGGCCAGCGAAGAACUGCGCCACCACCUCGGGUGCGUGCCACCACUCCAGGGCCGCUACCCCAUGCCUGCGGCCGCCACCGGCCACCACGCGUGUGCAACCGCGUUGCACCGCUUCCCUGCUUUGUGCCACCACUACUGCUGUACCACCAGCUCCACCACCUUGGGAUGGUCGCCAGGGUGACUGAUUGGUGGAUUAUUACUAAAAAUAAGUUCCUUAUUAUCUGCAACUACUAUUAACUCAGAGAUACAUGCGUCUUUUCCUUCUCCUGCUAAUAGGUCCUAAAAUAUCUAGGAUGCUUUAUAUUUCUGGACAGAGGAAGUAUUUGAAUAAAAUGAACCAAUUUAAAAAAAAUGUGUUGUACACUACUACAGAAAGACCUAUCAGUGUCAAACCCAAAAAUGUCGUCACCGCCAGUUUUAGGCAUCGUUGGUGAAAGGUUGGCGGUGAUGGGCAUCCCCUUCAACAACGGCACUGGAGCCGACGGUGAUUGACAUUAGAAAACAAAAAAGGGAACCCCACCUAGCCACCCCUGCAACCCAGCCGGCCGUGCCUCCCCUCAUGCCCACCACCUCGCCUCCCCCGUGACCCCCCGCCGGCGCCCUUGUGCCUAGCCCCCUCGCCUGCCCGGCCGGCCACCCUCGUCAUGAGAGAGAGAGGUGCAUGUUGUAUAAUUGCGUGAAUUUUUGAAUGUUUAAUUUUAUGUAAGUUCCAUGUAAUAAAUUGUACAAGUUUUAUUGUAUAUAUGAAUUCCAUAUAUAUAUAUUUAUAAUUUAAUGUAUGGUUUCAUGUGUAUAUUUCAAUCAUGUGUAUAAUUAGUAGAUUGCCGAUUUUCUUUUUCUACUAGACAAGGGUUGAUGUAUAAUUACGUGUAUAUGUUUAUUGUAUGGGCAAUUAGGACAAGUUUUGUAUAAAUUUCUUUUAUUUCAUGGUUGUUGUAUGGUUUCAUGUAUAUACAUUUAUUGUACUACUUGAGACAAUUUUAAUUUAAUAUUUCUAUGAUUACAUGUGUGUAUAACUAAUUGUAUUAUUAGUUAAGAUGGGAGCCAAAGAGGAUGAAAGGUAUAUAAUAGAGUAGAUUAUUGCUGGCGGUAGUGGCUCAAACGUUGCAAGAACCUACACCGAGGGUGAGGGUAGCUAGGUGGACAUGUACCUCAACAUGUCCAGUGAUGGCAAUGACGAUGAGGAGCACGAGCAUGACGUCUAUGAUAAUGCGGAACAAGACAUUGCAGAAUUGGAAGGUUCUAAUGAGGUGUGCUUCAUGUUGACGAUCUAGUUGGCUUUUUUUCUUUGGUCACACCUUAGUUACCAUAGAACUUCGUCUCGGGAGAAGAUUGGUGGUGCUAUGGUGAUUGGAAUUUUAUUGCCUCCAAAUUUGAUUUCCAUCGAAUCAUAUCCCUUGUAUUUAUCUUCUUUUUAUUUGUGAGAGCAUCUUCUUUAUGCUUGCAAAACAAUUCAAGUGCACAUACUACCCCUAGGGUGAUGAUUGGGAGUAGAAACAAUUGCCAACAAAACAACACCACAUCCUAAGAUUCUUAACUUGUGGCAUAAUUAAUCUAGUGAAAAGAAAGAUAAAAACCUAAUGGGUGUACGUGAGUGCAAUGUGUAUAUGCAUAUGAGUGGAAGGCAUAUAAGCAAAGACAAUAUUUACACAUAGUUCUAAACACGAUGUUUACAGCUAGGUUGCUGAAUUUCUCCAUAGCUAUAGAGAUUAAUUAACCAAGGUCAAAACACGAUGUCUAUCCCAAGAUCAGUAAUUCUUUAUAGCACAAGAAAAAGAAAGCGCAUUGCAAAGUUUAUAAACCAACCAAUACAGCAUGAAAACAAGAUGAAUAGCUAGCAAGGUUUAUUAAAUUGAAUGAUGACGGUCUGCAAGCAAGUUUGAACACCAUCUUUACACAAGAUUGCAAAUGGAAAAUGCCCAUAUGAAGCACUAACAUGGAUAUGAAAUCAUUCAUCAUAAAGCGUAAAGAACAACCAAGUAGUUUUUAAUGGCAUAUACAUGUAUAAUAUAGUUUAGGUGCUAAAAUUGAUAUUCACAGCUAUUUUGGGCUCCAAUUCGCGUCCAAACCAACCUAGCCCACAGACCACACCCGGCCGGCCAGCUCAUCGGCCCAUCUAGUCACUGAUCCUUCCACCACCACACUCAGCCCAUCAGUCGGUCAGGUCCCGAGCUCCUGCCUGACCUAGUCCGCUACCGCCGCCAGGCGCCAAGCACAGCCGUACGCACUGCACCGCCCCCGUCCACCCAUGUCCGCUGCGCGGCAAAGCCGCGCCCCCCAGCCCCCGCGGUGAGAUCUCGACGCCCGCUGCCGCCAGACCCCAUUAGGCCUCCACCGGCAAGUCCACCCACAGUCCCACACGACCUAGUCCGCUNNNNNNNNNNNNNNNNNNNNNNNNNNNNNNNNNNNNNNNNNNNNNNNNNNNNNNNNNNNNNNNNNNNNNNNNNNNNNNNNNNNNNNNNNNNNNNNNNNNNNNNNNNNNNNNNNNNNNNNNNNNNNNNNNNNNNNNNNNNNNNNNNNNNNNNNNNNNNNNNNNNNNNNNNNNNNNNNNNNNNNNNNNNNNNNNNNNNNNNNNNNNNNNNNNNNNNNNNNNNNNNNNNNNNNNNNNNNNNNNNNNNNNNNNNNNNNNNNNNNNNNNNNNNNNNNNCCCCCCCUCCACCAGGACUGCUUGUUGGCCCCCACCGCGAGGUAAUCAAAAUGGACGGCUCAAUCACUCAAUCUGUUGACAUGAUGCACACGGUUGCAAAAAUAGAUGUGUCAAAAUAGAUAUAUUGCUAAUUGCUAUAGAUGCAUACGGUUGACAUGAAGAAGUUAAAAAUGACAUUUGGUUCCUUGUAGGCAGUCAAAAAUGAAGUCAAAAAAUAUUGAUCUGAAAUCAAUGUGGGAAAGGGCUACGAAGACACACAGAUUCCCUUGUGAACUUUUUAUGUCAUUCGUCUAAAUAUUUUUUUGCAAUGGGCAUACCCUACUCUGAAAUCCUGGGUCUGCCACUGAUGAUGAUGGUCUAAACAUAAAACAAGCCAAGAUUAAUUAGCCACAACUGAAAUUAAACAAAGGUUAAUGUCAUUGACCCUAGCUCUAUCCUAGCUUUUACAAAAGUCCCGGCACAUAUAGUGGUUGGGCCCACUCUCUCUGCUUCCCUCUCUGCUGCAUGCAUGCACACGAGCAACGGGAGGCCCCACAAAGCCCAGAAGGGUUCGGCUGAACCCGGCCGAUCCAAUCUGAGCACCACUCCCUCCCAGCCUUCGCGCAGAUGCUCCUCCAACAUUCCUUGACCCCUCCCUCAGCGUCCCAUUGGGUUUAACAUUGCAGGAGAGGAGUCCCUUUUUUAAAAUCUCAACCACCUCCUCUCCUCAUUCACUCCACUCUCAUCUCCAUCAAACUCACCAAGAUCCACAUCGGAAAUCCCUGCUUACCACCAUGGCUGGCAAAGCCCUCGUCCCUUUCACCAACUUGGGCUUAACCAUUGAUCUCGAUGGGGAAAUCACUCCGGAAAUAGGGCAGUGACCCAGAGCAAAGGUGAUGCCAGAGUGUAGAUAGCAGUUAGCAUGCCAAAUUGUGAACCGCAAGCGCUCGGAUUAGUUGUUUUUUUUCCCUUAGAGAUUCCCCCAAGGUUUAUCAAUCCAUGGAACAAGGGAUUUGCACAUUUCACUAAGCAUUAAUCAAUGUAAUUGAAAGCUUUUUGAAUAAGAUAUGAUUAUGCUAACAAAGGAACUAAGCAAUCUAGAUUAAGAUGGAUAGAGAGUAAAGGUUGUGAACAAGAUAGAUUAAACGCUUAUAGAUGCAAUCACCAUGCAUGAAUGAAUUAGAUCUAGGUGUUAUUGUGAGUGGUUGUGAACCAUACCCCAACACUUUCCCACCCGCAACAUUGUCACUACAUGUGGGUACUCAACUAUCGAAACAUAAGAACACAUCAAGAUGAUCAUUCUAGGUAAGCAAAUAAGCAACCCAAAGUAGCGCUGGCCAGCCUUUUCAUGAAAGAGCAUCAUCAAGAUAAGAUUGAUAACAAAAUAGAUCUCAACCAAAGGUUCAGCGAUUACAAAUCAAGAUCUCCGUAUAACCCCGAUGACAAAUAGAGGUAUUACCCCCAUGAUCUUACACAUGUUGAUGAAUUUUAGGGUAAAGGACGCCCUGUAGAUCAACUGGACCAAAGAUGAUGAUGAACAGGGGCAGGGAAGGCCCAGGCUGAUCAGCCUGGGCACUUUUGAGCCGAUCAGCUUAGGGAGUUUCCUCCUCCCCUGGUGCUCCUCUUCGCGUGGCCUCCUCUGGAUCCAAUCUUCUCUUCAUUUCUCCUACUUGUGGUGGCAAUGGAUGGUGUUUGCAUGGUGAUUUCCUCUUCUCCCCAACUCUCCCUCCUUGAAGUCCAUGAGGGGGUAUUAAUAGUCUCCAAUAUGCGGCAGCUCUGGGUCAAUGUCGGUGAAAAAACCCUAGAGAUCAUCGUACACUUCACGCUGAGGAAACAAGAGGUCGACCGAGCCCUGGGAUAGACCAAGAGGAUCAGCCUAGAGGGUCCCAGGCCAAUCGGUCUAGGCCCUUCCUAGCCCUUCUAGUCCUCUCCUUCCUCGUGCUGGCUUUUCUCGAUGACCCUUGUCCAAAUAUCCAUUAAGCUCUAUAUACAUACCCCCUUGAUUAUGUCGUAUUUCCUGUCAAAAUACAAUGCUCCAAAAUACAACACAUAUGCAAUAAUAGGGUUAUUUCAUGUGCCAAUUGGUGCGUUAGUAUACGAAUAAGCAUGAAAAUACUGGUUAAAUGACACUAAAAGUGUGUCAAUAACGAGCACCAACAAUCCCCCCACGCUUAGAUCUUGCUCGUCCUCGAGCAAGUCUAGCGACUAAAAGAUCUUGAAUUAAACAUGAGCAAGCGAGUCAAGUACCUAGCCUUGAAACAAAAGAUUAGAGGAGCAGCAAAGAUAAUCAAAGUCUGGGUGUUCAAAGAUUUAUCUAAGCAAAGAUUCCCCUACAACUAUUAUUCAGAACCAAGUAACUUCAAGAAUCAACUACACUUAUUUUCUGGCUUUUUUCAGAGGGUUUUUCUUUCAUCACAAAACAAUCUCCCUGCAACAAAAUUGAAAAAAGAAUUAUUUUCCAGGUGCUUACAUGUCGUUUAAAUGAAUGUUCGCUAUCCUACUUAUUUGCAAGCUCUCAUCUCUCAAAAUUCAUUCAAUUAUAUGGUGGAGCUUGGGUAAGGUUAGCUAGAAUCAACACGUAUAUUAUUGAAUUAAGAAAACCCUCUAACGGUAGCCUACCUUUCGAGCCAUUGAUCAUAAGAAUAUCCACAUAAUGUGAAGUUUUCAAGGAUGAGAAUAGAAUGGUGGACAUGUGCAAAGGAAAAGAAAUAUAGUGACUCUGAGGCACAAGCAAUGUCCUCGUCGUUGGAUUGCAUAUGGUUGGAAUGAAAAUCUGUUCCUUAAACAAGUCCAUCUUUUCUUUGCACCACUCUUGAUCUUCAUGACAGUAAAAACUCCUCCUUUAUUUCUUUCUCUCUUUUCCUAUUAUUUCUUUUUAUUUGUCUCAAUACUUUUCUUUCUUUAUUUCUUUAUUUUAAUCUCUUCUCCGAACCUCUUCUGAACACCACACAAUAAAAAUCAGUUUUAGAUCCUUCUAGAGACCUUCCAGGAAUUUGCUACAUGAAAACCGAGGCAAGGAGACCCCAGGCCGAUUGGCCUGGCCACUCCUUUGCUCUCCUCUAGCUCUUCUUUCUUGUGAAGCUUCCUUAUCUUGUAUCUUUCCAAAAAUUUCAUAAAGCUCAACUAGAAACGGAACACAUCUUCAUAUAAUGAGUUGUGUUCAAGGAAUUGGUAAUAAAAUUGAGAAAUUUGUGGUUCGGGUUUACGAAUUCAGUACAAAAAUAUGAUUAUUCCAAUGAAGAACUCUCAUUACUGAAUAUUGACGAGGCAAGCAUUCAAAGAUGGUAAAAAGGAUAUGAUCAAUUCUCAGAAUUAAAGCAAACCAAGAGAGAGCGAUCCUAAUUCAAUUCAAAGUGUCAAAUGUUGCUUAUGGUGGUAUGAAUAAAUAUUUUUAGGCAUUGGGUAGGAUAAAUAAAAACUCUCAACCUGGUUAAAAGAUAUUGAUCAAUCUUGUUUUUGCAGAGGUUUUAAAUAAAAAAUAAAAUUUUAAAUCACCUCCAAUUCAAAGCCUUACUCAUAAAUCAUAAUCAAAACUGAAGCACUUGAUCAUCAUAAAGCAUGGGUAUUGCAUAAACAAAUCGAUUACUAAAACUCCACAACUACGAUUUAGAAUUCAAGACAAUGCUCAUAAUCUAAAGUUGCAAAGACAAAAUAAAAGACAAGCAAGCCAAGGUAGACACUAAAAACACUUGCACGAUCCUUGAAUUUUAUUCAUGCUUCUUCUCACAAAGACGCUAAAGUAGCCAUGUAGGCCUAAGUCUUCCCAAAAGCUUAAGAAGACUACUACUUUAUCUACUUUUGGUUGAAAUAAAAAUACUAAUCUAGACUCUCACAUGAUUCGACUCGACCAAACUAGAUCCAAAAACUCAUACGAGCGACAAUCUCCCCCCCCCCUCUCAAAUCUACGACCUCCUCGUGGUAACCAUAUGGAGUACAAGGAAAAGACGCUUGUAAACGCACUAAUGACGCUACCCGGACUACUUGCACACGGAAUGGUUGUUGUUUCCUUUGCUUUGUUCUUCGUCAUGUUGCUGCACAUCCCGAAGAGCUUCCUCACGUUCCUCUGCAAGAACUUGAACUUGAACUUGUCCUCCUGACGGCAAUCAUUAUCUUCUGCCUUUUGAUCCAGAGCUUGUAAGGCUUGCAUGAUGUCAUCGAACGCAUCGAAGAGGUAGUGGAUGUUCUUCCUGCAAGCUGUGGAACAUGUACGAUCAUGCUCCUACGAUUCUGGCCCGUCGUCUUCUAGAUCCUCCUCUUUGCCCUUGUCUUGACGGUGGCCAUCUUGCUCCUUGCUCGUCUUCUUGCCUUCAGCCCGAUCCCAGUACGUGUUGUCAUCUUCUUCAUCGUCACGGCCUGCAGCACCCUAUGAUCCAUUGUCUAUCUUGUAUGAAAGAAUCAGAAGCUUGUUCUCCUCAGGGUGUCUUGCGCGGUGCAGCGUUUGCAAGUGCAAGGCUUGCUAGUUCUUUUUACACAUUGUAAUGUUCAUUGCAUGCUCUAAUUGUUCUACAUUUGUAAUUUCUUGGUGAAGUUUGGUUACUGAUCCACUGUUUGAUUAACUCUUGGGCCCAAACACUGUACUACUUCUGAUUAGAUAUCUGUAUCUUAACUUUGACCAAAAAAAAUAUCCGGCAGUUUUUGCCAUUAAAGUUUCAUAAAUCAUCUUGCAAAAAUCGUACUAUACAACAAGGGACGGUUUAUUAUAAAAUAUACGUUCCCCUUAUCACAUGCCACUUCCACUCAAAAGGCAACGAAUCAGUUUUCAAUCCUGAGUGAGCAAUUUGCUUUUAUUACCGAUGCCUCCUAUUCCCUUGUGCACCAAGUUCAUUUUGGAUAGGACUGCAAAAAGCGACUAACCAGCUCGGAUUCUCCACCUGCAAAACCGCAUCUGCAGCAACCAACCCCACGCGGUGGAAAAAAAAACAAAACCCAGAAACCGGACGGGGGUGGAUGUGGGGCUCGGAGCCCAAGCAAAAAAAAGGAUCGGGAGCGCCGGAGCAGGCCAUCACCGGAUGUUAGAGAUAGAAAAUGGUUGAAGUUGGAGUGGAAAUCAAACAAGCCUUGGAGCAAAGGAAAAAAAAGAUCAAACCACUCAAGCAUUCAUUUGAUUUAGAAAAGAGAACAUUUGUUAAGGUGGGGAGUUGAAAUCAUCUUUUAAUUAGUUCCACGUAUCUGGUAUCAUUACAGUUGGUUUACUUGUGUAAGUAUAUAAGUAGCUCUGCCGAAGCCUUUGCUCCUAUAAUUUAGUAACUAGUACAAAUGGAUCAUUAGGAAAAUCAAGUUGCAAUCAUUUCUCAGCCAACCAAACCUAUCUAAAUCAAAUUAUUGUCCAUGCCCGGCAUGCACAGGUGCCUGCCAUGCAUGCAUUGUUGCUCCAUUGUAAUAACCAUUAUUGUCCAUUGAUGUUCCAGCGCAUGUGUGCACUGUGCAGACACCAAGCAUCGAGAUUAUGUACUAGUAAGGUACCAAGAACACGUGAAGCACACGGGGGAGGCUGCUCCACUCGGCAUGCACAGGUGGGGCACGGCACCACUACUCGUCUCCUUCAGGCAGAGGACAAGUGAUGUACGCUGAUCAACCACUAGUAGAAAAACGACUUUCCAUCCGCCCCUUUUGUCCCGGUUUAAAGUUGGCCCGGGACAAAAGGUUCACCAACCGGGACUAAAACUCGGUCACUGGUGGGGGGCUCACCAACCGGGACCUUUUAUCCCGGUUGCAAAGGCUAGUGGGAAAAAAAGACUCUGAGAGGCCUUUUAUCCCGGUUUGAAACACCAACCGGAAUAAAAGGUGGUCUUUUAUCCCGGUUGGUGUUUCCAACCGGGAUAAAAGGGUCCCCCACGAGUUAAUACAAAAGGAUAGUAUCCCCUAUAUAGUCAGAUGUGGUGUGUAGGUGGGAUGGCAAGGAAGCUACGCGCGAGGCUGGAGGUUGUGGGUUUGAAUCCCACGAACCGCGCACCCCCACCACGGCAAACGGAGGUGAUGGCGGAAGGUGAGGCAACGACAGUAGCUGGUGAGCUCCCGCUCCAAUGUCUCGCGAGUGAAGGAGGAGGAGGUGGCAUGGGAAUCGAAGAGGAGGCCGCCGCUGGCGGGUUUAGACUACGUGGAUGUGUGGGUAGGGUUAAGGUGACGGUGUGGACUAGUAUAUAUAAGAUGUCUGGGCUUGUUAGAAUAAGAUAACAUUCUAACCGGCCAAAUUCGGACCCGGUUAGAUUAAAUUGAUAUUCUAACCGGUCCUAUUUCUAGGUGGUAAGAAUAAGUUAACAUUGUAAUUGGCUUUAUUUGGAACCCGAUUGAAUCUUCUUGUUAUUCAAAAAAACAUCAAGUUCAUCAAUUUUAAUCCAGAAAAACAUCAAGAUAAUUUAAGCACGAUAUAUAACAAGAUUAAUAAAUUUAAUAAUUGUUUGAUCCACAAAUUAACGAUAUUUAACAAAUUCAAAAAAUCCAAAUUAACAGAACACAAUAACCAAUUGUUCGAAAAAAUCAAAAUAAUCCACACACAUUAAUAUAUUACAAAUUCAGAAAUAUAUCAAAAUAAUCCCCGAUCCACUCGAUACCGUCAUAGGACUUUUAAAUACUGAGCUUCUUGAUUCGUCUGAGGUCCACGUACUCGUCUCAGUAACACUAGUGAUGGCCAUGCAUCUUGUAGAUGUCUUCUAACGAAUCAAGCUUGACGUACAAGGUCAUGCCUUCCGCUCCUUGAGGAUAACCAUCUUUGGUGAUCUUGAAAUGGCAGACGGUGGAUGUGCCAAAGGUACGUAACGAUCCUUCUAAAUGUAUGCCACCACAACUUCCGUCUGAUCGCCAUGGGUGACACCAAGAAGAGCUACCAUGCGGCAAGGGACGAACAAUUUAUCAAUUAGUGCCGCUGUCCAUUCGCCAUCAUCUAAUCCAGCCAUAUCUUGAUGUAUAUUUAAGUAUAGAAAUUAAGAUUUAAAAAUAAACAGAAUAAAUUGAGAUCGACUAUGUAUGUAUAUCAGAACAUUAGCUUUUGGAAAAAGGGCUUCGAUGGAAGAGAGGCACGGGGCAUAGAGACAACAACGAGUGACAAUAUGUCAGAAGAAUACCCGAUCACAAUUAUUGGCUACAGGACGGGCACACACAGCCGAUAUUUACAGUAGUCAAUACCCCUGGUAAAUAACCACACCAUCAAGAGUAAAUAGUGACAAUAUGCAGUAUAUACACGACAUAGCCUUGGUUGCCGUGGAAGCGCCAGAAGGGAGACAAAUAACAGGGACCACAACAUCAAGUAGAUAGUGACAAUAUGCAGAAGAAUACCCGCGCCUGUUAGCAUGUGUGAACUGACCACACCACGAAACGUGAUACACGGCAAGCGUACCAAGGCCUUGCUGUGCAGACUAUGCAUGGACAACACAUGGUACCUGACCGCUUUUGGCCUCAGACACAUCGAAAAACUGCAUCGUUCCACGUUGUACAUCCAUUGCUAGUUUAUCUAUAUUACAUAAUAUAUUAUUAGCUAUUUGAAUAGAAUGAACCAAUUAAAAAAUUGCGUUGUAUUUUAGUACCGGCUGCAGGAUGGUGUUACCAACCAGUACUAAUUGGCCUGUAGGAGUGAUGGUUAUUAGACUUGGUACUGUUGUUAGCAUCAUUAACCUAAUUGUGCGCGGUAUGAAUUUGGGGAUGCAAAGCUAGCUCUCUAUGAAUGUGAGGGAUGGAAAGCUAGUUCUCUAGUAGUAAUUAGCUAUAUAUAUAUGUCAGUCAAGAAAUCGAACACUAUGCUGCUACGAGUCACCAUCAUUUCCUUCAUUGACAAUCUGACAUAGGUGAAGCUGCUUCAAGAAUUUCCUUCGCGCAGUCGUGGAGCUUAUUGGAUUAUCACCAGGACGGGACACGGAAAUGGCCAGCAAUGAAGCUGAUUGCCGUCUGAGGAAGAUUACAUACUUACCUAUGAAAUGAAGCGAUUGCAUAGACUAAUGAAGCAUUGCAUAUUUGCAUGUGAGUGUGGCAGAUAAUUCUGCAGGACAUGAUUGCAAUCCACGCACCAUCGAGAAGACUGGGGCGAUGGGGUUGCCUCAUCAAUAAUCACGUGGAUGCAUGCAUGCAUGUUCCCGCAACCGGACAAGGGUCUGAUAUAUGGCUAUAGUAUUACUGAGCCCACAUCAAUAAUUUCCGCUGGUGUAUCGUGUGGGAAGAAUCAACAUACUACACCUCGAGUUCUUGGAACUAACUGACGUUCACAUGCAACCUCCACAAGGUGCUGUAUAUAUGCUUUUGACAUUCACCUGCCAGUUCGUGUAGAGGACACCCUAACGUAUGGUUAAUAUUAUCCAUUUCAUGAGUAAAAUACUGUGAUUCAAAAAUACUUCAAAUCCCUUGAGACAAUACUUCUCACUUGACUAACCACUAACCAACCCCGAAACCCUAACUCAACUCCGAACCCUAACACCUAACGGCAUAACCACUCCGUUUUGCCAGCCAGAUGGAGGAACUGGCUGGGAGGGAGAGAGGGCAGCGGUCCAGGGUUGAAAACGACGGGCGAGCGCAGUAACAUGUGGAGGAGGAAGUGCCACGUAUUCGUUCACCGCUAUUGGGCAGCGACACACAACACGCCCAAUAAGAUUUUCGCACGGUAGAAGGGCGCCAUGUAUUCAAUAAUGUUAUUGGUCCUCCAUGUGCAGAAGGGCGCGUAUGGAAUAACAAGUAGGGACACUGCAACUAAUCUACUCUGCUCGUCCAGUCCCUAGCCUAUAAAUAGAUGCCAUGCUAGCUCUUGUUGUGCUCACAGUUAAUCCGAUUACACACGAGCUUCUCUCCCUGGCCAAGACACAAUCAUAGUAUGAUGAAGAACAUGGCACUAGCCGGCAAUGGUAUGAAGAAGUUAAUCCUCGCUGUUCUCUUACUGUGUCUAGUUAUAGGGCAGAUACAAGUGGAAGCUAAGAGCUGCUGCCCAUCCACCACUGCAAGAAAUGUCUACAAUACCUGCCGUUUGACGGGUGCAUCCCGUCCAACGUGUGCAAAACUGUCAGGCUGCCAAAUUAUCAGCGGGAACAAAUGCAAGCCCCCUAACGACCACCUCACCCUUGACCCGGACACUGGUAAAUAAUAAAUUUAUCUCACUUGAUUUCUUUGUGUUUUGAGUCGUUAAUGUAUUUUCCAUCUGAUGAAACGCAUUGGUUUUGCAUUGAAGAGGAAGUUAAUGUGCUUAACUUCUGCAAGUUGGGGUGUGCGUCGUCUGUGUGCAACAACAUCAACGCUGGUAAGCACCUUUUGCUCAGACAGAGAAAACAAUAAUCAUUAAUUAGCGGCAGCUAGAAUCCUAUAAUCUAAUAUAUAUAUAUAAUUUUAUCAGCUCUGGGAAAUGAAGAGGCGAACGAUGCCGUUGAGAGUUGCGACCAAGCCUGCUCUAGCUUCUGCAGCGUGCAUGUUGGCAGCGCCACCGUGGUUGCUUAAGCAAAUGCAUCCAACUAGAUCGUCCUUGUGCUGAAUAAUUGGAUAUCGUAUCCACUUAAAGCUGCCUUGUGUAGUACGUCUUUGUGUCUCUCUUUAUAUUCCAAUAAGGUCGGUGAUCUUGAUGCCACACACUCAGAUGUGUGUUCAUCUCCAGAUACUACUCCAUGCUACCUGCCCUUUGUGUUUUGUUCAAUAACUGGGUAUCAUAUCCCAACCAGUAUGCCGUCUGUUUUGUGUUUGUUUCCUUCUAGUUCCAAAAGGGUCAUCAUGAUGUUACCUUCUUUCAAUAUGGUGCUUUGCAUGACUACUGUUGUAUGGUACCAUCUUGUGGCCAAUAAGUACAUCUUAUCCUAUGACCCUUUGCUAUGACCCUUUGCAAAUAAGUAGAAGAUUGUUAUAAGCGUCAAUACUCAGUAUAAUUGAUCGCUGCUGUGAGUUCCCUUUCAGCUUAUCGUAGGCAUACAUUAUUGCUAGCACGGUAAAGCCAACCAACACGAAUGAUGAAGUAAACGUAGCGGUACUUCUGUAUACCAACACCCUUACUUAAAUGUACCGGUGUCAUUCCCUACUGGCACAUAUAUUCUUAUAUGCUAGCCAGCUUGUAAAAUUAACCAAUUAAAAUAAUUAUUUCAAGAUAGAAAUAACUUAUCGGCUUCUGGAAGCAUGUGUAAUGUGAAUUCAAGGACUCGACGGAAGUUGAAUCACUUCAUCUAUAUUGCUUUCAGGAUUUUGGGUAACUAAAUUUAACAUUUGCACAUACAAAUGUUAAAGUACAAAUGUUAAAUCUAGUUACCCAAGCAGAAUAUGAAGAUAGUUUAUAGUAUAUAUAUACUAUAAAUAUACUAUAUAAAUCUAGUUAACAUUUAGUCUAAAUGUUAAAUCUAGUUACCUAAAAUCCUGAAAGCAAAAUGUAUAAAUAUAUAUCUUUUAAGGCAGUAUAAGCUUCGAUUCCUAUUGCUGCUCUGUUAAAUCUCAUCUUUCGUUGUGGCCCAACACUCUAGUAUGCAUGUUGCACCAAGCUUCUUUGAGCCGCUCUGCCCUCUGAUUUUGCUGUGUAGGGGAAUCUUUAUCAGGUUGGGCUACUUCCAGUUGUGCGAUGUAAAGAUUCGUAUUUUCUAGAAGGUAGACAAAAAACUCGCGUUCUCUUAAGGCAACAACCGGAAGAUUCUGCAGCGCAUAGGGCAUACCAUUAUUGUAGAAACGACCUUUAGUACCGAUCUCCAACCCCCUUUAAAACUGGUUUUGCAACCGGUACCGUUAUGUCGGUCCUUUAGUACCAGAUCAAAUAACCGGUACUAAAAGAGUCAACUAAAAGGACUCUUUUAGUACCGGUUGGUAACCAGUAUCAACUUGUUUUGUGGCCAAAAAAAUAAAGAAAAAAACAGUCAGAAGGCUCGCACACACGCGCAUCACAUGAAAUAUGCGUGUGCGGGGUCCAUGGGAUUCGAACCCAUGAAAUCAAGCUACGCGCGACCCUUCGUUACCAUCUCACCUGAAGUAACCCGUGGAGGAGGCUUUAGUACCGGGUCAUAACACCACCCGGUACUAAAAGUGACUCUUCAGUACCGGGUCAUAACACCACCCGGUACUAGUAUCGGAUGGUGUAAUGACCCGAUACUAAAAGGCCUCUAGGGACCCUCAAAUUUGAACCCGGUACUAAUGCUAAUAUUAGUACCGGGUCAAAGUGCAGCCAGAACUAAAGCAUGGGAUGAAAGGUCAUAUUUCUAGUAGUGUAUAGUUGUUGUGAAGGACUUACUUGGCUGUCCUCUCUCUUCUCCAUCCCCUUGGUCUUACGCCGCCGCUCGCACGCGAGCUGGUGCCCAACCAGAGGAGUGAGAGCUAGGGGCAGGUUGGGAGGUGGGGAUAGCGACUGGUGGCCAGGGUGAUGGUUGAUCCUGGCGGGGUUAGGGUUUUAGGGUUUUCGAGCUUCCUAUGGUCGGCGAACCUAGAGGAGGAGCUCAACAUCAGCUGCAACCCGCGAUGGUGGUGGUUUGGCCAGCGCCCGAGGCGAGGCAGCGCGGGAGUGCUGCCGGUGGGUUGGUGUUGGCACUCAUUAUUGACAACUAUUUUGUUCAUAAAAUAACACUCAAACUUGCUGCUGCUGCCGCCGCCAUCGCCACCCUAGCCAUAAUAUAAAGGCAAAAUUUGCUAAAGGACAUGCAAAAUGAUGCUAGUUUGCUGGCGGGCAUCGUUGACCUUGUAAUAUGCUACAAGACACUCUAGUUGUGUAUCAAUUUGCUGAAAGACAUUGCUAUGACUAAAAUAAUGUUUCUGGACUGAGUUGGAGAGAGAGAUGGAGUGAAAUGUCUGUUUUGCCCAUGACCCCACUGGUCAGAUCCUUCUUCUUCCACCCUCCUUUGUUCUUUCUUCAACCAUUACCCAGCUCCAGCGUGUUGCAGAUCUACGAGGGUGGCGGCCUGGGGCGAGGGGCAUUGCUCGCCCUCGGAGGAGCGCUGCGAGCGACGGCGCGGGGGCGGCAACCGCGCGUCAGAACCUGACUGUUCGUUAGCUCCUCUCGCUGCUGGGGAAGAAGGAGGGGGAUGGGCCAUGGACGGGGUUCCCUUGAAAACCUCAGCGUCGAGCUCGGGCGGCUACGCGCAGGCAGCACUAGGCUGCUUCACGGGGAGGGGGCGCGGCCAAUCAUUGGCACCCCACUGGUCCAAUGCUGAUGAAGAUGGUGCCAGCGUCGUGUGAGGACAUCUCAUCUCCUCGAGUUCCAUGGCCAGCACAGGUGAGCUGCCGCUACCACAAAACAGAGAUUUCGUGAGAGUCAAAAAACCUUAUGAAAAUAGCUAAAACCAUCAUGAAAAUAAUCCGUGACAUGACACUCUCACGAAAAUCCUCUCACAAAUAUGGUGCCAUGAAAAUACCAUUUUCAUGAGAGUGAACUGUCAUGAUUUUAUUUCGUGAGAGUAUUUCCUAUCAAUGACCUCCACGAAAUACUUUGUGCCACCAGGUCUUCAAGAUCAUUUUCAUGAGAGCUGAACAUCAGGAAAAGUCCGCCACAAAUGUUUUUCUUGGAGCCUCUAACUCUCAUGAAAAUCAUGCGGGCCGCCACGAAAAACAGCAUGACCAAAUGACAAAUUUUAUUUUCAUGUGUUCAUACCGUGAAAAUGGUCAUUUUCAUGAGAGUUGAUGAAACAAAAAAUAGUGCCAUUUUCAUGAGAGUUCAAGCAACCAGGAAAAGACACUAAUAAACAUCCAGAUCCCAUCCAGCACACAUCCAUGCACACAUAUAACCCACAUAUUGCUCCAGCACACAUCCAUGCAUAUACAAGAUCCAAAUGUUAAUAUAGUAGACAUCCAUGCCUGAACUAGUCUGCCACACAAGUCAUUGAUGCUACAAAUCCUACAAUCGCAGCAUGUGCAUACAAGUCACAGAAUGAGACAAUGUACCCAAAACUAAAAGGUUAGCAUCAACUGUGCUUCAACCAAAGUUGUCAUCCCAACUCUCCUCUUCAUCCAUGCCAUUCUUGUCAUGGCCGUCACUGUCAGUCCCCAUGGCAUUGCCAAUGCUGUGCAUGUCUUGGUAGGAACCUACAUGUGAUGAACCAGUAACCUGCAAAAAGAACUCAAAGGAUCUUGUUCUCAUAUUGUUCUCAUAUUGUAGCUGUGAAAUUCUUACAAGUAGUGUUGCAAUCAGUUCACUUUGAACCAAAAGAGCUCAAAGGAUCUUGUCCUAAAAGUUCCUCAUAAAGCUUAUGGGUUUGCUGGUGGAACUGGAAGGGCUUGAUGCAGCAGAUGCCAUUCUGCAAUAGAGAAAAAUUUAGAGAGCAGUAAUAGUUAAAAUUGGAUGCAGCAGAUACACAUGAAACUAGUAUUUAUACAAGUCUAUACAAUUAAAAUCUAAGGAGACUUAUCAUCGUUUUCAUGUGUUGCGAAUUAAAAUAAUGAAGGAUACACUGUUAGGUGAAAAUUCAAGAAACAAAAUUUUGCAUAGAGAUAAAGGUCCAACAUUAUUACAAGUUAAGGUAGUUUUAAAUAUCCUUGUAAUCUUCCUUUGGUUUCCUCAACGAUUCGAAGACAAUAACCUUGCUUCUAUCAAUGAUAAUUAUAAGGAGAAUCCAGUGGAAACUGUGUAUUCAUAUUAGAACUACCUAAGGUUAAUUAGGUUAGGAAAGGAAAUCGAAAAUAGAUGGUACCCACACUUACUUAAAGUUGUCGGGCAAUAGUAUGUAAUGCUUGUAAUUCCGUUGCUCCAAGAAUUUGUAUAUGUGGUCCAAUGUAGACUUUGGUUGAUCCCGUAUCUGCUGUUGGUUAAAUAAGUGUUUCUAGCCAUUUCUAGCCAUUAGAACUGGGACUAAAGGGGGCUCUUUAGUACGGGUUGAUAUUACUAACCGGGAUUAAAGAGCCCCCAUUAGAGUUGGUUUUUGGAUGCGGAACUAACAACUCCUUUAGUCCUGAGUACGAAAACGACUGAGAUAUUUGUUGCUUGGUUGAAGGUCCUUUCUCUACCGUGAAUAUUGCCAGAAAGAAUUGAAAGAGACUGCUUGCUAAAAAUAUGUCAUAGAUGUAGACCAAGCUACCAAGGAGGUAGCACUAGUAGAGAAUUGACUUUCGAGCCGCCCCCUUUUAUCCCGGUUUAAAGUUGGCCCAGGACAAAAGGGGGUGCGCCGGGGUGCGGAAAUUUGGAGGGGAGCAUUACUCCCGGUUGGUAAUUGCAACCGGGACUAAAGGCCCCCCUUUAGUCCCGGUUGCAACGGCUAGCUGGGGGGCAUCGGUGGCCGGACCCUUUUAUCCCGGUUGGAUCCUCCAACCGGGAUAAAAGGGACUCCCUUUUAUCCCGUUGGAGGAACCAACUGCGAUAAAAAGUUUAGUCCCGGUUGGUGCCUCCAACCGGGAUAAAAGGGUGUCCCUUUUAUCCCGGUUGGAGGAUCCAACCGGGACUAAACUUCCAACCGGGACAAAAGGUGUUUCCUUUUGUCUCGGUUGGAGUUUUUAACCGGGAUAAAAACUCAUCCCCCACUAUGUCCCGAGACAUAGACUUUCUUCUUCCUCCAGCCCGAGCCAGUCCAGCACAUUGAUAGAGAGCUGAGCUUCACCUACUCUCCGGUGGUGCCAAAGCAAGGGAGGUGCUGCCCGAAGUUUUUUCCCUCAUUUUCGUGGGAAUUUGACUCAGCCAACACAAGUGUUGCGAAGGUUUGCUACUUCAUCCUCGUGUUAUGCUUUGAUUUAUGCUUUGGAGAUGGAAAGAUUAUUUGCUACAAUGUGAUGAUGAAGUAGAAAAAUGGAGAGGUAUUUUGAGCUAGAAUGUGAGGGAGAUUGAUGUGUCAUAUAUAGUAUGCAUUAUUUCAGUGGUUUAAAAAUGAUGCUACCUUGUCUAGACGGUUUAUCUUAUCAAAUUCAAUAUGGUUUUUUAAAUCCAUAUACUUGUUGAACUUGCAUACCGUGUUCAUUUCGGCGAGAAUGUUCUCCGCCGAGCAGCAACGUAUGUCAAGAAGGAGGUUCGAUUCUACGAGAAAGAGUGGAUACGGACAUCGUGACCAUGUCCCCUUUUCCGUAGCAUCUAACCUCUUUCAUGACGAAGUGCGGUGCCACCCAGCUGAGGACAUCCUCGCGAAAUGAACACGGUCUUCAAGUUCAACAACUUCUGUAGUGGUAAGGAAAGAAUUUUUGUACAUAGAUGACUUCUGCUACUUGUUGAACUUGCAUACCGUGUUCAUCUCUCCGAGGAUGUUUUCCGCCGAGCAGCAACGUAUGUCAAGAAGGAGGUUUGAUUCUACGAGAAAGAGUGGAUACGGACAUCGUGACCGUGUCCCUUUUUCCGUAGCAUCUAACCUCUUUCAUGACGAAUACCGGUCCCGCCUAGUUGAGGACAUCCUCGCGAGAUGAUCACGGUCUUGAAGUUGAACAACUUAUGCAGUGUUAAGAUGAUCACGAUCUUUAAUCGAUUUUCACGCGUAAUCCAUUAUCAAGUGUAAUCCAUUUUCAUGCGUAAUACGAUGCAGAUGGACUAGCAAUGGAUGUAUAAUGCAGACAGGCGGAGCAAGGCGUUUAUUGAUGGCUUGCAUUAUUUUCUCGAAGUGGCAAAAGCGAACAAGCCAGAGAAUGGGUUCGUAUGUUGUCCAUGCUUCCAAUGCAAUAACAGGAAGGAGUAUUCAAACGAUUCCUGGGGGACUAUUCACAGCCACUUGUUUAAAUACGGUUUCAUGCCUAACUAUUUGGUUUGGACCAAGCACGGUAAACUAGGGGUUGUAAUGGAAGAUGGCGAGGAGGAGGAGGAAGAUGACACCAUUCCGGACUGGGUUGCAGGCCAAGCUUUUGCAGGUACUACAAUGGGCGAGGCUGAUGAAGAUGAGUUUGCAGAAAAUGACCCUACUGAUGACCUUGGUCAGGUGAUACAAGAUGCAUACAGAGAUUGCGAAACUGAGAAGGAAGCAGCAAAGUUGCAGCGCAUGAUAGAUGAUCACCAAAAAUUGUUGUACCGAGGUUGCCAGCAGGACCAUAAAAAACUAGGUACGACACUAGAAUUUGUGCAAUGGAAGGCAAAAAAUGGUGUGUCCGAUAAGGCAUUUCAGGGGAUGUUGAACAUUGUCAAGAAGAUUCUCCCCGAGAAUAAUGAAUUACCGUCCACAACAUAUGAAGCUAAACAGAUUAUUUGUCCUCUUGGAUUGGAUGUUCAGAAGAUACACGCAUGCCCUAAUGACUGUAUCCUCUAUCGUGGUGAUGAAUACGAGAAAUUGGAUGCUUGUCCCGUCUGCGAAGCCCUGCGGUAUAAGAUCAGGCGAGAUGAUCCUGGUGAUGUCGAGGGGCAGUCUCCCAAGAAGAGAGUUCCCGCGAAGGUGAUGUGGUAUUUCCCUAUAAUACCACGCUUGAAGCGCUUGUUCAGGAACAAGGCGAAUGCUAAGUUGAUGCGAUGGCACAAAGAAGACCGUAAGGAAGAUGAGAUGCUGAGACACCCCGCAGAUGGGGCACAGUGGAGAUCAAUUGAUAGAAAAUUCCCAGACUUUGAAAGUGAAGCAAGGAACAUAAGGUUUGGUUUAAGCACUGAUGGAUUCAAUUCAUUGGGUGAGUUGAGUAGUGGUCAUAGUACUUGGCCUGUGACCCUUUGUAUGUUCAACCUUCCUCCUUGGCUGUGCAUGAAGCGGAAGUUCAUUAUGAUGCCGGCGCUAAUCCAAGGCCCAAAACAACCCGGCAACGACAUUGACGUGUACCUAAGGCCGUUGGUUGAUAACCUUUUACAGCUCUGGAAGGAAGAAGGUGUACGUGUGUGGGAUGAGGAUAGACAAGAGAUCUUUAAUCUACGAGCACUGUUGUUCGUAACCAUCAACGAUUGGCCUGCAUUGAGUAACCUUUCAGGACAGACAAAUAAGGGAUAUCGGGCAUGCACCCACUGUUUAGACGACACAGACAGCAUGUACUUGAAGCACUGUAAGAAGGUCGUCUAUAUGGGUCAUCGUCGAUUUCUCCCUGCUCACCACCAGCUGAGAAAGAGCGGGAUGCAUUUCAAAGGGGCGCCAGACCAUCGUAAAAAACCUGCACACCGUAAUGGAAAGCGUGUGUUUGAGAUGAUGAAGGAUGUAUAUGUAGUCUUCGGAAAGGGACUUGGUAGCCAACCUGUUCCGAACGACGAUAACGGACAUGCACCCAUGUGGAAGAAAAAGUCAAUAUUUUGGGAGCUACCUUAUUGGGAAAUCCUAGAGGUUCGCAACGCAAUAGACGUGAUGCACCUGACGAAGAAUCUUUGCGUGAACGUGCUAGGCUUCAUGGGUGUUUAUGGAACCUCAAAAGAUACAUUGGAAGCACGACAGGACCUGAAAGCCAUGGGGCAACGAGAUGACCUACAUCCGGAAAAGAGAGAUAAUGGACAGCACUACUUACGUCCUGCCAGUUACACUCUCAGCAAGGAAGAGAAGGAUAGCAUGUUUGAAUGCUUGAAUAGUAUGAAGGUCCCGUCUGGGUACUCCUCGAAUAUAAAGGGAAUAAUAAAUAUGAAACAAAAGAAGUUUACAAAUCUCAAGGCUCAUGACUGCCACAUGUUGAUGACCCAGUUGCUUCCGGUUGCACUGAGGGGUGUUCUACCAGAAAAUGUCCGGUUGCCGCUCGUAAAGCUAUGCGCGUUUCUCAAUGCGAUUUCGCAGAAGGCAAUCGAUCCAUCCAAGCUAUCAAAGCUACAGAACGAUGUGGUGCAAUGUCUUGUCAGUUUUGAGUUGUUAUUUCCACCAUCCUUCUUCAAUAUUAUGACGCACUUACUGGUUCACCUAGUAAAAGAGAUUGGUAUUCUCGGACCUGUAUACCUGCACAAUAUGUGGCCUUUCGAGAGGUGCAUGGCAGUCCUAAAAAACUAUGUUCUUAAUCGUGCCCGUCCAGAAGGAAGCAUCGCCAGGGGAUAUGGAACAGAGGAGGUGAUCGAGUUUUGUGUUGAUUUUAUUGAUUCAAUUGACUCGAUUGGGGUUCCAACUUCACGCCACGAGGGGAGGCUCCGAGGAAUGGGCACCAUUGGAAGGAAAUCAAGUUUGAGCAAUGAUACUGAUUUGUUCGACAAGGCACACUACACUGUUCUACAACAGUCAUCCUUUGUGUCUCCGUAUAUCGAGCAGCACAGGCAGAUGGUAGCUUCCAAAAACCCGACCAAAUCCGAUGCUUGGCUUACCCGUCAUCACAUGGAAACUUUUCCCUCCUGGUUGCGCCAACAACUUAUGGGUAACUCUGAGAUUCACCCACAGCUUGCCUGGUUAGCCAGGGGACCUACUACCACAAUCGUCGAAUUCCAAGGCUAUGAGAUAAAUGGUUACACAUUUUACACGAGAGCCAAGGACCAGAAAAGCACGAACCAGAAUAGUGGUGUCCGCAUAGAUGCCAUGGACAGAAAUAAUAGCAAGGAGUCGUAUUAUGGUUUCAUACAGGAGAUAUGGGAACUCGAAUACGGACCGCUGUACAUCCCUCUAUUUCUUUGCAAUUGGGUGAAGCUAACUGCCGUCACCAAAGAUCAGUACGGAAUGACAAUAGUAGAUCUGAGCAAGACUGGAUACAGUGAUGACCCAUUCGUACUUGCCAAUGAUGUGCAUCAGGUGUUCUAUGUGAAGGACAUGUGCAGCAAACCCAAGAGGAAUCCAGAAGAGACAUGGGAGCCAAAGUGCCACAUAGUUCUUCCAGGUAAAAGAAAAAUCGUGGGAGUCGAGGAUAAAACAGACCAAUCAGAUGAUUAUGAUCAGUUUGAUGGCAUGCCUCCAUUCGCCGUUGAAGUUGAUCCAAGCAUCCUGCUAUCCAAAGAAGAGGCUCCGUACUUACGCCGCGAUCAUGAUCAAGGAACUUUCGUGAAGAAGAAAUUUUACAACGUUGUAUUGUAAUGCGUUAAAUGUACAUGACCUUUGUGUAUUAAUUGAUACAAUUUGUAAUGUACCCUAUGUAUGAUUUCAUGUGUUAUUAAAUUUGUUAGGUGAAGAUUUUUUAGAUAAACAUGAACAUUGUUAACCACAUACUAACAUGGAUUUUUCUGCUGUUGACGUCGGAUUUCGUCAUCAGUAGAAUCGGCGCCAAAGAGGAAAGAAAUCGAAGGAGGACGGAUGGAAAUCGGCCAAAAGGUGUUACAGUGCGGAAUCGGUCAAGUGGCUUUUACUUCGCUUCAGAGUGAAUACGCCGGGUUCCCAAUCGGCAAUCCUUUGCUGAUAAGAAAUCGGCCGAUCAGGAAGGUGGACUAAGGUGGGCCUGUAUGGGCUUGGAAAGAUGGAAGGAUAAGGUGGAGUUCAGCCCAUGAAGCGUGGGGUAAUUAGUUUAGCUCGGAUUGUGCUUGUAGAUAUUUGUUUUCUGUUUAAAUUAGAGAUAGAGUCCUAGUCGGUUAAGAAGAUUAUUUGUACGGGGCUAUAAAUAGCUACCUUUGUAAAUCUGUAAAAAAAAAACAAUCAAUCAAUACAACAAGUUACUUUAUUCUUCGUACUUACUUUCGAGCAGGCGACUUCGCCAUCACUUUUCCUUCUCACGAGUUCGUGCGGGUUGGCAGGGCUGCAUCAUCUUGAUCUCCGGCCGAUUCUGUAAGUUCCGUUUAUCGAGUAAUAUCUAAGCUUUAACUUCCGGCGCAUCGCUGUUGUUUCGUUUAGAUUUUAUUCAUCAGUUAUCGAUAUCGACUAGAUUCAUAGGUUUUUACCUGUUCUCCUAGUUUUUAUCACCAGUUACCCCGCUAGGAAUCGGUAGUAUCGGCUUUCAUUACUUUCUGUUACCAAAUCCAUCUGUUGCCGAUUAGAUCUUUUCCUGGUGCUGUUACUACGUGCCUUGUACCGAUUACUUUAAUAUUUUUCUAUCUACAAGGCUACGGGGGUCGUGCUGUCUUGUAGCCGAUUUCUUUACCACAGUAAAUCGGCCGAUCUGCCGAUAAGCUCUCUCGAUCGGAAACUUAGCCGAUCGUAGUUACUGAUUUUGACACGUGUUCUUCCUUGCCAAUCAACAGGUCAGAUUGGCUGGCACGCCGCGCGAACCGCACCAGGGCAUUCACCCGAACAGGAGCUAAGCAGAUUCUCCCGGGUCGUGUGUCGGCCGCUGGGAUUCGGUUGACCGAUUUCUAGCGCCAACACACUUUUGGCACGCCCGGUGGGACCAUUACAACCGCUGUCUUGUCGAAAGCUGCUGAAGUCUCCGAAGAUAACGUCAUCGAAGUGACGGAGGCAGAUCUAAAGGACGACCAAAAAGAAGAUCUAAAUCAGUAUUUGGAGCAAGUCCGGAAAACUUGCUUGAAAUCCUUCAGUCGUUCCAGGAGCGGGGAAACUGUUAAAAAGUCUCCUUUCCCUACUCCCCGCCAGAUCACGAUUUCAGAAGAUUCGGACAAAAUGUCCGAUAUGAUUCAGCAAUCUCUUCAUCACGCCUUCAUCAACCAAUCCCCGGUACUUUCAAACAUGGUGCACAAUGCUGUUGUCAACUCUUUCGCCGGAGGUAUACCACAGGGGUACAGGGGGCCUACGUAUUUUCAGCCGAUUCCACCAAAUCAGGCUUAUCAGGCUUCACAGCCGAUCCAAUCCUCUGUCGGAGGAUCUGGUGCUUCUACGUCAUCAACUCCUUUGGGAUACGGCUCCACUGCACCACUCCCUCCAGUCAUUCCUUUACCCUGGGGGGCACCCUUAAACACGACCGGUUUGAAUCAAUCGGUCAGCCAAGGAAAUCCUCCGUUCCAGACACCCUCCCAAACGGCCACUCGGCCGAUCAUACCACCAUACCAGCCUAUCGCUCCGGAGGUCAACAAGACGUCAGAGCUCAUGCUAUAUGAUGGAACAAGUGGUUCAUACAAGCAGCCGUCCUUUACUACACCGCCGGCUUAUACUCAGAUACCACCUUUUCAUCAACCUCCUUUUAUUCAACCUCCGAUUUAUCAACAUGUGCCGAUUCCGCCGCCAAUUAUUCCCCAACAACAACCGGAUUGGACGGCGCAAAUCGCGGAGGUAAUGCAAGAACAAUUCGGACUGAAGCCGAAGGUGCAAACUUAUACCUACAGGACACCAUACCCAUCUACGUACGACUUGUUGCCGUUUCCCCAUCGGUACAAAGUCCCGGAUUUCACUAAAUUUUCCGGAAUAUAUGAUACUUCUACCGUGGAACAUGUGAAUAGAUUCAUCAUCCAAUGCGGAGAAGCAGCUACGCAAGAUGCCCUACGGGUACGGUUGUUCUCGUCAUCUUUGUCUGGAUCGGCUUUCCAAUGGUUCACCACUUUGCCACCAAACUCGAUUAUCACAUGGGCCGAUCUAGAGAGGCAGUUCCACAAGUACUUCUAUGCUGGAGUCCACGAAAUGAAGUUGUCUGAUUUAACUAGCCUCCGGCAACGAAGUGAUGAGCCGAUACCCUCGUACAUACAGAGGUUUCGGGAAAUCAGAAACAAAUGCUACUCCUUGGCUCUAACCGAUGCGCAGUUGGCCGAUAUAGCUUUCCAAGGCCUGCUGCCACACAUUAAGGAGAAAUAUGCUUCGCAAGAAUUCGAGAGCCUGAGCCAGAUUGUCCACCGAUUGUCCGGACAAGAGGUGCGUCCAUUCGAUCCAAGAAGGAAUUUCCAGAAGAAAGUGGCGUUCCUGGAAGAAUUAGAGGACGAGGAAGACGCCGACAUCGGACUUGCAGAGUGGAUUAAAGGAAAGAAGCCGAUAUCAUGCCCGUUCGGCAAAAAGGAGCCGGAAGCAUUUGGUUUCGAUACAACUAAAGCUGACAAAAUCUUUGAUCUUCUACUCCAGGAAGGACAAAUUAAACUCUCGCCUUACCACACGAUACCCUCUGCCGAACAAUUGAAGAAGAUGAAGUAUUGCAAGUGGCAUAACGCCACAUCACAUGAUACCAACGCCAUUGAGCAAGGCAGACUCAAAUUUGAAGUGCCGGCAAAACUGGCUAAACCUAUGAAGAUUGAUCAACACCCUUUUCCUACCAACAUGGUGGAUACGGGUAAGAAUCCCCUCCAAACAAAAGUGCUGACGUCCGAAUCGGCAAAAAGGAGCGGCUCUGUCGACCCCAGAAAUCAAGUUACACCCGAAGACAUCAAAGGGAAACGGCGAAUGGAGGACGACGAUGGUGAGUCUGAUAGACCACGUAUUACUUCCCAGUUCCUGCUCCAAAAGUACCAACGCCAACAUGAACGAUCGAGGUCCCGAGAGGAAGCAAUGCGUCGACACGAAGAACACUGGAGAUGCCCAUUCUUCAUCCAUUGUUGGGAAAAUAACCUCAGGCUUCCAUCAGCCGAUACUUGCCCAGAGUGCAACGGUCCCUAUCGAAGCAAUCGGCCGAUUACAAGGUCUCGCUCCAGAGACGGAAGGCCAGAACCGAUCAGCAGGAAUCGGCGCAACCCAGAUGAUCAGCGCCCUUCCAUGCGUGAUCGGCUGGGGGGCAGAAGUGACCGAUAUGAUCGGUCAGAAGAUAGAAGCCAUAAUAGGCAGGGGGGCAGGACCGAUCGACAUGAUCAAUCAAGUAGCAAAGCCAGCGUUCACAGUCGGCUCCAAGACAUGGCCGAUGCUCGGGUAACAGACGAGAACCCGUUAGGACGCGAGCCAGAAUGGGAACGCGCCAGGAAAGAAGGGAGGCCAAUAAACCCCAGAUGGUGUCCCGAUGGUUUGACCAAAUCACAAAAACGAAGAGUCCAACGCCUCCGCCAAUGGGAACAGCAAGAAGAAGAAAGCGCGAUGGACAAGAAGGAAGGGAGGCCUCGGGUAUGGCGCCCCAAAGGAAACGACAAGGGCAACGAUGAAUCGGCGGGUGAUGAAUCGGCAGCCGAAAUCGGUAUGGUUUUCAUAUUGCCGACGGAGUUUAUGACCCCUGCCGAUCAACAGAACGUGUCGGCAAUAGAGGAACAAACAGCACGGUUGGCGUUAGAACCAAUGAUGGCCACGUUCGAAAAGCCCGAAGACGACGAACGACAACAUAUGAAGGCGUUGUUUCUUAAAGGGCAUGUUGACGGUCGCCCCCUCACUAAAUUGAUGGUCGACGGGGGAGCUGCCGUCAACAUCAUGCCGUAUGCCAUACUCCGAAAGCUGGGAAAGAGCGAUGACGACCUAACCAGGACGGACAUGAUGCUCAAGGACUUCGAAGGCAAGGUGUCAAACGCUCGCGGUGCCCUCUGCGUUGACCUCACCAUCGGCAGUAAGACCCUUCCUACCACGUUUUUCGUCAUUAAUGGCAAAGGGUCCUAUAAUAUGCUUCUUGGACGAGACUGGAUACACGCAAACUGCUGCAUACCGUCAACUAUGCAUCAAUGCCUGGUACAAUGGGUCGGCGACAACAUCGAGGUGGUCAAAGCCGACUCCGCGUACAGCAUCGCAGCAGCCGACGCACAGCAAUGGAGCUGCGAAACCGUCAGGUGCAUAUCAGGUAGGGUGUGGGAAACUGAUUUCCUGAAGGUCACCGAUUUUGGCCUACAGCCGAUCCGAGCAGUCGGCUCUGAAGAAGCGCAAUAAAUGGAUCAGUUCGCCCGAGAAGACGGGAAGCUGGGACACGGAUUCACGUCGGCCGAUUCAUUGGAAAUGGUAGAUUUAGGUGACGGGACCAAACCAAGGCCGACUUUUAUUAGUGCAAAUUUAGAUCCAGAGUACAAGUGUAAAUUGACAAAUUUAUUAAGAGAAUUCAAGGAUUGUUUUGCGUGGGAGUAUCACGAGAUGCCCGGAUUAGAUCGAUCUAUUGUUGAACAUCGGCUACCCAUAAAACCAGGGUAUCGGCCGUACCAACAACCCGCACGGCGAUGCAAUCCUAAAAUUUUACCAGACAUAAAAGCCGAAAUAACUCGGCUAAUUGAAGCGAAAUUUAUUCGGCAAUGUCGUUACGCCGAGUGGAUUUCUAAUAUCGUACCGGUGUAUAAGAAAAACGGGAAACUGCGCGUUUGCGUCGAUUUCAGAAAUCUUAAUCAGGCCACACCGAUGGAUGGCUACCCCAUGCCUACGGCCGAUGUACUGAUCGACGCUGCCGCGGGGCACAAAAUUAUUAGCUUCAUGGAUGGGAACGCCGGAUACAAUCAAAUACUUAUGGCCGAAGAGGACAUACCCAAAACGGCUUUCAGAUGUCCAGGCCAUCUUGGUCUAUUCGAGUGGGUGGUGAUGACUUUCGGUUUGAAGAAUGCUGGUGCUACAUAUCAGAGGGCCAUGAACUAUAUUUUCCACAAACUCAUCGGCCUCCUGGUGGAGAUCUACAUCGACGACGUUGUGGUCAAAUCCAAAAGCCACGAGGAACACCUAGCCGAUUUGCGAAGGGUCCUAGAGUGUACCAAGAAACAUGGUCUUAAGAUGAAUCCCAACAAAUGCGCUUUCGGCGUCUCCGCCGGACAGUUCCUAGGAUUCAUGGUGCACGAACGAGGCAUUGAAGUCAAUCAGAAGACCAUAGCGGCCAUCAACAAAGUCGUCGCUCCGCAGAACAAAACUGAACUACAAUCUCUAAUCGGCAAGGUAAACUUCAUCGGAAGGUUUAUAUCUAAUCUAUCUGGACGGAUCCAGACGUUCACACCACUUCUGAAGUUGAAGCCAGACCAAGAAUUUAUUUGGGGAGAAGAACAGCGCAAGGCGUUAGAAGACAUCAAGCGAUACUUAGUCUCGCCCCCAGUCCUGGUUCCCCCCCAAACGGGUAAGCCGUUUAAACUAUAUUUAUCAGCCGAUGAAAAAGCUAUUGGGUCGGCUCUAGUCCAAGAGUUUGAAGGCAAAGAACGGGUGAUUUAUUACGUUAGUAGAAGACUCCUGGAUGCCGAAACAAGAUAUCCUCCAGUAGAGCGUUUGUGUUUGUGUCUUUACUUCUCGUGCACCAAACUCAGACACUAUCUACUGUCGGCAGAAUGUAUAGUCGUAUGCAAAGAUGAUGUAGUGAAAUACAUGCUGUCACUGCCGAUAUUGAAAGGGCGAAUCGGUAAAUGGAUUUUAGCUUUAUCAGAAUUUGACCUACGGUACGAAUCGGCAAAAGCCAUCAAAGGUCAAGUCAUGGCCGAUUUCGUCGCACAGCACUGUGGGCCGGAGAUCGCCUUCGUGGAACUAGCGCCUUGGCAGUUAUUUUUUGAUGGGUCAUCAUGCGGAGUCGGAUCGGGAAUCAGCAUCGUUCUCAUAUCGCCUCGGGGGGCAAGAUACGAUUUUUCUCUGCCGAUAGAAACCGCCACCACAAACAAUCAAGCGUAAUACAGAGCUGUAUUAAAAGGCUUACGAUUAUUGAGAGAAGUCAAGGCCGAUUCUGUCGAGGUCUUCGGAGAUUCGAUGUUAAUCGUGGAUCAACUAACCGGGAAGGCUGAGUGCAAAGAUGACAUAUUACGAAUUCAUCACGAAGAUUGCCUACAGCUGUUAAAAGAAUUCAGAUCGGCAGUAAUCGAGCAUGUCCCAAGAGACCGCAAUGAGGAAGCGAACAAACUCGCUCAACACGCAUCUGGGUAUCGGCCGAUUCUAGGCGCCAUGGCCUUAGAGCUUGCAGCUGACGAUUGGCGCAAAGAAAUUGCCGAUUACCUAAAGGAUCCGUCUAAAAAGGUGGAGCGGCGAGUACGCUUUCACGCUACCAAAUACGUAUUACUCGAAGAUGAUCUGUUUUACCGAACGAUCGAAGGUGUUCUUCUUAAAUGCCUUGGGACAGAAGAAGCCAAGACUCUAAUGGGAGAAAUCCACGAAGGGGUAUGCGGAGCUCACCAAUCAGCACAUAAGAUGAAGUGGAUGAUCAGAAACAAUGGGUACUAUUGGCCUACGAUCCUUGAAGAUUGUUUCAAAUAUUAUAAGGGUUGUCAGGAGUGUCAAAAGUUUGGAAAUGUCCAGCAUGCACCUGCAUCGGCCAUGAAUCCCAUCAUCAAACCAUGGCCGUUCAGAGGGUGGGGAAUAGACCUUAUCGGCCAAAUUUAUCCACCAUCGAGCAAGGGGCACAAGUUUAUUCUGGUCGCCACCGAUUAUUUCACCAAAUGGGUGGAGGCAAUCCCAUUAAGAACUGUGACUUCGGCUAUCAUGGCCGAUUUUGUAAGGGAUCAUAUCGUCUACCGAUUCGGUAUCCCUCAAACUGUAACAACCGAUCAAGGAACGAUGUUCACAUCGGGGGAAUUUGAGGAGUUUACAACCGAUAUGGGCAUCAAAUUGUUAAAUUCUUCUCUGUAUUACGCUCAGGCCAAUGGUCAAGCAGAAUCUUCCAACAAAGGAAUAAUCAAGUUGAUCAAAAGGAAGAUUGAAGAAUACCCGAAGAAGUGGCACCUGUGUUUAACCGAAGCCCUAUGGGCAUACAGAAUGGCCUGUCAUGGGGCCACCAAGUUAUCUCCUUAUCAGUUGGUAUACGGUCACGAUGCAGUACUUCCAUGGGAAUCGAGGGCAGGAUCAAGGCGCAUUUCACUUCAAGACCAGUUAUCGGCCGACGACUACUCGGCACUUAUGAAAGAAGAACUUGAUGAUGUGGCCGGUCAUCGACUAAGGGCUCUGAUAAGUAUCGAAGAGAAUAAAAAGAGAGUGGCCAGGUGGUACGAUAAAAAGGUCAAAGUCAAGCAGUUCUCCCCCGGAGAUUUGGUAUGGAAGUUAGUACUACCGAUCGGGUCGAAAGAUCCUAAAUUCGGUAAAUGGUCUCCUACCUGGGAAGGGCCGUAUAAAAUCGGCAAAUGCUUAUAUCUUGGAAACAAUAGAAGGAGAAGAAUUCACUAGAGCUCUGAAUGGGAGGUAUUUAAAAAGGUAUUACCCAAGUAUAUGGGUCGGUGCCUAAGGAAUUAAACACGAUCAUACAUGACCGAUACGAUUCGGUCUUGAGACACACAUAAAGUCAACCGGAACGGCCGAUUACAUUCAUUCGGUACGGGCGACGGGUUACAUGGCCGACAAAAUGUUUAGUCGCCCUUAGAACAAAAAUACAGCAACUAAUUAUUCUUUUUCUUACGCUCCCUCUCAGCCCGACCUAACUCUAUCAUGAGUCGGAUGUAUUCUUCUUCUAUGGCCUUCAUUGAAAUCUCCGCUUCGACUUGACCGGGGAGAUCUACGGGAGGGCGCGAAGUCCCCACUCCCGCAUCUUCAAGAACGACUUGCCGAGGGAGUGGAUGACUCCUGUCAAUGGGAGGUCGACGGCUGCCAUUCCUCUCCACGAAGUCCAGGAUCAUUCGGGCCUCCGUGGCGAUGUCGUCUUCAAGAUCGCCACAACGAUCGCCCCUGACAGGUGGAGAUUGCUGGUUACUUUCACUCACCACGGAAUCCAAGACUACGCGAGCCUCCGUGGUAAUGUGAUCCUGGAGCUCUUCUCGGUGAGCCGCGAUCAGCAUCUUGUCCUCCGACGUUAAUGGAUCUUCGGAAUGAAUGCACUCAAUGGCGCGCACGAGCUCGGGGCUAAGACGUUGAGGCUGAAACAAAGAAGGGAUGAGGAGGGAUAUUCUCUUCCUUAGGGUCUAAAAAAGAAAGGAAGGUAGAGGUCAAAAAACUUCACCUGGUUAACAGAGGAAGAAGAAGAUGACGAGGCCAUAGCGAAGAAAUUGCACCGAUGAGAAGGGGCAGAAAGGUUGAACCGAGAGCCAAGAUUGAUGUUACCAGGAGUAAGCGCCGAGCUUGGUAUUUAUAAAAGAAUGCGUGGAAAUCUGGUAAAGCUACGUCCCAUCGGUAAUAAGAAGGCAAUAAAUAGAAAGGGCGUCGCGAGGGGCGGUCAAAGAAGGUAGUAAAUGAUUCGUACAAAACGGUCAGUGUUUUACAGAUUACCCAGAAGGGUAUCGAUGGCCGUGAUGGCCCGACGCCGGAUCUGAUCGGCAGAGUCAAGUACCCGUUGGUCUUCUUCCGCCGAUCCAGGAACCUCCGAUGCGCUGCGAUGGAGUCUCAGUGCCUCGUGAGCAAAGCGUUGCCUCUCCCGUGUUAAAUCGGCAAUAACAGAAGGUAGCUCUUCGAGUUUGUUCUCUUCGGCACUGAUUGCCUUGAUCACUUGCUCCAUUUCCUUGGCAAGCUCCGCCCUACGACGCUUGAGACGGUCUAUUUCUCCUAUGAUCGCCGGACGGGAAUCUUCUAGGACAUGGAUACGCCGAUUCGCCUCUUGAGCCUGACGUUUGAAAGCGUCUUCCUCUUCGCGAGCCUUGGUCAGCUUAGCGCGAUCGGCCAUGUGACGAAGGGCUCUGAAGACCGGGAUCCUCAUAGACUCGAUGAAGGCCGCCGGCGCCAGGGCCUCCUCCGCCUCUUCUGGUACUCGUCCGCUGACGUCAUUGAAGAGCUGCCGAAUCGGCGAGGCGUCUUCUACUAAUCGGCCGAUGUCCCCUUGAAGGAGGGAUCGGAUGCUGGAAAGUUUGGCUCGGACGUCGUCAGGAACGGAACUCAAGGCGACUUGGCGAGAAGCAACUUCUUCGUCGUCAGAGAGGGCGACCGCAAAAGAAAAGAGACUGUUGUCGGGGGUAUCCUGUUCCUGAAGAUAAUAAAGAAAAGAAAUGAACCAGCUGUAAGAAAGAGCAAAUCGGCUAAGAUGGAGGCCGAAACAGAAAAAUACCAUUUUGAAGCGAAUCUCCUCAUGUUGCACUUGAGAAGCCGCCAUGCCUUGCUCGGGGGCCUGCGCCAUGGGUUCAUCAGAUGGAGAGGACUCCACGAUAAUUGGCGCAGUGUUUGGACCAGCCUCCUGACAAGAAAUCGGCGAUCGAGGAGCGAUUGAUGUGCCGAUGGCCUGUGUCAGAAGUUUGAAUAAAUACGGUACGUAAAUGCCCAAAGGAAAUCGGUACGAGAAGUUCUAUACAUUAACGGAAGGAAACGGGGGCACGUCAAUAGCUGGAGGGGCUGCUGCCGAUUGUGGUACUUCUGUAGGGAUGCUCUGUGCAGUUUAAAGAUAAAAGAAAAAUUAAUAUCAAAAAUAAUAAUCGGAGACAGCGCAACUCAGUUUUACCUGUAUGGCCUCCAACAACAACGAUGCGGCGGCCGCCCCAGCUUGCGUCAUGGUUUGAGUAUCGGCACCUUGAAUGACUUGAGGAGGUGGUACGGCCGAAGUGUCUGCCGAUACGCUCACGGGAGGAUCCGCCGAUCCCGUACGAGCCCGGACUCGGCGACUGGUCUUCUUGGUAGUCCUUUUAUGAACUUGUUUCGAUCGGCCAGUAAUCACGUCAACAGACGGGGCGUUAUAGCCGAUAAGGGGAUAAGUAGUGUAUGGAUGACUCUCUAUCAGUCGUCCGCUGCGGCUGUGUGUUGGAGGGAUCCGAUUCUCGGCCUAAAAUAAUAAAAUCAUUAGUACUCGGUCGUGUUAAGGGGAAUAAAAGGGAAUAAAAAUCGGCUAUGUGAAGUACCUCGGCGUUUGGAUCAAUGUUGGUCGGGUCCAGAAGAUUGCAGUAUGCCGAUGCUGAGUUGCAGAAGAGGAAUUGCUUCCAAUCAGCCCACCAUAGUUUGAACGGCUGAACAGCAAAUGGAGCUACUAGCCAGUCGUUCAAGUUAAUUGUACUGGAGUCUGGAAUUCGGUCUCGCAACCGACCGUAAUCUAGGCUAGAUUUGAGAUCAUCUCUAAACUUGAUUUUGCCAGCAAAGUACACCUGAAUCGGCAGCUGACCCAUGCCAAAUUGUCGUGCCGCAGCAGAAGGGUUGUAGAAUUCAUACGUAGGGGCAUCCUUCCCUGAGAAGAAAUUGGCCGGUAGGAUCCCUGGCUUGAUCAACCCUUCAUAGAGAUCUUCAUCAAACCGGCCAGAAGUUGAGUCAAAGCAGGAAGGGAGCUCGAAGAUGGGAAUGUCUCGCUGGUAUGGAAACCAGAUAGUUGCGUCCUCAUUAAAUCCAUCGUAAAAGCACCGAAAGUACUCGGCUACCUUUGUAGCGGAAUACGCACAACCUGGAAAAGCUGAUGCCGCUUCACCAUAAGACAUGCAUCGGCGACGCUCGGUAGGGUCUUCCGCCGAUUCAAUAUUGGGAAACGUCAUGUGGUCCACUGGCUGCCGGGUGAUCCUGUUCAUGUAAAGGUUCAACCAUAGAUUGACGAACCACCAAGGCCCACCUGGGUUGCCGAUUGGUUCUCCCUUGGAAAGUUUUGUGCCGAUUUGGUGGAGCAUGUGGUACACAGCACCCAGAAGAUGUUUCCCGAGAGGAAUGUGGCUUCCUUUGGACAGUGCCUCGGCUAAAGAUUGGGUGUUGGUUGUUGGGCCGGCGGCUCUUCCACAGAAAAGGUGUUUUUCUAGCCACAUCAUCAGGAAAGCGGUGUGCUCCCUAUUAUCAAUAGUACCGGUCUUCUUGUUAUUACUAAUAAAGCCCUUCCAGCUGCCGAUUCCUCUUACGUCCAGCCGAUGCGACGGUACGGUCAGAAGUUGGAAAGGCGUGUCAGGAGAGGAUAUGUCCAGGCCGGUCAAGAGGACCACAUCGGCCAGAGUGGGGGUCAUAGGACCGUGUCCAAAUAAGAAUGCAUUAAGAGCGUCAGACCAAAAAUAGGAAGCCGCCAUCACUAGCGGUUCGUUUUUCUCCAUUUGCGACAGAGAGAGGUUGAUACAUUGGCCGAUUUUGAGUUCAUCCCACAAGACGCUCUUUGACGUGGCCAUCCGUUGGUACCAUUCCCUCCAACCGGGGGUUUCAUUCGGCCAAGAUCUAAAAGUGCUGGCCCAUUGAUCUAAGUUCAUGUCAGAUCGUUUGAAAGGUAUCCGGUCAGUUUCCAAGUUUAUGAGGUCUGCUGGAUCUGGGUCUCCCAUGGGACCAAGGCAAACAAGGCCAGGACUACCCGUGAGAUGGAUAGUGAUUCUAUGUCUAACCGCCUAAAUGAGGAAAAGAGGCAUAAGAAUAUAAGGAAUAGAUCUAAGAUAAAUACGUUACCGAUAGAGGAAAAAUUCGGUGUUUACCUCCGGUAUAAAAUUCUGAGUAAUCGGUGUGGUCGCCGAUGCAGAUGCAGAUGAUGAAGCCGUAAUGGGGAUCGCCAUUGGGAUCUCUGAUGAAGCUCCUUCAUCUAUGGAUGGAGUGACGGUUGUUGCCACCGUUACCGGAGGUGCUACCUCCACCGGGGGCAUUGUCCCUGGAGCAUCGCGUGCUGGGGAAUUACCGGAGGGAGUCGCCAUUGAAGGGGAGGGGAAGAAGUGACAGGAGCUGGAGCUGGAAGGCUUCGAUGGCAAGAUUGAAGAAGGAAGGAAGUGCGCGCGCUGGAAAGAGGGAUGUGAGCUUGAAGAUGAGUUGCGGUGAAAUGAUAUUUAUAGGGUGCCUGAAGAAAGGGUAAAGAUGGAAUUUUCAACGCGCCGGCGCGUCGAGUUUUUCGGGGUAGUGGCUGUCGUGGGCGCCCGUUUCAAAAAAUUGCAAUGAUCAGCCGGGAGACCGCGAAACGGAAGGAUAUUUUCACUGCGGCCGUUUCGGAAGAGAGGUUAUAAAGAAUUUCGAAGUAAAAGGCUAUGUUUUACUCCGAAACUGGGGGGCAUGUGUUGACGCCGGAUUUCGUCAUCAGUAGAAUCGGCGCCAAAGAGGAAAGAAAUCGAAGGAGGACGGAUGGAAAUCGGCCAAAAGGUGCUACAGCGCGGAAUCGGUCAAGUGGCUUUUACUUUGCUUCAGAGUGAAUACGCCGGGUUCCCAAUCGGCAAUCCUUUGCUGAUAAGAAAUCGGCCGAUCAGGAAGGUGGACUAAGGUGGGCCUGUAUGGGCUUGGAAAGAUGGAAGGAUAAGGUGGAGUUCAGCCCAUGAAGCGUGGGGUAAUUAGUUUAGCUCGGAUUGUGCUUGUAGAUAUUUGUUUUCUGUUUAAAUUAGAGAUAGAGUCCUAGUCGGUUAAGAAGAUUAUUUGUACGGGGCUAUAAAUAGCUACCUUUGUAAAUCUGUAAAAAAAAAAAACAAUCAAUCAAUACAACAAGUUACUUUAUUCUUCGUACUUACUUUCGAGCAGGCGACUUCGCCAUCACUUUUCCUUCUCACGAGUUCGUGCGGGUUGGCAGGGCUGCAUCAUCUUGAUCUCCGGCCGAUUCUGUAAGUUCCGUUUAUCGAGUAAUAUCUAAGCUUUAACUUCCGGCGCAUCGCUGUUGUUUCGUUUAGAUUUUAUUCAUCAGUUAUCGAUAUCGACUAGAUUCAUAGGUUUUUACCUGUUCUCCUAGUUUUUAUCACCAGUUACCCCGCUAGGAAUCGGUAGUAUCGGCUUUCAUUACUUUCUGUUACCAAAUCCAUCUGUUGCCGAUUAGAUCUUUUCCUGGUGCUGUUACUACGUGCCUUGUACCGAUUACUUUAAUAUUUUUCUAUCUACAAGGCUACGGGGGUCGUGCUGUCUUGUAGCCGAUUUCUUUACCACAGUAAAUCGGCCGAUCUGCCGAUAAGCUCUCUCGAUCGGAAACUUAGCCGAUCGUAGUUACUGAUUUUGACACGUGUUCUUCCUUGCCAAUCAACAGGUCAGAUUGGCUGGCACGCCGUGCGAACCGCACCAGGGCAUUCACCCGAACAGGAGCUAAGCAGAUUCUCCCGGGUCGUGUGUCGGCCGCUGGGAUUCGGUUGACCGAUUUCUAGCGCCAACAUCUGCGCAUUCAAAUAAUUUAAUUGAAUAAUUUCUUGAUCACAGCAAUGCAGUAAAAUAAAUAUUUUACAGGCUAAAUGAGUUGGUAUAGAAUUAAUGAUUACUUCAUACUUAUUGUCAAUUUACUCGUUAAUUAAAUAUAUUUUUGCAUGUACAAAAUCUGUGAAGGUUUUGUUUUUCAUCCUGAAAUGCAGUGAAAAGGUAAAAUAAAAUCCAUUUCCAAAAAACAGGCGGGAGAAGAAAAAUAGGAAAAAAGACCUUUUGUCUCGGGGCUAACAGCAACCGGGACAAAAGGCCCCCCUUUUAUCCUGGUUGCCAACGGCAACCGGGAUAAAAGGGUACGUUUCGUCUCCCGCCCAAACGUACCCUUUUAUCCCGGUUGCCAACUGCAGCAGGGAUAAAAGGGUACACUCCCAGCCCCACCUGGCGGGGGUACCCUUUUGUCCCGGGUCCCGUCGCCAACCGGGAUAAAAGGGGGGGGGCCUUUUAUCCCGGUUGGUGNNNNNNNNNNNNNNNNNNNNNNNNNNNNNNNNNNNNNNNNNNNNNNNNNNNNNNNNNNNNNNNNNNNNNNNNNNNNNNNNNNNNNNNNNNNNNNNNNNNNGACGAGACGACGACGCGAGACGACGACGGCCGAGGCGAAGACGACGACGGCGGCGUAGGCGGGACGGCGACGAGACGGCGACGAGGGGCGACGAGGAUGGAGCCGGCGACGAGGAUGUGGAGCCGGUGGCCGGAGGCGACGAGGUGGCCGGGGGCCGGGCGCGUCGACGGACGAGGAGGGGAUCGAGGAGGGCCGGCCGGGGGACGACGACGGCGCAAUGGGGGACAUCGACGGCGCAAUGGGGGACGACGACGGCGGCGGCCGGUGAGGGAGGCGGACGGGCGGCGACGGCGGAGAACGCGCGGGACUUGCGAAAUUUUGGCUAAGUGUGUAACUGGCAGGGGGUAGAAGGGAGUACAGUGCCUUUUAACCCCCCCCUUUUAUCCCGGUUCGUAAUAGGACCCGGGACAAAAGGCUCUUUUGUCCCGGGUCCUAUUACGAACCGGGAUAAAAGGGGGGGGUUAAAAGGCACUGUACUCCCUUCUACCCCCUGCCAGUUACACACUUAGCCAAAAUUUCGCAAGUCCCGCGCGUUCUCCGCCGUCGCCGCCCGUCCGCCUCCCUCACCGGCCGCCGCCGUCGUCGUCCCCCAUUGCGCCGUCGAUGUCCCCCAUUGCGCCGUCGUCGUCCCCCGGCCGGCCCUCCUCGAUCCCCUCCUCGUCCGUCGACGCGCCCGGCCCCCGGCCACCUCGUCGCCUCCGGCCACCGGCUCCACAUCCUCGUCGCCGGCUCCAUCCUCGUCGCCCCUCGUCGCCGUCUCGUCGCCGUCCCGCCUACGCCGCCGUCGUCGUCUUCGCCUCGGCCGUCGUCGUCCCGCCGUCGUCGUCUUCGUCCUCGUCGCCGUCCCGCGCGCCGCCCGGCCGCCGCCGUCCCGCCGCCCCGGCCGCCGCCGUCCCGCCACCCCGGCCGCCGCCGUCCCGCCGCCCCGGCCGCCGCCGUCCCGCCGACCCGGCCGCCGCCGACCCGCCGACCCGGCCGCCGCCGUCCCGCCGUCCCGCCGUCCCGGCCGUCGGCCCGCGCGGGAGAGGUCCGCUGCCGCGCCGGCCGGCAGCGCCGGGAGGGUUUUCUUUUUAAGUUAAUUAGAAAAUUAAGUUUUAUUUUUAGAUAGAAUUGUAAUUUUGUUAAGUUAGAUUUUUAGAUUUCUAGUUAGUUUGUUAAGUUAGAUUUCUAGUUAGUUUUUUAAGUUAGAGUUGAUAUAGAGAUCGCCGAGUAGCCGCCGUGAUCGUCGCCUUGUAGCCGCCGUGAUCGCCGCCGAGUAGCCGCCGUGAUCGCCGCCAUCCCGCCGCCCAUCACAACCUAGUAGGCACCGCCCGUGGUUCCGGUGAACCGUCCCCGCCGUACCGCCGCCCUGACCGCCGCCGUCCCGCCUCCGCCGCCCUGAUCGCCGCCGUCCCGCCUCCGCCGCCCUGAUCGCCGCCGUCACAACCUAGGCACCGCACGUGGAUAUUGUUACAAAUUCGUAGAAAUUCGUCAAAAUUCGUAGAAAUUCGUCAAAAUUCGUAGAAAUUCGUAGAAAUUUGUAGAAAUUCAUAGAAAUUCGUAGAAAUUCGUAGAAAUUUGUAGAAAUUCGUAGAAAUUCAUAGAAAUUCGUAGAAAUUCAUAGAAAUUUGUUGAAAUUCGUCAAAAUUCAUAGAAAUAUUUCGGACUUUGUACGAUUCAUGUUAUUUUAUGAUUUCAUUAUAUACAUGUAUGAUUCCAUUCCGGACUUUGUACAAAUUUGUAUUAAGACGAUUUCUAUGACUGUCAUGUAUGAUUCCAUGUAUGUUUCCAUCAAUAGUUGAAAUGGCAGACGAUGAGACCGCAAGGUAUAUCAUGGAGCAGAUAAUCGCUGGUGAUGGUAGUGGCGACAACGUUCCACUAUCAUACACGUAUGAAGAGGGCACCCAGGCGGACAUGUUCCUCAACAUGUCCGCUGAUGGGAAUGAAGAGCAACAGCCGCAACAACAACUUGCCGUGGCGGAAGGUUCCGGCGAGGUAUAUACAACCAUUCUUGUAUUGUUUCACGCCACCGCUACUACUACGUACUAAUUAACGAAUCUUGAACUGUUAGCCCUCCGGAUCGACACAAGGGCAGAAGACCUGAGGUCGUACAAAGGUGAUGGAAGGGAGGCUUGUCAUCACCGAAGUUACAGAAGAGGGCAAGCCGGUUGCUCCCGAGAAAGUAGCAAAGAAGUACGUGAGUCAAAUCGGGGCAAUCGUUCGGGACAACGUGCCUAUCAGCAUCAGAGAAUGGAAGGGCAGAAGAGAUAAUCCGUACGCCCUUCCAGAGAUAGAAAAGAAUAUGCUGUGGGAAGACGUGAAGAGACAUUUCACAUUCCCCGAAGGAUAUAGCGAGAAGGAUGUCAAAGCGUGGACGCUUAAGAAGAUGGCUACUCAAUUCCAGACAUUCAAGAAGAUGCUGGACACCCACUACAUCAAGAAGGGCAAAACUCCAGACUUCAACGCGUGGCCAAAGUUGAGGGACCACUGGGAUGCAUUUGUUGAAUACAAGAGGAGUGAAGAAGGUGUGAAAAAGAUCACGACCAACAUAGCAAAUGCUAGUCAGAAGGGCUACCACCAUCAUUUGGGGUGAGGUGGGUAUGGCUCAGCAAUUCCCAAGUGGAGGAAGAUGGAACAAGAUCUGAUCGAACGGGGAAUCGUACCUGCAACUAUUGAAUGGCCCGAACGAUCAAAGAACUGGUACUACGCUCAUGGAGGCUCCCUAAGCCAAGAGGAUGGGACGCUGAUUUUCAAUGACACAAUACGUGAGAAGGCCGAACAUCUCAUGAAGAACAUUGAAGAUUCCAAGGCUGGGAGGUUGAGGGUGGACCAAGAAAAUGAUGAGCUCACAUUGGCCCUCGGUAAUCCAGAGCACCCAGGACGUUGCCGGGGGUUCGGGGUGGUUCCGUGGAAGUUCGCUUUCCGAGGCGACAGCGCCUCUUACAGAAGCCGGAAGCGAAGAAAGGAACAGAUGGAGGAGAGCUGGUAGCAGAUGGUAGAACAAAGAAUGAUGGAUGAAAUCAAUCGGCGGGUGGCCGACGCAGUUGCGGAGUUGGCGCAAUCUGGAGCAAUGCCGAAUCCUAACACCGCCAGCCCUUCUCAACGCCUCGGGAGCAGUUGUGCUUCUACAGGGGUCCCCGAUGCGCAGACGCCCAGGUUACCCGUGGAGGAGCAAUGGUUCCCCGUGGAUGCCAUCACGCAACGGACCUCAUGUAAGCUGCAUGCACCGGUCGGCAACCUCACUAUUAAGGUAUACUUAUACAUAAUAUUUAUGCAAUCUUGUCAAUUGAUCCAGGCCUCGAGAUCGGAGUUCAACCUGUUUACUUCUACUAUAUGUACAGGUAGCGUACGGGAGUGUGUUACCAACCCUGGCAGGGCAGAGCAGUCAUGGCAUGGACAUUCCAACAGGCUACGCCAGCGUCUGCGUCGAGCAAAUAGUUGAUCCCCAGUAUGAAGGUCUAGAGCUCGACUUCCCGGGAGGCGACGGGGAAAAGACAUUGGCAGAUGCGCUUCAUGGGAUCAUUCUAUGGAAGAAACGCUACAUCAUUAUUCCCCGCACGGAGCCAUCUCCUCAGACCUCAAGACCACUCCCCGUAGAUCCCCAGCAGCGACCUUCUCCUCAUACCUCGAGACCGGCAUCUCCUGCUCCAGGACCGUCUCUUCCAUCUAUAUCAAGGUCUCCAUCUCCACCACAUCCUGGUGCUGGGAGCGACGACGACAAUAACAACACCCCUCCCCGAUCACCGUCACCGGCACCAAGAGCGGCCCCCUCGAAGGAACCUGCAGCACCACUCAAGAAGUCACGAGCACCGCCUCCCAAGCAAAGACAGAGAAAGAAGAAAACAAAGGUCGACCCUGAAGUGGCUCGCAAGGAACGCUUUGAGGCAAUGUCUCAUGAAGAACAGUGGGCAGAAAUCCAACGAGAGGCCAGUGAGUGGUUCAAGAAACAAGCCGAAUUAAAAAAGGCAAGGGAGAUGGAGCCACCGUCAGUAAGUCGGCGAGAUUUAAACUUUUUUAUCAGGAUGGAGGAAGAAGCCAAGAAAAGGAUACCACUCUUGUCAAACUAUGAACGGGCUCUAGUAAAGGCUGAUGAAAAGGAUAAAAGGAAAGGAAAAUCAUCCUCCAGCAGUCCAGUCCCCGACCUCAGCCAUUUAUCAAAAAAAGAUGCUCAACGGGUAAAAGCAAUGCCCUUGGAUCAACAAGCAAAUAUAUUGAAGUUCAUGGAAGAAACAGGUCUGGGACUUGAUGAAUGCAUAGGGCAAGUCGAGACGCCAACUGCACCGCCCCCUGAGCCGAAGUGGACUUAUGAGCUAGGCAAACCUCUAGUAAAGCCUUCAAUGGUACGGAAGCUAUCAACAAAGAUGUACGAAUUCCAUCAAUGGUCGGCAUGAAGGUAAAACCGAUAGAUUUUCACGGUGAAGGGGAGAAAGUGCUGUGGCUAGACUUCAAGGAUAUAUACGAAGUGUACCAUCAUGAUGCCCUGGACGUCUCUCUGAUCAGCGCUUGGAUUCUGUAAGUGUCCGUUUAUUAUCUCUACAUGUAAAUUUUGGCGUGCGUCACCGUACUAACUUCAUCUUCCAUUUCAUGUAGGAUGCUAAUUCAGACAUGCCGCCGAGAGGCGUACCUACAUGUAGGCUUCAUGGAUCCAUCUGUAGUUAACCAACAACAGAUACAAUUAGCGCCGGAAAAAACCUUUGCGGAAAUAUACAAUUUCCUACACAAACAAACAUUCAAGGAUUUCAUACUACUUCCAUACAACUUCAAGUAAGUGUGUGUAUACCGUCUACUUUCGAUGUCUUUUUCCUUAUCUCUACAUGUUAGUUAGCUCUAAUAUGCAUGAACAUUUUACGCACGCAGCUUCCACUGGAUCCUUAUUAUAAUUGAGCCUGAAAGAAGCCACGUCACUGUCUUAGAUUCGUUAAGGAAAGAUCCGAUGGACUACCAAGAAUUGCAAGACAUGCUAGGCUUGUAAUAAUUCUGGACCUUUAUCUCUAUGCAAAAAUUUAUUUCCUAAAUUUUAUCCCUGUUACACUAUGUCAUUCAUUAUUCUAAUCCGCAGCGCAUGGAAACAAUUCAUAAGGACACACAAAGGUCCAUUCAAAGAAAAUCUUACAUGGAACACAGACUUCCCGGUACGUAUGCAGUCUGCACAUUUAUUACAUUGUAUAACACAAAUAUUUCAUAACUUAUUUUUUUCCGCACUGAAGUGCUUAAGACAGGAACCCGGGAAUAAUCUAUGUGGCUACUACAUCUGUGAGCACAUGCACAGUUUUUUGGGACCCAAGGGACCGAAGAUGACGCCGCACAACUUUAAAGUACGUAAAAUAACUAUAUUACUAGUUAAUUAUUUUCUAGCUCCUUAUAUGUAUUUGUUCAUGUAACAUUCACAAAUUUCCAAAUUAUAGAUGUUAAAUAUUCAACAAGGACUCUUGAAGGAAGAAAGAGUAGCGGCAAUAUGUGAAGGUCUCAUUGGAUUCAUAAUGGACGAGGUGGUGGACGAGGUGGUAAAUCCAAGAGGAGAAUUUUAUUACGAUGGACGACAAUUAGACACUCCGAUCAGCAACACCACGAUGGAUACUUUGAUUUAUUUGUAUAUAUAAUACGCGCUAAUUAUGAUCGAUUUGUACUAAGCUAGUUGAAUUGUGUAUAUGAAUUGUGUAUAAGGAUUGUGUAUAUAUAUAGUAAUUGUAUAAUUACAAAUCCCAUUCGUUUAAAUACUAGUUGAUUUCGUUCUAAAAAAAUCUCAACUACAAGGUUAACAAAUUAAAAGGGCUGCGGUACUACUAUACGUAUACGUGAUGCAUGCAUGAAAAAUUCAGACGUCACGGCUGUGCCAUGCAAGCGCCAUUUAGUCCCGGUUGGAAUCGAGCCGGGACUAAAGGGGACCCCUUUAGUCCCGGUUGGGAAAUCCAACCAGGACUAAAGGGGGACCUUUACUCCCGGUUAAAAGACCCGGGAGUAAAGACCCCCCCCUUUUGUCCCGGUUGGUUUAUCCCGGAUGGAUAUCCGAGAGAUAUGCACCCUACCAACCGGGACUAAAGGCCAAUUCUCUACCAGUGUAGACCAAACAUGAUACACACCAUGCGUACCUUGCUGUGCAGACUAUGCAUUGACAAGAUACCCGACCACAUGUUGGCCUCGGUCACAUCAAAAGAAUCAUGUAGGCCACCAAUAAACUACUUGAAGCGGCAUUCCGUAUCGUAUAUGCAUUGCCGGUUCAUCUGCAUUACAUUACAUAAAGCACUAUUAACUAUUUGAAUAAAAUGAACCAAUUUAAAAGUAAUGUGUUGUACUCUACUAUAGAAAGCCCUAUCACUGCCGGAUCCAAAAACAUCAUUGUUAAUGGUGGUUAAGUACCAAAUAUGAUGGUCAAUAUUCUCAAGAAUAAUGGAGAAUUAGCAUUUCUUAGACACAUAUUUGGUUUUGAACAAUGUAGUUCCACAUGUCUUUGGAGAUUAUUUGGGUGUGGGUGAAAUAAUACAAAAAUAAGGAGAAAACACACUCCCAUGGCAAAGAAACACAACUCCAACCAAUGAGAGAUAGCCACAGGGGCAGCACACGGAUCCAUGGGCCCACAAACCGCAUCAAACCGUCUUACCAAGGCAGGUAGCACCCACAACCGUCAUUAGGACCCACCUGGAAGUCUACCAAGAAGAAGGUUGCGAGUGGGGCCAGGAGGGGUUCGGUUGAAUCAUCUCUAGCUAGCUCCCCUCAUCCCCAGCUGGUGGGUGGUGGUGGUUGAUGGUGUCCCUACAUCGGUUAGAGGAGAUUCCCCCAAAUAUUCCUCCUGUAAACCACCUCUAUGGACCUAUACAUAGAGGGGUGUGCUCUCCAUUCCAACACACACCACAAGUUGAAUCACUGUCUCCCUCUUUAGUUUCCAAGUUUAUGGAGUUAGGCUAGAGUAGCUCUGCUCAAGGUUCCAAGUCCACUUGGAGUUAAGCAUAUGUCUCUUGUAUCGUUAUUUCCUAAAUUGACUUUAUGCUUAGUUCUUAUAUGCAUGAGUUAGUCUAAUACCCUUGCUCUAUUGAUAUGCUCGACUUAUAUGCUCGUAUGCUAGUCAUAUACCCUUGCUGUCGUAGUAUAGGCUUAUAUGCUCUCAUGUGUGCCUGUAGACCUUGCUAUAGUAUAUACUUGUUGUGUAUACAUACCAUGUAUAGGCUAGUCGAUCUAUACCAUGGCAUUGGUUCAAUAGCCAUGUUUUUGGUGGCUCCAGCCCUAGUCACAAUAGCUCGGGACAGCUGGAGUGUUGUUAAAAAUGCAAGAGUGGUGCUUGGGUUGUUUAGCAUCGUUGGAUAUGGGUUUGCCCCACAGGUUUCUAACGGUAGGCGACAGCUAGUGACAUCCCUGUCCGUCCUUCGUAAUCCCCCCACAUUCAGGUACGCCAUAAAUGUUCGUAAAUUAGCAGUAACUACGCCGGUACACCCAUAGGGUAUUGUCUCCCUGUAGUACCUUGGUGCAUAGAACUAAGUCCUAUACACUGUGUGUGUAUGUUUACGCUGAUAUGAUCUGUGCAGUAUAUAGGAUGUAUAUAUGAACCUAGAGCUAACUCCUAGUCCGUUCUCCAUAGCUUAGUUAUCUUGAGAUGAUUCUUUUGUAUGUGUAACACUACCCAUCUUAUCAUUAUCCUUGCUCCUGUCUUGUGUAAUAUAUCUACUCAUCCUAUGAUAUACUCAUAUGCAUAGUAAACUAUUUUGACCUACCCGCCUUCCUUUGGGAAAUAUGAUACCCUGGAAUAAUCCUAGGUGAAAUCCUACAACGGUAUAUCCAUGUGCUUGCGGAUUUAUUCAUGACCAUUAAAUAUACCAACAAUCAUCACUGCCGGUUAUGGGCGUCGUUAGUGAAGGGUUGGUAGUGAUGGGCAUCCCCUUCACCAAUGGACCUGGAACCGGCGGUGAUGGCUGUUAUAAAAAAGGGGACACCACCCAGCGUACCCCGCGACCCGGCUGGCCGCACCUCCCAUCAUCCCCGCCAGCCGCCCUUCCUUUUCGCCGGCCGAGCAUGGUCCUGGCCUUUGUCCCUACCGCCUCGCCUCCACCGCGACCCCCCGCCGAUGCCCUCAUGCCUGGCCCCCCUCAUCUUGCCGGCCACCCUCCCGAUGCGUCCACUAGGGCCCUCACACCACCAACCGCCCUUGCCUAGAGAGGGAGAGAGAGGAGGGAGGUGAGGCCACGCACCUCGUCCUACACCGCCGCUGUUUCUCCUCGGCCCACCGCGCCUCACCCCACACCACAGCCGCGCCUUGCCAUCUUACCGGCUGCGACGCCUCAUCUCACCGGCCACCGUUCCUCACCCCCACUUCGGUCGUCGCCGCUCCUUGCCCUACUGCUGCUCUUUGCCGCUGCGACUGAGCGGCGAGUGGAGGAGGAGGGACGGGGCAGGAGGAGGGCAAGAUCCGGGAGGAAGGGAGAGAUCUUGGGAGGUGGAGAUGGAAGGAUAUGGCGGAAGGGAGAGAUCCAGAGGGAGAGAGCAGGGGAGAGAGGGGGGCAUGUGGGGAGAGAGUGCGUGUGGGGUGGGGCCAGGCUGGUGGGAUGGAAGGGAGAGGGGCUAGACGGGCGCAGUGCAUUCAACUGGAUGAAGUAAAUAUUUCGGAUUCGAGACCCCAGCUUUAUUAUCACCGCUGGUCCGUAGUACCAUCCGGUGCCUGCUCGUAAUUUAAUUUGAAUCUGCGGUGAUGUUUUAUUAUCACCAUCGGAUCAUAUAAAAAAUCCGGCGGUUAAAAAUCCGCUGGUUUCGAUGAAAACCGACGGUGAUAGGAUGACUGUGAUAGUCUCUUCUCUAGUAGUGGUAUAUUAGUACCGGCUGCCAGACGGUGUUGCCGACCAGUACUUCUCCGGAGGCGAUUCAGUACUGCUGUUAGCAAAGCUUGUUCUCUAUGAAUCUGGGGAUGGAAAGCUAGUUCUCUAGUUGUGAUUUGUUACAUAUAUAUCUAUGAUAGUCUAGAAAUUGCAUGUCCUUCGUUGACAUAGUUGAAGCUGCGCGCUUCAAGAAUUUACUUCGUGCAGUCGUGCAGCAUAUUGGAUUAUCACCUAGACAGGAUACAUAGGUGAAGCAUUGGAUGUGAUUGUGGCCGAUAAUUAUGCAGGACGCUGUUGCAAUCAACCACCAAGAAGUCUGGAGUGAUGGGGUUGCCUCAUCAAUAAUUUUUAUAUAUGGCUGCAGUAUUAUUAAGCCCACGUCAAUAAUUUUUUCUCCGCACCAUAUAUCGAUGGGGUUGCCUCAUCAAUAAUUCGCGCAACCAGACAAGCUGCAGACUCAAUAUGGUACGAAGCUAGUUGCUCAGCCCACAUGCUCUGAUAUAACAUUGACAUCUGCUGAUCUACAGUAUAUAUGACCAGAAAUAUUGUGCCCACCUCAAUAACUUUCUGAAGUAUCGUGGGGAAGAACCUACUCGUACUAUGCCUCGGAACUAACUGACAUAUCGGCCUAGGCGGUCUAGGCCGAUUGGACUGGCUCUUCCUUGUGGCUUCUCACGUCCCCUUCGUCCCCAAGUAAUUUCAGGUGUUCUGCAGUUUCCUUUUCACUUGCAUCUGAGCCUCAUAUAUCAAUAGCUUCGGGAUAAGAAUGCCUCUUGAUAACCUUCCAAAUCCUCGCUUGAUUCACAUUGAUUCCGAAAUCAUCUUGCCAUAUCUUCAGAGACUUAGGUCCUAAGGCAUCAUGGAGGAUUGCUCGCCAGGAAUGAGCACCAUUGGGCUCCUGAGGACCCUAGGCCGAUCAGCCCGGGCUCUAUAGGUCGAUUGGCCCAGGCCCUCUCUGGGCCCGUUGGCCUUCAUCUUUCUCUGAGUCGACGCUUAUUCAGGGCUUUGUCCAAUUAUAGUCUAUUAUAGUCUAAUUUCCUACAAAAACAGAAUGUCCUCCAAAAUACAAUGCAUAUGUGAAAACAGCCCAAUUAUUAGGUAUGAUCAAUAGUUUAGGUAUAUAAAUUAAUAUUAUUAUUUAAGAUAAACAGGGGUAAAGGGUGUCAUUAAUAACAAGCGCCAACAAGCGUCCUGGCUGUUCAAUAAAUUUUUUCUAGUACCGAUUGGUAACACUAACCGGUGCUAAUAUGUACCCUUUAGUACCGGUUAUUUUACCAGGUACUAAAGGAGACAAGAGCAUCCUAACAUAAGGUUAAUAUCAUCCAUUUCAUGAGUAAAAUACUAUGAUUCAAAAAUAAUUCAAAUCCCUUAAGACAAUACCUAUCAAAUGAGUAAAUUGUAAAUAGAGUAAUCUUGAUCAAACAAUGUCCUAAUGAAACGGAACACUUCUGGUUCGUGUAGAGCACAAUAUAGAAAACAGUAGGGUAGCUGUACGAUUGACACGUGGUCCAUUAAUUCUUGAGCCAACACUAUGGACAUGUCUUCAUGAGUAGUGUACUAGUCAUGAUACAUGGUAUGCAGUAGGUGGAGGUAUUGACUUAGCCAUGCUAUGAGCACUUAGUUACAACAAACACUUUGCCAUUAUCGAGCAUCCCAAAUCACUACAAAAUCCAUAGUUUACCAUAUACUACAAAAUCUGAGUUAAAAUAAGAGCAUACACGGAAGAGUCCGAAUGCACCGGCACAUUGAAUUACUAGACAAAAAUUAUGGGACAAGGUUUUGGGUAACCGCAUGAAAAAUAUUGGAUUUUACUGAACACUUAGUUACAAUUACCAUGCCGUGAGCACUUAGUCACCACAAACAUUUAACCACUUUAGAUCAUCCUGAAUCCCUAUAAAUUCUAUACCUUACACCGUACCAUGAAAACGACAAGAACAGAGACAGAUGCGGUGAAAAUCUCCAGAGCAAGCCUGAAAUUAAAAUAAGAGGAGGCAGUCACUAUCGACAGGACACGGAGAUUGCUAGCCAUGACAGAGGAAGACAUGAUAUGAUAUUCACCUCUGAAAUGCAGCGUAGACUAAAUGAAGCACAAUUGCAAGUGAGUGUGGCAGAUAAUGGACCAUCGAGACCAUCGAUUGGUAUGAAGCAUGAUUAUCACCUAGACAUGAUAUCCUAGACAGGACGGUGAAUUGUAAAAAGAGUAAUCUUGAUCAAAGAAUGUCCUAAUGAAACGGAACAUUUUUGGUACGUGUAGAGCACAAUAUAGAAAACAGUAGAGUAGUUGUACGAUUGAACUGCAUCCAUCGACGUGGUGCAUGAAUUGUUGAGCCAACACUGGGGACAUGUCUUCAUGAACACCAUCUAGUGAGGACAGCAUGCAGAAAAAUAUCAAAACAUGUCAUAGGGAGGCAGACCAAUCUUGCGAGGUAGACGAAACGUGAUACACGAUCUGCCUACCUUGUCGUGGAUACCCCAAGUGAAGAUGUCAUAGAGGUGCAGACCAAGCUAGCAAGGAGGUAGAUGAAACGUGAUACACGGCCUGCCUACCUUGCCGUGGAUAUUAGUCCUGAUAUCAUUCUAUUGUUCAAGGAAUAACACUCAAUGCUGCUGCUGCUGCUGACCUGGCUCCAUAAAGUUAUAUUCCUCUAGCCGCUUGCACUAACUUUAUCUGAAGUAUUAUUCUCUCUGCACUGUAUAUAUGGUUACGGAGUUUGCUGGAGUAUCCGGGGGGAAGAACCUACAUAAUAUGUCUUGGAACUAACUGACAUUGAUUCACAGACAAGGUGCUGUUGUUGCCAUAUUUUAGAGCAUCCCAAAGGACUAUAAAUAAUAUAGUUUACCAUAUACCGUAUACCAUUAUAUGUUAGCUAAAAUAAGAGCAUAACAUGUCGCAGGAGUCCAAAAGCACCGGUUGAGGACCAGGUACAUUAAAUUACUAGAAAACGAAAGGGGACAAGGUUUAGGUAGCCACAUGAAAAACAUUUGAAUUUACUGUACCAUGAACACUUAGUUACCAUGCCGGGAGCACCUAGUUAACACUAACAUUUAGCCACUUUAGAUCAUCCCGAAACACCAAUGACCCUCAAUAGCGACAAAUUUUGGUUUAAAUGCCGUCACCAAUGAUCCUCAAUAGUGACGUGUUUAGGUUUAAAUCCCGUCACUAAUAACCCUUGGUAGUGACGUGUUUUGGUUUAAAUCUCAUCACCACUGAUCCUCACUAGUGACGUGUUUUUAGCAACACACGUUAUGAAUGACUUGUCAUUGGUGACAUGUUAAACGCGUUAUCUCAAUGGCAAAUCAAUGGUGACGUGUUUAAAAAAACAUGUCACCGUGAGAGUUAUUGGUGAAGGGUAAUUAAAAUGCAUCACUAAUUUUGUAGCAUUAGUUAUGAUAUAAUUUUGUAACGCAAAAAUCUACCAUAGUAACGAGGUUUAGAGCCGUCGCUAAUGUGGGUUUCUUACGUAGUGAUGCAAGCUCUACAAGGUGCUGUUGUUGCCAUUUUAAAGCAUCCCAAAUGACUACAAGUGUCUGGUUGAGGACUAAACAAAUUGAAUUACUAGAACCAAAUGUAUGUCCAGAACAAAGAAAGGGGUCAAGGUUUGGGUAACCGCAUUAAAAACAUUGGAUUUUACUGUACCAUGAACACUUAGUUACCAUUACCAUGCCUUGAGCACCUAGUUACCACAAACAUUAAUUUAGCCACUUUAGAGGUUCCUCAAUCACUAUAAAUAAUAUACCAACACCGUACCAUGAAAACAUCAAGAAGAGAGACAGGUACAUGGACCACCAUCAAGUGAGUAGUGACAGCAUGCACAAGAAUACCCGGAACCUUUUAGCUUGUCUGUAGUGAUCUGUUUUCUUCCCCGUAAAAUCCAUGAGUAUUGCCACAAAUAAUGAAAGAGGCUGACCAAGCUAGCAACGAGGUAGAGCAAACGUGAUACACGUAGGUUUCAUUCAAGACAUCCAUGUAAGAUUCAUUCAAAACAUUCAUGGAAAUUUCUUAUAAGUUUUCAUGUAAAUUUCAUUCAAGACAUUUGUUAGAGGUGUUGUAUAUAUACUUAACGUACAUAUAUCUAUGAUUUCAUGGUUGUUAGUGAUGGCAGAUGAGGAGCAUGCAAGGUAUUUAAUGGAGCAGAUUAUUGCUAGUGGCAGUGGCUCCAACCUGCCCGUAACGUACACCGACGAAGAGGGCAGCCAGGCGGACAUGUUCCUCAACAUGUCCGGUGAUGGCAAUGAAGAGCCCGAGCAAAACCUUGCCGUGACGGAAGGUUCCAGCGAGGUAUAUAUCAUUUCCAUUAUUUUACCCCAUCUAUAAUUUCAUAUUCAUUAUUACUAUGUACUAAUUAACGAAUCUUGAACCGUUAGCCCUCUAGAUCAACGAACCGAAAUAAGCCCCGAGGUCUUACAAAGAUAAUGCAGGGAAGGCUUCACAUCAUGGAAGUCACAGAAGAGGGCACCUCGGUUGCUCCCGAACAUGUGGCAAGAACGUACGUGAGUCAAACCGGGGCAAUCGUAAGGGACAACGUGCCCAUCAGCAUCAGGGAAUGAAAGAGCAAUAGAAAUGAUCUAUACGCACCCCCGGAUACACAAAAGGAUAUGCUGUGGGCAAAUAUCAAGAAACACUUCACAUUUCCCAAAGGAUAUGUUGAAAAAGAUGUGAAAGCGUGGAUGCUGAAGAAGAUGGCCACCCAAUUCCAAACAUUCAAGAAGAUGUUGGAUGCCAACUUCGUCAAGAAGGGUCGAACUCCGGGUUUCGAUGAGUGGCCAAAGUUAAGGGACCACUGGGAGUCAUUUGUCGAAUACAAGACGAGCGAAGGUGGUGCCAGUAAGGUUCGCAUCAAUGUUGCCAAUGCUAGCAAGGAGUACCAUCAUCAUCUAGGGCGACGUGGUUACAGCACUGCAAUUCCCAGAUGGCGCAAGAUGGAACAAGACUUGAUCGAUCGGGGUAUCGUACCAGCAACUCUUGACUGGCCUGAUCGAUUGAAAAAUUGGUAUUAUGCUCAUGAAGGCAAUCUGAGCCAAGAGGAUGCGACAUUGGUCUUCAAUAAAACAAUACAUCAGAAGGUCGGAAGGCUUAUUAGGAACAUUGAAGAUGCUAAAGCUGGGAGGUUCAAGGUGGAUAGAGAGAAUGAUGAACUCACAUUGGCCCUCGGGACUGUCAUCUCUAGCACUUCCAGCUCCAGGACUAUCAUCACCACCGGGACCGUCGCUUCUUGCUCGAUCACAGUCUCCAUCUCCAGCACAUCCUGGUGGUGCGAGCGACGACGACAACAACACCCCUCCCUGCCCACCAUUGCCGGGACUAAGACCCGCAUUGUGUAAGGAACCUGCAACACCACUGAAGAAGUCGCGACCACCACCUUCAAGGCAAGUCAGCAAAAGAAGAAAGCAGAGAAGCCUAAACCCACUGAGAAGCCAGCGACUGAUAUGACCGAUGCGGAAAGAUGGAAGGCACUCAAAGAAGAAUGCAUGGAGUGGUUCAGAAAAAGGACCAAAGAAAGAAAAGGAAAGGAGAUGGAGCCACCGCCAGUAGAUCCAAGAAAAUUAUAAUUUUUUAUUAAGAUGUCAAAAGGAGCUAAGAAGAUGAUGCCACAACUAUCAAACUACGACUGGGCGUUAGUCAAGGCUGAUGAGAGUUAAAAAAGGAAAGGAAAGUCAUCGUCAAGUGGUACUGUCCCCCAGCUCGAGGAUCUACCAGAAAAAGAUGCUAAAAAGAUAGUAGCAAUGCUCUUGGAUCAACAAACACAUAUAUCGUGAGAUUAAUGCAAGAAACAGGUAUGUCCCUUGCUGAAUGUCUAUGGCAAGUUGAUAUGCUAGCUCCAGAGCCAGUUGUACCGAAAUGGACCUUUGAGCUAGGCAAGCCUCUAGUAAGGCCUGAGUUGGUACAGAAGCUAUCCACAUAGAUGCAUGAAUUCCAUGAAUGGUACAUGAAGCAGUCUGCCAAUGAGAGGGAAAUGUUCGGUCUCGAGGAAAAACUAAUAAUUUUUUUCGGCGAAGGCGAGAAAGUCGUAUGAAUCAAAUUCAAGGAUAUAUAUGAAGUGAACCAUCAGGAUGCCCUUGAUGUCUCUCUCAUCAGCGCCUAGGUUUUGUAAGUGUAUGUUUAUCUAUACGUAAAUUUUGGCUCAUAUCAUUAUUUUUUUUGCGUGCGUCACCCUACUAACUUCGUCUUCCAUUUUAUGUAGGAUGCUAAUUCAGACGUGCCGCAUAGAAGCGUACUUCCAUGUUGGCUUCAUGGAUCCAUCCCUAGUUAACCAAAAGCCGAUACGGAAGUAGCUAGAGAAAACGUUGGAGGUGGUGUACAACUUUCUGGACAAACAAAACUACAGAAUAGGGGCAAUAUGUGAGGGUCUUGUAGGAUUCCUAGUGGACGAGGUGAUAAAUCCAUAAGGAGAAUAUCAUUACAACGGACGAGCAUUAGACACACUGAGCAACACCUAGACGGGAGGAUCCUAGGAAUGACCUCAACAGAUUUUGGUAUAAAUAGUAAUUGUGUAAAUACUAGUUUGAUUUGUAUAGGAAUAUACUAAGAAUUGUAUAUAUAGUAAUUGUACAAAUACUAGUUUGAUUUGUAUGAAUACUAGAUUGAUUUUAUUAUAAAAAAGUUUUAAGUCGUACGUGCAUGCGCCUACAAAGGCGCGGAUGCCCUUUAAUCCCAGUCGGAAAAACAAACCGGUACUAAAGGGGCUCGUGCCGCACCUGGCAUGACCACCCCUUUAGUCCCGGUUGAACGACCCAGGACUAAAGAUCUCCGCGUCUCAAAAAUUUUAUCUCGGAUGCUUUUUAGAGAGAUUUGAGGCCUAUCAACCAAGACUAAUAUCGAGUUUUCUACCAGUGGAACUAACUAACGUUCACAUGCUUUUGACAUUCACCUGCCAUUUGGUGUAGACAAGGGCACCCUAACAUAUGGUUAAUAUUAUUCUUGAAAGAAAAUCCUUUGAUUCAAAAUACUUCAAACCUAAUAAUACAAUACUUCUCACAUCUCAAAAAUAUGAGACGGCCCGACAGUAUUCUAACCGACGCAAUAAUAUUUUGAGGGCAGCACUACUACAGCGACCCUCAUUCGUGCCGGUGCUGGGACUCCUAUCACGACCCUGAUACAAAUGAGGGUACAUUAUUGGUGCCAGUGCUAGAACAGCCACCAAUAACUUGCUAAACGUGCUGUUACACUCACUACAGGGACCAAGAAGGUAGAUAAAUUACACGACAUAGCCUUGGUUGCCGUGGAAGCGCCAAGAAGGGAGACAAAUUACAGGGACCACACCAUCAAGUAGAUAGUGACAAUAUGCAGAUGAAUACCCGCGCCUGUUAGCAUGUGAACUGACCACACCACGAAACGUGAUACACGGCAAGCGUACCAAGGCCUUGCUGUGCAGACUAUGCGUGGACAACACAUGGUACCUGACCGCUUUUGGCCUCAGACACAUCGAAAAACUGCAUCGUUCCACGUUGUACAUCCACUGCUAGUUUAUCUAUAUUACAUAAUAUAUUAUUAGCUAUUUGAAUAGAAUGAACCAAUUAAAAAAUUGCGUUGUAUUUUAGUACCGGCUGCAGGAUGGUGUUACCAACCAGUACUAAUUAGCCUGUAGGAGUGAUGGUUAUUAGACUUGGUACUGUUGUUACAUCAUUAACCUAAUUGUGCGCGGUAUGAAUUUGGGGAUGCAAAGCUAGCUCUCUAUGAAUGUGAGGGACGGAAAGCUAGUUCUCUAGUAGUAAUUAGCUAUAUAUAUAUGACAGUCAAGAAAUCGAACACUAUGCUGCUACGAGUCACCAUCAUUUCCUUCAUUGAGAAUCUGACAUAGGUGAAGCUGCUUCAAGAAUUUCCUUCGCGCAGUCGUGGAGCUUAUUGGAUUAUCACCAGGACGGGACACGGAAAUGGCCAGCAAUGAAGCUGAUUGCCGUCUGAGGAAGACUACAUACUUUACCUAUGAAAUGAAGCGAUUGCAUAGACUAAUGAAGCAUUGCAUAUUUGCAUGUGAGUGUGGCAGAUAAUUCUGCAGGACAUGAUUGCAAUCCACGCACCAUCGAGAAGACUGGGGCGAUGGGGUUGCCUCAUCAAUAAUCACGUGGAUGCAUGCAUGCAUGUUCCCGCAACCGGACAAGGGUCUGAUAUAUGGCUAUAGUAUUACUGAGCCCACAUCAAUAAUUUCCGCUGGUGUAUCGUGUGGGAAGAAUCAACAUACUACACCUCGAGUUCUUGGAACUAACUGACGUUCACAUGCAACCUCCACAAGGUGCUGUAUAUAUGCUUUUGACAUUCACCUGCCAGUUCGUGUAGAGGACACCCUAACGUAUGGUUAAUAUUAUCCAUUUCAUGAGUAAAAUACUGUGAUUCAAAAAUACUUCAAAUCCCUUGAGACAAUACUUCUCACUUGACUAACCACUAACCAACCCCGAAACCCUAACUCAACUCCGAACCCUAACACCUAACGGCAUAACCACUCCGUUUUGCCAGCCAGAUGGAGGAACUGGCUGGGAGGGAGAGAGGGCAGCGGUCCAGGGUUGAAAACGACGGGCGAGCGCAGUAACAUGUGGAGGAGGAAGUGCCACGUAUUCGUUCACCGCUAUUGGGCAGCGACACACAACACGCCCAAUAAGAUCUUCGCACGGUAGAAGGACGUCAUGUAUUCAAUAAUGUUAUUGGUCCUCCAUGUGCAGAAGGGCGCGUAUGGAAUAACAAGUAGGGACACUGCAACUAAUCUACUCUGCUCGUCCAGUCCCUAGCCUAUAAAUAGAUGCCAUGCUAGCUCUUGUUGUGCUCACAGUUAAUCCGAUUACACACGAGCUCCUCUCCCUAGCCAAGACACAAUCAUAGUAUGAUGAAGAACAUGGCACUAGCCGGCAAUGGUAUGAAGAAGUUAAUCCUCGCUGUUCUCUUACUGUGUCUAGUUAUAGGGCAGAUACAAGUGGAAGCUAAGAGCUGCUGCCCAUCCACCACUGCAAGAAAUGUCUACAAUACCUGCCGUUUGACGGGUGCAUCCCGUCCAAUGUGUGCAAAACUGUCAGGCUGCCAAAUUAUCAGCGGGAACAAAUGCAAGCCCCCUAACGACCACCUCACCCUUGACCCGGACACUGGUAAAUAAUAAAUUUAUCUCACUUGAUUUCUUUGUGUUUUGAGUCGUUAAUGUAUUUUCCAUCUGAUGAAACGCAUUGGUUUUGCAUUGAAGAGGAAGUUAAUGUGCUUAACUUCUGCAAGUUGGGGUGUGCGUCGUCUGUGUGCAACAACAUCAACGCUGGUAAGCACCUUUUGCUCAGACAGAGAAAACAAUAAUCAUUAAUUAGCGGCAGCUAGAAUCCUAUAAUCUAAUAUAUAUAUAUAAUUUUAUCAGCUCUGGGAAAUGAAGAGGCGAACGAUGCCGUUGAGAGUUGCGACCAAGCCUGCUCUAGCUUCUGCAGCGUGCAUGUUGGCAGCGCCACCGUGGUUGCUUAAGCAAAUGCAUCCAACUAGAUCGUCCUUGUGCUGAAUAAUUGGAUAUCGUAUCCACUUAAAGCUGCCUUGUGUAGUACGUCUUUGUGUCUCUCUUUAUAUUCCAAUAAGGUCGGUGAUCUUGAUGCCACACACUCAGAUGUGUGUUCAUCUCCAGAUACUACUCCAUGCUACCUGCCCUUUGUGUUUUGUUCAAUAACUGGGUAUCAUAUCCGAGCCAGUAUGCCGUCUGUUUUGUGUUUGUUUCCUUCUAGUUCCAAAGGGGUCAUCAUGAUGUUACCUUCUUUCAAUAUGGUGCUUUGCAUGACUACUGUUGUAUGGUACCAUCUUGUGGCCAAUAAGUACAUCUUAUCCUAUGACCCUUUGCUAUGACCCUUUGCAAAUAAGUAGAAGAUUGUUAUAAGCGUCAAUACUCAGUAUAAUUGAUCGCUGCUGUGAGUUCCCUUUCAGCUUAUCGUAGGCAUACAUUAUUGCUAGCACGGUAAAGCCAACCAACACGAAUGAUGAAGUAAACGUAGCGGUACUUCUGUAUACCAACACCCUUACUUAAAUGUACCGGUGUCAUUCCCUACUGGCACAUAUAUUCUUAUAUGCUAGCCAGCUUGUAAAAUUAACCAAUUAAAAUAAUUAUUUCAAGAUAGAAAUAACUUAUUGGCUUCUCGAAGCAUGUGUAAUGUGAAUUCAUGAGACUUCAAGCAACCAGGAAAAGACACUAAUAAACAUCCAGAUCCCAUCCAGCACACAUCCAUGCACAUAUAUAACCCACAUAUUGCUCCAGCACACAUCCAUGCAUAUACGAUAUCCAAAUGUUAAUAUUGUAGACAUCCAUGCCUGAACUAGUCUGCCACACAAGUCAUUGAUGCUACAAAUUCUACAAUCGCAGCAUGUGCAUACAACUUACAGAAUGAGAUAAUGUACCAAAACUAAAACGUUAGCAUCAACUGUGCUUCAACCAAAGUUGUCAUCCCAACUCUCCUCUUCAUCCAUGCCAUUCUUGUCAUGGCCGUCGCUGUCAGUCUCCAUGGCAUUGCCAAUGCUGUGUAUGUCUUGGUAGGAACCUACAUGUGAUGAACAGUAACCUGCAAAAAGAGCUCAAAGGAUCUUGUUCUCAUAUUGUAGCUGUGAAAUUCUUGCAAGUAGUGUUGCAAUCUGUUCACUUUGAACCAAAAGAGCUCAAAGGAUCUUGUCCUAAAAGUUCCUCUUAAAGCUUAUGGGUUUGCUGGUGGAACCGGAAGGGCUUGAUGCAGCAGAUGCCAUUCUGCAAUAGAGAAAAAUUUAGAGGGCAGUACUAGUUAAAAUUUGAUGCAGCAGAUACACACGAAACUAGUAUUUAUACAAUUCUAUAUAUGUAAUAAUUUGUCCCCUAAAUUUUUAGGAUCCUCUUGAUGGUGGUGAGUCUUCCAGUAAGGCAAUUGAAUGUCCGUCAUAAUAAAAUUCUCCUUAGGAUUUAUCAUCUCGUCAACCAGAAAUCCUAGGAGUGCUUCUUGGAUUGCCAAAACCCUAUCCUGAUGCAGGAGUUCGUCCUUAAGCCUUAACAUUUGUAAUUUGGAAAUAUGUGAAAGUUAAACCAACAAUUAAAAUAUAAGGAGCCUUAUCAUCAUUUCCAUGUGUUGCGAAUUAAAAUAAUGAAUAAUACAGUGUUAGGUGAAAAUUCAAGAAACAAAAUUUUGCAUAGAGAUAAACGUCCAACAUUAUUACAAGUUAAGGUAGUUUUAAAUAUCCUUGUAAUCUUCCUUUGAUUUCCUCAACGAUUCGAAGACAAUAACCUUACUUCUAUCAAUGAUAAUUAUAAGGAGAACCCAGUGAAAACUGUGUAUUCAUAUUAGAACUACCUAAGGUUAAUUAGGUUAGGAAAGGAAAUCGAAAAUAGAUGGUACCCACACUUACUUAAAGUUGUCGGGCAAUAGUAUGUAAUGCUUGUAAUUCCGUUGCUCCAAGAAUUUGUAUAUGUGGUCCAAUGUAGACUUUGGUUGAUUCCGUAUCUGCUGUUGGUUAAAUAAGUGUUUCUAGCCAUUACUAGCCGUUAGAACUCGGACUAAAGGGGGCUCUUUAGUACGGGUUGAUAUUACUAAUCGGGAUUAAAGAGCCCCCAUUAGAGUUGGUUUUUGGACGCGGAACUAACAACUCCUUUAGUCCUAAGUACAAAAAUGACUGAAAUAUUUGUUGCUGGAUGGAAGGUCCUUUCUCUACCAUGAAUAUUGCCAGAAAGAAUUGAAAGAGACUGCUUGCUAAAAAUAUGUCAUAGAUGUAGACCAAGCUACCAAGGAUGUAGACCAAACAUGAUACACACCAUGCGUACCUUGCUGUGCAGACUAUGCAUUGACAAGAUAGAAAUAAUUAAUUCUAAUAUGCGUACCCUUACUUACACUAGUAGAGAAUUGGGCUUUAAUCCCGGUUGGUAAGGUGCAAAUAUCUCGAAAAUGCAUCCGGGAUAAACCAACCGGGACAAAAGGGGGAUCUUUUAUCCCGGGUCACUCAACACGCGAUUUUUCACAAAAAAAAAAUUCCCGAGCUCCCAGGCAGGCCCCCCACACGCGAUUUUUCACGCGAAAUAUGCGCGUGCGCGGUUCGUGGGAUUCGAACCCACAACCUCCAGCCUCGCGCGUAGUUUCCUUGCCAUCCCACCUACACACCACAUCUGACUAUGUAGGGGAUACUAUCCUUUUGUAUUAAAAGGCUCUUGACCCUUUUAUCUCGGUUGGUGUUACCAACCGGGAUAAAAGGGGGGGUCUUUUAUCCCGGUUGGUGUUUCAAACCGGGAUAAAAGGCCUCUCAGAGUCUUUUUUUCCCAUUAGCCUUUGCAACCGGGAUAAAAGGUUCCGGUUGGUGAGCCCCCCACCAGUGACCGAGUUUUAGUCCCGGUUGGUGAACCUUUUGUCCCGGGCCAACUUUAAACCGGGACAAAAGGGGGCGUAUGGAAAGCCAAUUCUCUACUAGUGUUAAAUAUACCGGUGUUAUUGCCCACUGGCACAUAUAUUCUUAUAUGCUAGCCGGCUUGAAAAUUAACCGAUUAAAAUAAUUAAUUCAAGACAGAAAUAACUUAUCGGCUUCUCGAAGCAUGUGUAAUAUGAAUUCAAGGACUCGAUGGAAGUUGAAUCGCUUCAUCUAGAUUGCUUUCAGGAUUUUGGGUAACUAAAUUUAACAUUUGCACACACAAAUGUUAAUGUACAAAUGUUAAAUCUAGUUACCCAAGCAGAAUAUGAAUAUACUCUAUAGUAUACAUAUACUAUAUAAAUCUAGUUAAUAUUUAGUCUAAAUGUUAAAUCUAGUUACCUAAAAUCCUGAAAGCAAAAUGUAUAAAUAUAUAUCUUUUAAGGCAGUAUAAACUUCGAUUCCUUUUGCUGCUCUGUUAAAUCUCAUCUUUCGUUGUGGCCCAACACUCUAGUAUGUAUGUUGCACCAAGCUUCCUUGAGCCGCUCUGCCCUCUGAUUUUGCUGCGUAGGGGAAUCUUUAUCAGGUUGGGCUGCUUCCAGUCAUACGAUGUGUGGCUUCAUAUCUUCUACAAGUUAGACAGGAAACCCGCGUUCUGGAAGAUUCUGCAACGUGCACGUUGGCGCUGCCACCGUGGUUGCUUAAGCAAAUGCAUCCAACUGAAUCGUCCUUGUGCUAAAUAAUUGGAUAUCGUAUCCACUGCUUAAAGCUGCCAUGUUUAGUACAUCUUUGUUUUUCUCUCUUUAUAUUCCAAUAAGGUCGGUGAUCUUGAUGCCACACACUCAGAUGUGUGUUCAUCUUCGGAUACUACUCCAUGCUACCUGCCCUUUGUGUUUUGUUCAAUAACUGGGUAUCAUAUCCUAGUCAGUGUGCCAUCUGUUUUGUGUUUGUUUCCUUCUAGUUCCAAAGGGGUUAUCAUGAUGUUACCUUCUUUUGAGGUGUCUAUGACUUUGUUAAUAUCAAUAUUAACCAAUUCAAUCUAUCUUAACUAUUUGUAAGGGGUAUGAUGUAUGCAUGAUUAUAACAAUGAUUGCGCAUACAAUCACUGCCAAAGAAACGGUCAAUACCAUAAAGACAUAUUACAGACAAUUCUCAUAAUCUAUAAUGAAUAUACAUAUUCACUACUGCAGAGACUGUCAUCUGUAUCAGCUCAUACGUGCCAGGGCAAAGGUCACCCUUGCAUUAAAAGUACAUUUGCACGGUAAAGAUAACCAACACGAAUAAUGAUGUAAACAUGCCGGUGCUUUUGUACACCAACACGCUUACUUAAAUGUACUGGUGUCAUUCCUCACCGGUAGCCGGCUUGAAAAUUAACCAAUUAGAACAAUUAUUUAUUGUAUCGGUGUGAAUUUUGACCUAUUGGAAUAUGAAUUUGACCAUUACUGCAUUCGUCAAGACUCAAGAGAGAAAUAACUGAUCGGCUUCUUAGAGCGUGUGCAAUGUGAAAUCAAGGACUGGAUGGAAGUUGAAGCGCUAGCUUCAUCUUCCGCUGCAUGUUAAUUGCUUGGAUAAGAAGUUGUAGCCGCGUAUAUAAAUAGUCCCGCUGAUGCUGUGCUCCGAAGUCUAUACUAUAUAUGCGAAAACUAGAUUGCUUUCAGGAUUUUGGGUAACUAAAUUUAACAUUUGUACAUAAAAAUGUUAGUUUACGAAUGUUAAAUCUAGUUACCCAAGCAGAACAAGAAGAUAGUAUAUACUAUAUACUAUGUAAAUCAAGUUAACAUUUAGUCUAAAUGUUAUAUCUACUUACCCAAAAUCUUGAAAGCAAAGAAAGAAUAAGUAUAUAUCUUUUGUUGGAAAAUUGGUCCACGGAGAGUGGCCUCGUUCGUUUCACCGGGAAGGAAUUCCAGUCAGGAUUACUUCCAAGUCCGGUUUAAGUGAUUCCACCCAUGUCACUCAAUUCGGCUAGGAUUCAUUCCAGGGGUGAGGAGGUAUGGUUUCAAUCCGGGCCAUCUAAUGUAGAAGGAUUCCAAUCCAGGCCGGUUUUCGUUCUAGGCUAGACUAAAACGAACAACACUUUCAAUGCAAGUCUGGUUUCAAACCGGGCCACUUCAAACCACCCGGAAUGGACCUCAUUCCGGGCCAAUCCGGUGAUAACAAACGAGGCCUUAAUGGAAUCCCAAAGCAAGAGUUCAGUGGCAUUCUAUAGUCCCAUGCUGCUAGUUUGAGUUGGUCGAAGCCAACUUAAAUAGGAGAGCUCUCUCACUUCUCUAAAAAUGUAACUGAAGGAGAGAAGGGGGCUUGGGUUACACAACGCACGCACGCACGCAUAUUUGCAUUCUUUUCGCGUAACCGACCGCGUGACUUGAAACUUGCGACGUAGCGUGCUGCUAAGUCAAGUUGAUAUAACCUUUUUGCCGUUUGCGUGUAAUCUUUUGACAACGGUCAUUGGAGGUGAUAAGCACGCAGUCAAUACCUUAAUCCUGAGUUAAUAGGGCGGUUACUACUGCCAAUUAGUGCAGCAAUUUUGUAGGGGAAACGGUUAGCAGAGGGCUACCGUCUUCUCUAUAAGAAGUUUUGGAGACGUCCAGGAACACACAUGUACAUGUGAGAGACCCACGGAUUCCUUCCCUUCUCCCUUUUCCAUCUGGUGAAGUGUGCUAUGGUACUGAGCUGCUGGAUCUCGCUGGCUCUUCUCCUUGGCGUGCACCGAGGAGGAGGAUGAGCGGUAUCUCUGAGCUAUUGCCGUCAGGAAGCCUGCACGAGGGACAACAAUAAAGUUUUUAGGUAGCGCCUGCCUAAUCUUCGAUCUGCACUGCAACGCGUAACCCUGCAGCAACUCUACACGAGGACGGAGCACUAAUCUGUAAGUCCUAGAUUGGUUUCUUACAGAGUUGUAGGUUACACAAGAUCUAGAAUGGUUACAUACCAAUUAUUAUGGGUUACAUGAUGUUUUGUACGGUUUCGUCUAUUUUGCAUAUGUUAUUUUUACAUACCGUUUACAUGCAUAUGUUAAUGGUUACACCUAGCUAUUUGAAUCUAGAAUUGGGUUACAUAGCAGUAGCAAUGAGUUACGUAAUAUGCCUCACGUUUAUAUCUGGUAGAAUUUAACACGUAUCUCCAACAUAUUUUGAGGCAGUAUAAAUUUCAAUUCCUUUUGCUGCUCUGUUAAAUCCCGUCUUUCGUUGUGGCCCAACACUCUAGUAUGCAUGUAGCACCAAGCUUGUUUGAGCCGCUUUGUGCUUUGAUUUUGCUGCGUAGGGGAAUCUGUAUCAGGUUGGAUUGUUUCUUUGUCUUGCGAUGUAUAGCUUCAUAUCUUCUAGAGGUUAGACAGCAAAACCCGCAUUCUCUUAAGGCAACAACCCGAAGAAUCUGCAGCGCCUCUGAUAUAUCACUGCUGCAGAAACGAUCUUUAGUACUGAUCUCCAACCCUCUUUAGUAUCGGUUGGGCAACCAGUACCACUAUGUCGGUACUAAAGGGAGUUCUCUAGAAUCGGAUCAAAUAACCGGUACUAAAAGGGCUCCUUUACUACCGGUUGGUAACAACAAUAGGUAGUGACUUUUUUGCACCCAAAAAAUUAAAGAAUAACAGCCGGGAGGCUCGCACACACACGCAUCAUGAGUAAUAUGCGCGUGCAUGGUUUGUGGGAUUUCAACCCACGACCAAGCUAUAAGAACGUAGUUACAACAAAUCAAACACUUAGACAUUUUAGAGCAUCCCAAAUAACUACAAAUUCUAUAGUUUACCAUAUACCAUAAAAUAUUAGUUAAAAUAAGAGCAUACACAUGUCGGAAGAGUCCCAAUGCACCGGUUGAGGAUCAGACCAGGCACUUUGAAUGCACAUGCCAUAAGAUAAUUCUGCAGGACAAUGAUUGCAAUAAUGGACCAUCGAGAAGAUAGGGGCGAUGGGGUUGCCUCAUCAAUUAUCACUUGGCGCAACAAGACCAGCAAAGUCUUUAUCGACGGGGGUGGAUCAAGGGGUGGGGCAGGCAGAGCUCCAGUCCUCCUACCGCCGCUCGAACAAUGGAGCCCCCUUAGCCCCUCCAUAAAUUUUUAGGUAGAAGAAAAAAGAAGAGAAGGGAAGCAAGGGGAAGAAGAGGGAGCCCCUGCUAAGUAGGUCGCCAUCGUGCUUCCCAACGCAUGAUCGCCGCACCGCAUCCAUUCCUCUACAAGCCUUCAGCGUCUCUCCCGCCGCUACCUCUGAACCAUGUGCAGCUAUAGACCCAACUAGUGUGUUGUCGCCCAUCUCAGUCCCAACAGAGCGGCGGCGGCUGCCAACACAAAUCUCCCUCCGCCUCUUCUUCACGGUCGAUGGCCGCCACAAGCAUAAACCUCGCCUUCGCAUCCAAGCAAAAGGGUCGUUGGGGUGCCUUCUUGCAUCACUUCUCAGCCUCCUUCACUUGCGGCCAGCGAAGAACUGCGCCACCACCUCGGGUGCGUGCCACCACUCCAGGGCCGCUACCCCAUGCCUGCGGCCGCCACCGGCCACCACGCGUGUGCAACCGCGUUGCACCGCUUCCCUGCUUUGUGCCACCACUACUGCUGUACCACCAGCUCCACCACCUUGGGAUGGUCGCCAGGGUGACUGAUUGGUGAUUAUUACUAAAAAUAAGUUCCUUAUUAUCUGCAACUACUAUUAACUCAGAGAUACAUGCGUCUUUUGCUUCUCCUGCUAAUAGGUCCUAAAAUAUCUAGGAUGCUUUAUAUUUCUGGACAGAGGAAGUAUUUGAAUAAAAUGAACCAAUUUAAAAAAAAUGUGUUGUACACUACUACAGAAAGACCUAUCAGUGUCAAACCCAAAAAUGUCGUCACCGCCAGUUUUAGGCAUCGUUGGUGAAAGGUUGGCGGUGAUGGGCAUCCCCUUCAACAACGGCACUGGAGCCGACGGUGAUUGACAUUAGAAAACAAAAAAGGGAACCCCACCUAGCCACCCCUGCAACCCAGCCGGCCGUGCCUCCCCUCAUGCCCACCACCUCGCCUCCCCCGUGACCCCCCGCCGGCGCCCUUGUGCCUAGCCCCCUCGCCUGCCCGGCCGGCCACCCUCGUCAUGAGAGAGAGAGGUGCAUGUUGUAUAAUUGCGUGAAUUUUUGAAUGUUUAAUUUUAUGUAAGUUCCAUGUAAUAAAUUGUACAAGUUUUAUUGUAUAUAUGAAUUCCAUAUAUAUGUAUUUAUAAUUUAAUGUAUGGUUUCAUGUGUAUAUUUCAAUCAUGUGUAUAAUUAGUAGAUUGCCGAUUUUCUUUUUCUACUAGACAAGGGUUGAUGUAUAAUUACGUGUAUAUGUUUAUUGUAUGGGCAAUUAGGACAAGUUUUGUAUAAAUUUCUUUUAUUUCAUGGUUGUUGUAUGGUUUCAUGUAUAUACAUUUAUUGUACUACUUGAGACAAUUUUAAUUUAAUAUUUCUAUGAUUACAUGUGUGUAUAACUAAUUGUAUUAUUAGUUAAGAUGGGAGCCAAAGAGGAUGAAAGGUAUAUAAUAGAGUAGAUUAUUGCUGGCGGUAGUGGCUCAAACGUUGCAAGAACCUACACCGAGGGUGAGGGUAGCUAGGUGGACAUGUACCUCAACAUGUCCAGUGAUGGCAAUGACGAUGAGGAGCACGAGCAUGACGUCUAUGAUAAUGCGGAACAAGACAUUGCAGAAUUGGAAGGUUCUAAUGAGGUGUGCUUCAUGUUGACGAUCUAGUUGGCUUUUUUUCUUUGGUCACACCUUAGUUACCAUAGAACUUCGUCUCGGGAGAAGAUUGGUGGUGCUAUGGUGAUUGGAAUUUUAUUGCCUCCAAAUUUGAUUUCCAUCGAAUCAUAUCCCUUGUAUUUAUCUUCUUUUUAUUUGUGAGAGCAUCUUCUUUAUGCUUGCAAAACAAUUCAAGUGCACAUACUACCCCUAGGGUGAUGAUUGGGAGUAGAAACAAUUGCCAACAAAACAACACCACAUCCUAAGAUUCUUAACUUGUGGCAUAAUUAAUCUAGUGAAAAGAAAGAUAAAAACCUAAUGGGUGUACGUGAGUGCAAUGUGUAUAUGCAUAUGAGUGGAAGGCAUAUAAGCAAAGACAAUAUUUACACAUAGUUCUAAACACCAUGUUUACAGCUAGGUUGCUGAAUUUCUCCAUAGCUAUAGAGAUUAAUUAACCAAGGUCAAAACACGAUGUCUAUCCCAAGAUCAGUAAUUCUUUAUAGCACAAGAAAAAUAAAGCGCAUUGCAAAGUUUAUAAACCAACCAAUACAGCAUGAAAACAAGAUGAAUAGCUAGCAAGGUUUAUUAAAUUGAAUGAUGACGGUCUGCAAGCAAGUUUGAACACCAUCUUUACACAAGAUUGCAAAUGGAAAAUGCCCAUAUGAAGCACUAACAUGGAUAUGAAAUCAUUCAUCAUAAAGCGUAAAGAACAACCAAGCCAACCAUAUGCAAAGCAUGAAUGGAAUGCAAUGAAGGUGCAAGAGAACAUUUUUGGAUGAACACAUUAUGAUGAUGGCAAAAUGCAAUGCGUGCAGAAAUAAUAAAUAUGAACAUGAAUAUGAUGAUCAGGGGCGGACCCACUAUUGUGGCCUGGGUAUUCCUGGGCAUACCCAAUAUUUUUGGGAAAAUGUUUAGUAGUUUUUAAUGGCAUAUACAUGUAUAAUAUAGUUUAGGUGUUAAAAUUGAUAUUCACAGCUAUUUUGGGCUCCAAUUCGCGUCCAAACCAACCUAGCCCACAGACCACACCCGGCCGGCCAGCCCAUCGGCCCAUCUAGUCACUGAUCCUUCCACCACCACACUCAGCCCAUCAGUCGGUCAGGUCCCGAGCUCCUGCCUGACCUAGUCUGCUACCGCCGCCGGGCGCCAAGCACAGCCGUACGCAUUGCACCGCCCCCGUCCACCCACGUCCGUUGGGGGGCCAAGCCGCGCCCCCCAGCCCCCGCGGUGAGAUCUCGACGCCCGCUGCCCCCAGACCCCAUUAGGCCUCCAUCGGCAAGUCCACCCACAGUCCCACGGGACGGGGCAGCCUUUUGGCUUUGGGCGCUCGGGGCGCGCCAAUGCCAGCGCAGCCCCAGCAGGCGACUGCCCCCCCCCCCCGCAUCAGGCCUCAGCCCCUCCCCAGCUCCCCCUCCCCCCUCCACCAGGACUGCUUGUUGGCCCCCACCGCGAGGUAAUCGAAAUGGACUGCUCAAUCACUCAAUCUGUUGACAUGAUGCACACGGNNNNNNNNNNNNNNNNNNNNNNNNNNNNNNNNNNNNNNNNNNNNNNNNNNNNNNNNNNNNNNNNNNNNNNNNNNNNNNNNNNNNNNNNNNNNNNNNNNNNNNNNNNNNNNNNNNNNNNNNNNNNNNNNNNNNNNNNNNNNNNNNNNNNNNNNNNNNNNNNNNNNNNNNNNNNNNNNNNNNNNNNNNNNNNNNNNNNNNNNNNNAUUUUUUUGCAAUGAGCAUACCCUACUCUGAAAUCCUGGGUCUGCCACUGAUGAUGAUGGUCUAAACAUAAAACAAGCCAAGAUUAAUUAGCCACAACUGAAAUUAAGCAAAGGUUAAUGUCAUUGACCCUAGCUCUAUCCUAGCUUUUACAAAAGUCCCAGCACAUAUAGUGGUUGGGCCCACUCUCUCUGCUUCCCUCUCUGCUGCAUGCAUGCACACGAGCAACGGGAGGCCCCACAAAGCCCAGAAGGGUUCGGCUGAACCCGGCCGAUCCAAUCUGAGCACCACUCCCUCCCAGCCUUCGCGCAGAUGCUCCUCCAACAUUCCUUGACCCCUCCCUCAGCGUCCCAUUGGGUUUAACAUUGCAGGAGAGGAGUCCCUUUUUUAAAAUCUCAACCACCUCCUCUCCUCAUUCACUCCACUCUCAUCUCCAUCAAACUCACCAAGAUCCACAUCGGAAAUCCCUGCUUACCACCAUGGCUGGCAAAGCCCUCGUCCCUUUCACCAACUUGGGCUUAACCAUUGAUCUCGAUGGGGAAAUCACUCCGGAAAUAGGGCAGUGACCCAGAGCAAAGGUGAUGCCAGAGUGUAGAUAGCAGUUAGCAUGCCAAAUUGUGAACCGCAAGCGCUCGGAUUAGUUGUUUUUUUUCCCUUAGAGAUUCCCCCAAGGUUUAUCAAUCCAUGGAACAAGGGAUUUGCACAUUUCACUAAGCAUUAAUCAAUGUAAUUGAAAGCUUUUUGAAUAAGAUAUGAUUAUGCUAACAAAGGAACUAAGCAAUCUAGAUUAAGAUGGAUAGAGAGUAAAGGUUGUGAACAAGAUAGAUUAAACGCUUAUAGAUGCAAUCACCAUGCAUGAAUGAAUUAGAUCUAGGUGUUAUUGUGAGUGGUUGUGAACCAUACCCCAACACUUUCCCACCCGCAACAUUGUCACUACAUGUGGGUACUCAACUAUCGAAACAUAAGAACACAUCAAGAUGAUCAUUCUAGGUAAGCAAAUAAGCAACCCAAAGUAGCGCUGGCCAGCCUUUUCAUGAAAGAGCAUCAUCAAGAUAAGAUUGAUAACAAAAUAGAUCUCAACCAAAGGUUCAGCGAUUACAAAUCAAGAUCUCCGUAUAACCCCGAUGACAAAUAGAGGUAUUACCCCCAUGAUCUUACACAUGUUGAUGAAUUUUAGGGUAAAGGACGCCCUGUAGAUCAACUGGACCAAAGAUGAUGAUGAACAGGGGCAGGGAAGGCCCAGGCUGAUCAGCCUGGGCACUUUUGAGCCGAUCAGCUUAGGGAGUUUCCUCCUCCCCUGGUGCUCCUCUUCGCGUGGCCUCCUCUGGAUCCAAUCUUCUCUUCAUUUCUCCUACUUGUGGUGGCAAUGGAUGGUGUUUGCAUGGUGAUUUCCUCUUCUCCCCAACUCUCCCUCCUUGAAGUCCAUGAGGGGGUAUUAAUAGUCUCCAAUAUGCGGCAGCUCUGGGUCAAUGUCGGUGAAAAAACCCUAGAGAUCAUCGUACACUUCACGCUGAGGAAACAAGAGGUCGACCGAGCCCUGGGAUAGACCAAGAGGAUCAGCCUAGAGGGUCCCAGGCCAAUCGGUCUAGGCCCUUCCUAGCCCUUCUAGUCCUCUCCUUCCUCGUGCUGGCUUUUCUCGAUGACCCUUGUCCAAAUAUCCAUUAAGCUCUAUAUACAUACCCCCUUGAUUAUGUCGUAUUUCCUGUCAAAAUACAAUGCUCCAAAAUACAACACAUAUGCAAUAAUAGGGUUAUUUCAUGUGCCAAUUGGUGCGUUAGUAUACGAAUAAGCAUGAAAAUACUGGUUAAAUGACACUAAAAGUGUGUCAAUAACGAGCACCAACAAUCCCCCCACGCUUAGAUCUUGCUCGUCCUCGAGCAAGUCUAGCGACUAAAAGAUCUUGAAUUAAACAUGAGCAAGCGAGUCAAGUACCUAGCCUUGAAACAAAAGAUUAGAGGAGCAGCAAAGAUAAUCAAAGUCUGGGUGUUCAAAGAUUUAUCUAAGCAAAGAUUCCCCUACAACUAUUAUUCAGAACCAAGUAACUUCAAGAAUCAACUACACUUAUUUUCUGGCUUUUUUCAGAGGGUUUUUCUUUCAUCACAAAACAAUCUCCCUGCAACAAAAUUGAAAAAAGAAUUAUUUUCCAGGUGCUUACAUGUCGUUUAAAUGAAUGUUCGCUAUCCUACUUAUUUGCAAGCUCUCAUCUCUCAAAAUUCAUUCAAUUAUAUGGUGGAGCUUGGGUAAGGUUAGCUAGAAUCAACACGUAUAUUAUUGAAUUAAGAAAACCCUCUAACGGUAGCCUACCUUUCGAGCCAUUGAUCAUAAGAAUAUCCACAUAAUGUGAAGUUUUCAAGGAUGAGAAUAGAAUGGUGGACAUGUGCAAAGGCAAAGAAAUAUAGUGACUCUGAGGCACAAGCAAUGUCCUCGUCGUUGGAUUGCAUAUGGUUGGAAUGAAAAUCUGUUCCUUAAACAAGUCCAUCUUUUCUUUGCACCACUCUUGAUCUUCAUGACAGUAAAAACUCCUCCUUUAUUUCUUUCUCUCUUUUCCUAUUAUUUCUUUUUAUUUGUCUCAAUACUUUUCUUUCUUUAUUUCUUUAUUUUAAUCUCUUCUCCGAACCUCUUCUGAACACCACACAAUAAAAAUCAGUUUUAGAUCCUUCUAGAGACCUUCCAGGAAUUUGCUACAUGAAAACCGAGGCAAGGAGACCCCAGGCCGAUUGGCCUGGCCACUCCUUUGCUCUCCUCUAGCUCUUCUUUCUUGUGAAGCUUCCUUAUCUUGUAUCUUUCCAAAAAUUUCAUAAAGCUCAACUAGAAACGGAACACAUCUUCAUAUAAUGAGUUGUGUUCAAGGAAUUGGUAAUAAAAUUGAGAAAUUUGUGGUUCGGGUUUACGAAUUCAGUACAAAAAUAUGAUUAUUCCAAUGAAGAACUCUCAUUACUGAAUAUUGACGAGGCAAGCAUUCAAAGAUGGUAAAAAGGAUAUGAUCAAUUCUCAGAAUUAAAGCAAACCAAGAGAGAGCGAUCCUAAUUCAAUUCAAAGUGUCAAAUGUUGCUUAUGGUGGUAUGAAUAAAUAUUUUUAGGCAUUGGGUAGGAUAAAUAAAAACUCUCAACCUGGUUAAAAGAUAUUGAUCAAUCUUGUUUUUGCAGAGGUUUUAAAUAAAAAAUAAAAUUUUAAAUCACCUCCAAUUCAAAGCCUUACUCAUAAAUCAUAAUCAAAACUGAAGCACUUGAUCAUCAUAAAGCAUGGGUAUUGCAUAAACAAAUCGAUUACUAAAACUCCACAACUACGAUUUAGAAUUCAAGACAAUGCUCAUAAUCUAAAGUUGCAAAGACAAAAUAAAAGACAAGCAAGCCAAGGUAGACACUAAAAACACUUGCACGAUCCUUGAAUUUUAUUCAUGCUUCUUCUCACAAAGACGCUAAAGUAGCCAUGUAGGCCUAAGUCUUCCCAAAAGCUUAAGAAGACUACUACUUUAUCUACUUUUGGUUCUAAUAAAAACACUAAUCUAGACUCUCACAUGAUUCGACUCGACCAAACUAGAUCCAAAAACUCAUACGAGCGACAAUCUCCCCCCCCCCCUCUCAAAUCUACGACCUCCUCGUGGUAACCAUAUGGAGUACAAGGAAAAGACGCUUGUAAACGCACUAAUGACGCUACCCGGACUACUUGCACACGGAAUGGUUGCUGUUUCCUUUGCUUUGUUCUUCGUCAUGUUGCUGCACAUCCCGAAGAGCUUCCUCACGUUCCUCUGCAAGAACUUGAACUUGAACUUGUCCUCCUGACGGCAAUCAUUAUCUUCUGCCUUUUGAUCCAGAGCUUGUAAGGCUUGCAUGAUGUCAUUGAACGCAUCGAAGAGGUAGUGGAUGUUCUUCCUGCAAGCUGUGGAACAUGUACGAUCAUGCUCCUACGAUUCUGGCCCGUCGUCUUCUAGAUCCUCCUCUUUGCCCUUGUCUUGACGGUGGCCAUCUUGCUCCUUGCUCGUCUUCUUGCCUUCAGCCCGAUCCCAGUACGUGUUGUCAUCUUCUUCAUCAUCACGGCCUGCAGCACCCUAUGAUCCAUUGUCUAUCUUGUAUGAAAGAAUCAGAAGCUUGUUCUCCUCAGGGUGUCUUGCGCGGUGCAGCGUUUGCAAGUGCAAGGCUUGCUAGUUCUUUUUACACAUUGUAAUGUUCAUUGCAUGCUCUAAUUGUUCUACAUUUGUAAUUUCUUGGUGAAGUUUGGUUACUGAUCCACUGUUUGAUUAACUCUUGGGCCCAAACACUGUACUACUUCUGAUUAGAUAUCUGUAUCUUAACUUUGACCAAAAAAAAUAUCCGGCAGUUUUUGCCAUUAAAGUUUCAUAAAUCAUCUUGCAAAAAUCGUACUAUACAACAAGGGACGGUUUAUUAUAAAAUAUACGUUCCCCUUAUCACAUGCCACUUCCACUCAAAAGGCAACGAAUCAGUUUUCAAUCCUGAGUGAGCAAUUUGCUUUUAUUACCGAUGCCUCCUAUUCCCUUGUGCACCAAGUUCAUUUUGGAUAGGACUGCAAAAAGCGACUAACCAGCUCGGAUUCUCCACCUGCAAAACCGCAUCUGCAGCAACCAACCCCACGCGGUGGAAAAAAAAACAAAACCCAGAAACCGGACGGGGGUGGAUGUGGGGCUCGGAGCCCAAGCAAAAAAAGGAUCGGGAGCGCCGGAGCAGGCCAUCACCGGAUGUUAGAGAUAGAAAAUGGUUGAAGUUGGAGUGGAAAUCAAACAAGCCUUGGAGCAAAGGAAAAAAAAGAUCAAACCACUCAAGCAUUCAUUUGAUUUAGAAAAGAGAACAUUUGUUAAGGUGGGGAGUUGAAAUCAUCUUUUAAUUAGUUCCACGUAUCUGGUAUCAUUACAGUUGGUUGACUUGUGUAAGUAUAUAAGUAGCUCUGCCGAAGCCUUUGCUCCUAUAAUUUAGUAACUAGUACAAAUGGAUCAUUAGGAAAAUCAAGUUGCAAUCAUUUCUCAGCCAACCAAACCUAUCUAAAUCAAAUUAUUGUCCAUGCCCGGCAUGCACAGGUGCCUGCCAUGCAUGCAUUGUUGCUCCAUUGUAAUAACCAUUAUUGUCCAUUGAUGUUCCAGCGCAUGUGUGCACUGUGCAGACACCAAGCAUCGAGAUUAUGUACUAGUAAGGUACCAAGAACACGUGAAGCACACGGGGGAGGCUGCUCCACUCGGCAUGCACAGGUGGGGCACGGCACCACUACUCGUCUCCUUCAGGCAGAGGACAAGUGAUGUACGCUGAUCAACCACUAGUAGAAAAACGACUUUCCAUCCACCCCCUUUUGUCCCGGUUUAAAGUUGGCCCGGGAUAAAAGGUUCACCAACCGGGACUAAAACUCGGUCACUGGUGGGGGGCUCACCAACCGGGACCUUUUAUCCCGGUUGCAAAGGCUAGUGGGAAAAAAAGACUCUGAGAGGCCUUUUAUCCCGGUUUGAAACACCAACCGGGAUAAAAGGUGGUCUUUUAUCCCGGUUGGUGUUUCCAACCGGGAUAAAAGGGUCCCCACGAGUUAAUACAAAAGGAUAGUAUCCCCUAUAUAGUCAGAUGUGGUGUGUAGGUGGGAUGGCAAGGAAUCUCCGCCCUCUCCACCUUCGGUACUCCAUGGGAAACCAUUCCUUUGGAACCAAGGAAGCUUGAACAGUAUAACGAAUAAAGUUUCAUAUAUCCAUUUGAUUUCACAUGAAAUAAAAUAUCCUGUCAGAACCAAUGGUUUCACUGAAGCUCCAGGCAGCGAGCGAAGGGGUGAGAGAGGAUAACGCUUACUGUGUGUUACCAUCACGUGCACCAUGGAUGACCAACGCGCAGCCGAGAUGAAACGGCGGACCUAAACAGGUCCUCGCUAUUUUUGCAGGUUCUCGACCAGGCCAGUUCUUUGGGCCAACCUAUAAUUCACGAGUUAAACAUACGGUGGCUGUAGAAAUGUUCUAUUCUUUUCAACAAUACCAGCUGGUUCCUCCGUUUUUAUUCCACCAAUACAAGCACCACCUUGUAACAUUUCCUAUGUUUUUUUUCCUUUCGUCUGUUUUCUCACUACAUGCGUUGCUCUUUCAUGCAUUUUUUUCCAUUCCUGUAUUCCAAAUAGGUCUACAUGAACACAAAAUGAACUAGGGGACAGAAAAAGCCAGUGAAGUUAGUUUUGAGCUUCACCAGCUACUUGCUACAUAAAGUGUGCUAUAGUCGCAGAAAAGCUAAGCUGGAUCAGACGUGGCCGAAACCAUGCCAAAGAGCUAGGUCCCUAGCUGAUGGCAACACAUCAGAUGACUAGCCUGCUUUUUUGUAAUAAUGAUAUUGAGCAAUACACUGCAUGGCUAACCUGCUUUACAAUAAUUGUCAUUUUAUAAUAUUGGUCAUCACGAGAGAUGCACAUUGCAUACACCGGUCCAUCCCUAUAAAUAGCCAAGCCUUUCAGCCAUCUUGGGCACCUCCUCUCAGGGCCUCGUCUCACCAUUAGACAUCUCGUUCCCAGUUAUAAUUUGCGAGGUUAGAUCAGGCUGCGCCAUGGCGUCCGCAGCUGCUGUCAAGAUCGCCGCCAUCUUCAUGCUGGUGCUGACCAUGGGCCACCUGAUGGCCGAAGCAUCACCGCAGCCUCGGCGUCUGCUUGCAGAAACGGAGCAUGCUGCGGUGUCCGGGAAUCCUGGCCUCCCAGGUGAUGCUAGCGUCAUGCAGGUCCUCGAACCCGCCCUAGUUUCUCCUCUUGCCUGCAAGCCAGAGUGCACAGUCCCUUGGCCUCCUUUUGUAUGUAUCUGCUAGAUCCUCUUCCUGGAUCAACGGAACUUCAGGGAAAUGGCUGUGACGUCGGCCAAAGAAUAAAUUGGCUGAACAUAAUAUACCCCGGGUAGUGUAGCUUGGGCUUUUGUUGAGCGUCUGGUACUAGUUGUAUUUUGUUUGCUCAUGUGGCUUUGUUUCUGGUUGCAUAUUGUCUUUCCUAUCGCUCUCUGUUGCAGCUAUGGUUUCUGCCAGGUGUGUGUCAAUGCGGUUUGUAAGCGGUGCUUGUUCCUACCUUCUGUUUUCAAUAAAAGAAGUCGGAGUCUCCCUCCGACUCUUGUUAUCAGUCAAGAAAAAUGAGUUGUAUCAUAUAUAUCUGCGUCUUUUUUCUAUGUAUCUCUGGGCUGCUUCAGCUGGAAGUUUAUCGUAAGUACGUGUAUCAGGAUGAUCGUUUGAAUUAAAACGAAAUGAUAAUGUGUGGCUGCUAGAAAUGGAAUGAGCAUCUUACUAUAUUACUAAUUGGAAGCCUCCACGUGAAGCCACCUAGAAAUUCUAGGUGGAUGUUUUAAAAAAAAGAAAACCAAUAGAAGCCUCCACCACCUAGGAAUCCUAGAUGGACGCUCUAAAAAGAGAGAAAUCCUAGAAAUUCUAAAAAAAGAAAAAAAAUAAUAACAAUAAGAUUUUUUUUGCAGUCAGUUACAUAUAUUUUUUUGAGACACCGUGCUGCUAGCUCUUGCCAUUGCGACCAAUAAAGCAAGCAGAUAGUAAGAUGACAUGCGUGUGGAUUGAUUAAAACAGAUUCUGUUAGUUGAUUCUAAAUCAUAUGUAUCCUAAAAGGAACUAGAUAUGUGCGUGCAUGGUCCCUAGCGAUGACAUGUAGACAUGUAUUGCAAUUUCUUUUUUAAAAAAUAUGUCUAUCUCUAAACCAACAAACAGAAAAAAUAUCAAUCUAAAUCUAAAUCUCUUCCGUUCUCACACGCCUAUUAAAGAGAACACAACCAAUCCCAUCCAUGUUCCAUAGAAUCCAUCUAAAAGCUUGCUCACUGCGGACGGCAAAUCAACGAAAGAUCAUCCUCUCCAAAUAGCUAGACGGCAUCACCAUCUUUAUCUCACCAACCUACAGAGCUACAACGAUGUUGUAGAGAUCAACUAGGUAACCUACCAAUCACCCUCCCCUUUUCUAUAUGCUCUAAAGAACACGUGGAGUAAUUAUAGGCCUAUAGGAGCCGACUAACCUAGAUUAAUAUGAAAAAUAUUCCAAUAUUAAAAGCAAGCAGAUAGUAAUACUUGCCUUUGAGCAUUUUUCAAGAACUGUUAUUCCUAUUGAAUGUUCAAGUGCUACGGCCAGGCAUCGAAUGUCUGCACGGAACCUUCCUAUUGAAUGGUUACUCUAGAGAUCAACGCACCGCGAGACAUUGUUUUUGGAAUUUGUUUGAUUCCCCUUCUACAAUUAGAUUAAUUUUUCAUGGUAUAUAUUACUACUAUUAAAUUAUUUGUUUAUUAUCUGGCCUGCUGCAUGUGUGGUAUAGAUGACUUGCUUCUCACCAUUGUUCUCAAACUGUUAUUCCUAUCCAAUCUUUCUAUCGAAAUAUAUUUUAAUUACUUGAUUGUUGUUUGUGUACCAUAACUUCUGUAUAGAAAAAUUCCAUGUUUGUAGAUAAUGUCUUUUGUAUAGAAAAAUAGCCCAAUUAGGUCCAUCACCAUCUUUUGCUUAUGUAGUUGAACAAGUUGCAAUGCUGAACAAAACUUUAAGUGAAAUUAGACUAGGAAAAGGAAUUGUGGAACAUUAAGGCAAGGGUAACCAGAUUGUGGAAUGCAACCUUACUCAGUAGUGGCGAACAAUUAAGUCUUGACAUGAUCCUUAUUGAUCAAGAGGUAUGAUAGAUGUUCACUUUGAUUGCAUUUUUGGUAUAAUUUUUGGCUUACAAAUUAUUAAUGAUGAUGCAAAAUUAGGGAACCAUGAUCCACGGUGUUAUCAAUAAGCCCUAUAUGGAAAAGUUCAAACCAUUGAUUGAAGAAGGCAAUGUGUACAUAAUUGCAAAUGUCAGAAUCACACCAGAACCACAGAAGUAUCGGCCAGUGGGAAAUGACAGGAUAGUCAACUUCUUACCCACAACUGCACUAAAAAAGGUCAAAGAUACUGAAGACAUUCCAAAGUAUAGUUUUAACUUCAUGAGCACGGAUAUGCUUUCAGCAAGAAUAAAUGUGGACAUGUACCUAUCAGGUAAAACAUUACUGGUUUUUCAAUUUUUACACUUCCACUCAUUCAAUGACCAUCUAAUAAUAAUUCAGAUUUAUGUUUCAUAGAUGUUAUAGGUAUCUCAGCUCACAUUGGACCGAUAGAAGAAACAAGGACAAACUUCGGAUUUACCAAAAUCCGUGAUAUUGUGCUCCUGAUCGAGUAAUUCUCAUUUCUUUUGUAGAGAACAACUAUGAAACUUUCAACAUUUACAUGUAUGGUAUAGAACUUCUGUUGAACUAAAAGAUAUCUUCUACAGUGCCCCUACAAAUAAUUAAUUUCGCAGUUAGGUAUUUAAAAUAUUAAUUAUUCACUUUUAAUUUUGUGGCCAUGAAGUUAAAGUUAGAUUUUGGGGAGACAAAGUUGAGGAAGUUGAUGAUAAGACAAAAUCCCAUGUCAUUGCAAUAACAUCUACAACUGUGAGGAAAUUUGGCAGUAAGUCUUCAUUCAAUAUGAGUUAUUCAAUAUUAGUCAUUCAACAAACUAACCUCCUAGGAAAAAUAAAUAAUUGAUAUUUUAUCAGGGUAUUCUCUAUCGUCAACCAAUGCAACAAAAGUUUAUGUAGAUCUACCUAUUCCUGAAACUAAGGAUGCGCAUGAUAGGUGAGAAAAAUUAGAUAUUGUUUUUCUAUUUUAAUCUAUGUAGCAUGCACUCUAACAUGAUACAUUCUUUCGUAUGAUGAAAAAAUGUUAGUUCAAUUGAUAAUAUUGUCAAAGAGAUUCAUUAUUGAGGACCAUCUAAAAGGGAUAUUGGAAGACCAAAUGCAGUACAAUAGAAGAACUUUAGAAGAAUUAAAUUUGAUAUUAUUUGAAACAUCAAAUCAGGUAUGGAUUAGUAUGUUCAUUGUACACUAUACUAUUUAGAGACAUACAUACAUAAUGAUGGUAUUGUUCCUACUUUCAGGAUGAGGUAUUUACGAUGAGGUAUUUACUAUUGAAGCAACAAUAAAUGAAAUUAAUGCAACAUAUGGUUGGUACUACAUCUCAUGUAGUAGAGGCGAUUGUAAGAAGCAACUUGAAAAGAAGUUUCAUCACUACUAUUGCAAUAAAUGUGACAAGAGAGCCGAACCUAAAGCAUGGUAAAUUAUUUAGUAGUUUACAAUCUUAUUAUAAUACUUCUAUUUCUAAUUGGAGAAUAAUAUUUGCAAAUUCAAAAUUAAGCUUCAAAUAAGUGAUCCAACAACAAGUGCAACUUCUGUACUUUUGACAAGGAAGCAGAAAUGAUAAUUAAUGAAUGAGCAGAUUCGAUGAUCACCUCCGUUGAUCAUGAUAAUAAGUAGCUACCAAAAUCAACUAUGCAAAAAGUAGGAACAGAUCUUAAUCGGCUAUGCAAAAAGUAGUAAAUUGAGCAAUAAGAUAUAAAAAAGCUGACAGUCCUAAUUCCAAGCUGUAUAACUGGUGAUAAAACUAGAACAACAUGCAAAACCUAGAAUUCUAGUGAUUAUCGAUAACUGGUGAAUAAAUCUAAACAAAACGACAGCAAUGCGCCCGAAGUUAAAGCUUAGAUAUUACUUGAUAAGCGGAACUUAUAGAAUCGGCCGGAGAUCAAGUUGAUGCAGCCCCGCCAACCCGUACGAACUCGUGAAAAGAAGAAAAGUAUUGGCGAAGUCGCCUGCUCGAAAGUAAAGUGCGAGGAAAUAGUAGUUUGUUGUAUUGAUUUGAUGAUGAUUACAGAUCUAUGAAAGCGGCUAUUUAUAGCCAGUUACAACCAAUCUCUUAACUGACUAGGACUCUAUCUCUAAUUUUAAACGAAAACGAAUAUUUACAAGCAUAAUUCGUAUCGGAGUUGGUCAUCGUGUUCCCAUGGGCCGAUCUCCUUUUUAUCUUCAUAGCUCACUUUAGGCCCAUAUUGGCCCAACUGCUCCAACCUCCCAAUCGGCCGAUUUCCACCAACUCCAUCCGCCGAAAUACUACAGCACCAAUCGGCCGAUCCUCAACUGUAGCACCAAUCGGCCGAUUCCCAAUCGUGACCUCCGUGUUUCGCCGCAUCAGCUGAUUCCUUCCCUUCUUGACGCCGAUUUCAUACGCGUCAAAAUCUGGCAUCAACACAUGCCCCAAGUUUCGGAGUAAAACAUAAUCUUUACUUCAAAAUUCCUUUCAACUUCCCUUCCGAAACAAACGCAUUGAAAAUACCCUUCCGUUUCGCGGUCUUCUGCCUGAUGAUUGCAAUCUUUUCGAAACGGGCGCCCACGACAACCACUCCUCCUGAAAAAAUCGAACCGCCGGCGUGGUAAAAAUUCCGCUUUUACCCUUUCUCAGACCGCCCUUAGAUAUCAGUACGUCCCGUACUUCUUCUUCACGAGCCCACGUCUUCCUUCUUUGGCGCACUGACCUCCUUCUUCUUCCGGCGUCUCUUUAGCCUCUAACCUCUCACUCCGGCGAGUUCUUCCAUCUACAUUCCACCCCACCUUCCCGAUGGCAACACCUUCAGGCACUCCACCAACAUCCGAGGUCCCGGAGACGGCUCCAUCAGCAGCGGCUCCAACAGCAAUGGUGGCAGCUCCAUUGGCAGGAGCAGGAGCUCCAUCGGGCGGGAGCGGGAGCUUCAUCAACGACCACAAUGAGCUUCAUACCAGAGGUUUCUACCAAAACUUUCCUUUCCGCUCCUCUAUGUCGAUGCAUUUACCUUAGAUCAUUUCUUACUGCCCCUUCCAUUCUUUACCUGUUUAGGCAGUUAGGCACCACAUUACUAUUCGCCUCACCGAAACUCCCGGCCUUAUCUAUUUUGGUCCCAUGGGAAACCCAGAUCCAACCGACCUAAUCAAUUUGGAAACCCAUAGGAUCCCUUUCAAGCAAUCAACCAUGGACCUAGAUCACUGGUCAGGUACCUUCAGAUCAUGGCCGAAUGAAACCCCCGGCUGGAGGGAAUGGUACAAAUGGAUAGCCGCCUCAAAAAGAGUUCAAUGGGACGAGCACAAAAUCGGCCAGUGCAUCGACUUAUCUUUGUCCCAAAUGGAAAGGAAUGAGCCUUUAGUAAUAGCAGCCUCCUACUUUUGGUCCGAUGCCCUAAACGCAUUCCCCUUAGGACACGGAGCUAUGACCGCUACCCUAGCCGAUGUGGUCAUGUUGACCGGCCUUGAUAUCUCCUCUCCCGAUACUCCUUUCCGUUACUUGGCCAAAACAUCCCAUCGGCUAGAGACGAAAGGAAUCGGCGGGUGGAAAGGAUUCAUCAAGUGCAACAGAAGGGCCGGGACAGCCCAGGAAAGAGAGCAUGCGGCCUUCUUGAUGAUGUGGCUAGAAAAACACCUUUUUUGCGGGAGGGCAGCCGGUCCAUCCACUAACACACAGGCUUUGGCCGAGGCACUAUCGAUAGGUGCCUCUGUUCCUCUUGGAAAGCACCUAUUGGGAUCGGUUUACCAUAUGCUGCAUCAGAUCGGCGUCAAGCUAUCCAAAGGAGAGCCGAUUGGAAACCCAGGUGGACCCUGGUGGUUCAUCAACUUGUGGCUUAAUCUAUAUAUGAGCAAGAUCUCCCAGCAGCGAGUGGAGUACAUGAUGUUCCCCAACAUCGAAUCGGCAGAGAAUCCCACUGUACGGUGCCGGUGUACUUCCUUCGGUGAAGCGGCAUCGGCCUUCUCCGGUUGCUCAUAUUCUGCUGCCAAGGUGGCCGAAUACUUCAGAUGCUUCUACAAUGGCUUCAGCAAAGACGCAACCAGCUUGUUCCCUUAUCAAAGGGAGGAACCACUCUUCGAGCUCCCCUCCUGUUUUGACUCGGCCACCAGCAAAUUUGAUGAGGACCUCACAGAUGAAUUGAUCAAGCCUCUCGGGGAAGGAUGCCCCCACUUAUGAGUUUUACCAUCCUUCCGUCACAGCACGGCAAUUCGGCUUGGGUCAACUGCCGAUUUAUGCAUACUUCACCGGCCGAGCAAAAUUUCGAGACGAGCUCACCAAAGGUCUCCACUACUACGAUCGGAUUCCAGACUCCAGCACCAUAGACUUGGCCAGUUGGAUAGUAGCCCCUUUCGCUGUUCAGCAGUUCAAGCUAUGGUGGGUGGAAUGGAAGCAACAUCUAUUCUGCGCCUCUACGGCGAUAUAUUGUAAUCUCCUGAAUCCCGACAACAUCGAUCCGAAUGCUGAGGUAUCGCUCUCUUUCUAGCUGAUUUUCAACUCCUUUUUUUUUAUACUGACUCUUAUUAUUAUUUCAGUCUGAGAGCCAUGCUCCCCCAAAAUGCAGUCGGAGUGGUCGGUCGAUAGAGGACCGUUAUCCAUACACAACAUUCCCCCUCAUCGGCUAUCACGCCCCCUCCGUUGAUGACAUAGCCGGCCGAGCGAAGCAAGCGCAGAAAAAGAUUAUCAAGAAGACAAGUCGCCGAGUACGCGCCCGCACAGAAUCGGCCGAUCCACCCGUGGUUGCAUCGGCAGAAAUUUCGGCUACGCCGACCCUUCCGGUCGCUGAAGAAGUUGACCUCCAAGCCGCUAAAGAGGCCGGAGCGGCUGCCGCGUCAUUGUUGGUGGAAGCUAUUCAGGUAAACUCACCAUCCGAUUUUCCUGACAGUCAUUUCAAUACUGACCUUUCCUUUAUUAGGCCGUGCAGAUUGCCUCAGCAGAUCCACAGCAAUCUGCAAUGCCCCAAGCAGAAGUUGAAAUACCAGUGCCCCUUCCCGUUGAGGUACAUGAUCUCUCAACUCACUUCUUUAAUAUUUGAAUGAUGAUCCUACCAACCUUGACGCAGGUCAUCGGCACGUUAACUAUGCUAUCCGACUAGCCAUCUGCCAAAGAAGUCCUUCAAGAGGCCGGCCCGAGCAGAACGCCGAUCGUUGUCGAAUCCUCUUCUUCCGAUGAGCCAAUGGCACCAGUCCCCGAGUCGAUAGUGGUUGUUCCACAAACGCAGAUGGAGGAGAUCCAUUUCAAAGAGGUGAGAAGUCAUUUGACUCGCAUUUACCGAUUCGUCACCACCAUCGGCUGACUCAUUUUCCUUUUAUUUAUCAUUCACAGGAAUAGGACACUCCCAAUAAUAGCCUCUUCUCAUUUGCGGUCGCGCUCUCUGAUGACGAGGAAGUUGCUUCUCGUCAAGUUACUUUGAGCUCCAUCCCCGAUGACGUCCGCGCUAAGCUUGAAAGUAUACGGUCCCUUCUUUAAGAGGACAUCAGCCGAUUGGUGGAGGACGCCUCGCCGAUUCGGCAGCUCUUUGGUGACGUCAACGGGCGAGUCCCAGAGGAAGCAGAAGAAGCCUUGGCACCGGCCGCUUAUAUCGAGUCGAUGCGGAUCCCGGUCUUCAGGGCUCUGCGUCACAUGGCCGAUCGCGCCAAGCUGGCCAAGACUCGUGAGGAAGAGGACUCGUACAAGCAACGGGCCCAGGAGGUACACCAUCGGAUUCACUUCCUCGAGAAUUCCCGACCUGGACUCGUCGGCACGAUAGAUCGCCUCAAGCACCGAAGGGCGGAACUUGCCAAGGAGAUGGAGUAGGUAACCAAAGAAAUAGCUAUUGAAGAGAAGAAGCUUCAGGAACUCCCUUCCGUUAUCGCCGAUUUAAAGCAGGAGAGGCAGCAUUUGGCCCAUGAGGCCCUUAGACUCCAUCGCCAUAUGUCAGAAGUUCCAGGGUCGGCAGAUGAUGACCAACGAGUCUUGGACUCGGCCGAUCAGAUCAGGCAUCGAGCGAUUGCGGCCAUUAACGCCCUUCUGGGUGACUUGUAAAAGUACUAGCCGUUUUGUACGAACAUUAAUGCCUUUUGACCGUCCUUCGCGGCGCUCUCCUAUUUAUUACCCUUUUUACUCUGACAGGACGCGUCUUACCAAACCUCCGCUCUUCCUCUUAUUAUAAAUACCGGCCCUGGUUUCGCUCUUGAGAAUACCUGCUCCACUCGAUUCCUUUUUCCCCCAUUACGUUUCCAUCGGAACGUUCGUAGUCAUGUCUUCUUCAUCUUCUUCUUUCUCCUCUCCUUGUAUCAAUCAGGUACGAGGUCCGUCUUCGCCCUUUUUUCAGUUUGAUCCCUUUAAAUCGUUCCAACUUUUAGGCGGCUAUGUGCUAACUUCUUCAGCCAAGGCACCUUAUCCCUGAACUCGAAUGAGCAAUCGAACUCGUGCACUCUAAUGAGUCGUUGUCGCAAGAGGACAAGGACUUGAUCAAGGAACACCGUGAAGAACUCAGAGAUCACGUUCCUGCCGACGUCUAACGGAUCUGGGACUUCAUCGACGGCAAUGAUUACGGGCGACCGCAAGUUGACAGGAGCCACCCACUUCCUCUUCCGGUUGUUCUUGAAAACGCCGCGGUAGGGACAUCGCGCCCGGUGAUGGAUCGGAGCCAUCCUCUUCCUUGCCAAGUUGAGGCGGAGGCCGCGAUGAGAGAUGUGGCAGAACGAAGCAUUCGCCUUCUAAUGGAAUUAGGUAGGAUUGAGAGGGAACUCAAGAAGAAGCGUAGUUGAGUAUUUUUUGUUCUAAGGGCGAAGUGUACUGUGUCGGUCGUGUAAUUCAUCGUUCGUACUGAAUCACAAAUCGGCCGAUUUGAACGAUUAUUUUUCUCCUUUAGGCGAUUUCUUCUCCCGUAUCGGCUGUGUGAUCGUUCAGGGAGCGAUCUUUCUGUCUUGUCAAUGCCUUGCGAUCGAUUCUUAUGUUCCGACCCAUAUACUGGGGUAAUACCUUUUCAAGUACCUCCCGUUUAAGGCCCUAGUAAAUUCUUCUCCUUCGAUCAUUUCCAGAAUGUAAGCGUUUCCCAGGGCACAUCGGCCGAUUCUAUACAGCCCUUCCCAAGUGGGAGACCAUUUACCGAAUUUAGGAUCUUUUGAUCCAAUCGGCAACACUAACUUCCAUACCAGAUCCCCUUGGGAGAACUGCUUGACUUUGACCUUCUUGUCAUACCAUCUGGCCACUUUCUUUUUGUUUUCCUUGAUACUGAUCAAGGCUCUCAAACGUUGGCCCGCCAAAUCGUCGAGUUCCCUAUUCAUGAGCGAGGAGUAAUCAUCGGCCGUCAGCUGAUCUUGAAGCGACGUGCGUCUCGACCCUGUUCUCAACUCCCAUGGCAAUACUGCCUCAUGACUGUACACCAAUUGAUAAGGAGACACCUUGGUAGCCCCAUGGCAGGCCAUCCUGUAUGCCCAUAGAGCUUCGGUUAGACAUAAGUGCCAUUUUUUGGGUUGUUCUUCGAUCUUCCUCUUGAUCAACUUGAUUAUCCCUUUAUUGGAAGAUUUGGCCUGGCCGUUAGCCUGAGGAUAGUACGGGGAGGAAUUUAGCAACUUGAUUCCCAUAUCGGCCGUGAACUCCUCGAACUCUCCCGACGUGAACAUCAUCCCUUGAUCAGUUGUGAUAGUCUGAGGGAUGCCGAAACGAUAGACAAUAUGAUCCCUCACGAAAUCGACCAUAGCGGCCGAUGUUACGGCCUUUAAUGGAACCGCCUCCACCCAUUUGGUGAAAUAAUCUGUGGCUACCAGAAUGAAUUUAUGUCCUUUACUUGACGGAGGAUAAAUUUGUCCAAUGAGGUCUAUUCCCCAACCUCUGAACGGCCACGGCUUGAUAAUUGGAUUCAUAGCCGACGCGGGCGCGCGUUGCACAUUCCCAUAUUUCUGACAAUCUUGGCAUCCUUUAUAAUACUUGAAACAGUCCUCAAGGAUUGUCGGCCAGUAAUAUCCAUUAUUCCUAAUCAUCCACUUCAUCUUAUGCGCCGAUUGGUGGGCUCCACACACCCCUUCGUGCAUUUCUCCCAUCAGGGUCUUUGCCUCCUCCGUCCCUAGGCAUUUGAGUAGAACACCAUCAAUCGUCCGGUAGAACAAAUCAUUUUCCAAUAACACAUAUUUUGUGGCCUGAAAUCGUAUUCGCCAAUCCACUUUCUUAGAUGGGUCUUUUAAAAAAUCGGCGAUCUCUUUUCGCCAGCCGUCGGCCGCGAGUUCCAGAAUCAUGGCGCCUUGAAUCGGCCGAUACCCGAACGCGUGCUGAGCCAGCCUGUUGGCUUCUUCAUUGUAAUCCCUGGGGAUAUGCUCAAUAACUGUGGAUUUGAAUUCUUUCAGAAGUUGGAGGCAAUCCUCAUAGUAAACCCUUAAUACAUCAUCUUUGCACUCGGAUCUUCCUGUCAAUUGGUCCACGAUGAGCAUGGAAUCUCCAAAAACCUCGACGGUGUCGGCCUUAAUUUCUCUUAACAAUUGUAACCCUUUCAGGACAGCCCGGUAUUCCGUCUGGUUAUUAGUGGCGGAUGCUUCUAUCGACAGAGAGAAAUCAUAGCAUGCCCCCUGAGGCGAUAUGAGAACGAUGCCGAUUCCCGAUCCGGCCCCACAUGACGAGCCAUCAAAAUAUAAGGUCCACGGUACUGGUUCCACGACAGCGAUUUUUGGUCCGCAGUGUUGGGCGACGAAAUCAGCCAUAACCUGACCUUUGAUGGCGUUUGCCGAUUCGUACCGUAGAUCAAACUCUGAUAAAGCCAAAAUCCACUUUCCGAUCCACCCUUUCAAAAUCGGCAAUGACAGCAUAUACUUUACUACGUCAUUCGUGCAUACAACCACGCAUUCUGCCGAUAACAAGUAGUGCCUGAGCUUGGUGCAUGAGAAGUAAAGACAUAAGCACAGCCGCUCUACCGGGGGAUAUCUUGAUUCGGCGUCCAAAAGUCUUCUACUAAUAUAAUAUAUUACCCGUUCCUUUCCUUCGAACUCCUAGACCAGUGCCGAUCCGAUAGCUCGCUCAUCGGCUGAUAAAUACAGCUUGAAUGGCUUACCAGUUUCUGGUGGGACCAAGUACUGCUUGAUGUCUUCUAGUGCCUUGCGUUGCUCUUCUCCCCAUACGAACUCUUGGUUGGGUUUCAAUUUCAACAACGGUGUGAAGGCCUGGAUACGUCCAGAUAGGUUGGAUAUGAACCAGGCAACGUUGGUAAAGAAAACUGCUAAGAGUAAACUAAACAACGCUACAGUAGCAACACUAGGAACGGAUCUUAAUCGGCUAUGCAAAAAGUAGUAAAUUGAGCAAUAAGAUAUAAAAAAGCCGACAGUCCUAAUUCCAAGCUGGAUAACUGGUGAUAAAACUAGAACAAUAGGCAAAACCUAGAAUUCAAGUGAUUAUCGAUAACUGGUGAAUAAAUCUAAACGAAACGACAGCAAUGCGCCCGAAGUUAAAGCUUAGAUAUUACUCGAUAUGCGGAACUUACAGAAUCAGCCGGAGAUCAAGUUGAUGCAGCCCCGCCAACCCGUACAAACUCGUGAAAAGAAGAAAAGUAUUGGCGAAGUCGCCUGCUCGAAAGUAAAGUGCGAGAAAAUAGUAGUUUGUUGUAUUGAUUUGAUGAUGAUUACAGAUCUAUGAAAGCGGCUAUUUAUAGCCUGUUACAACCAAUCUCUUAACCAACUAGGACUCUAUCUCUAAUUUUAAACAAAAAUGAAUAUUUACAAGCAUAAUUCCUAUCGGAGUUGGUCAUCGUGUUCCCAUGGGCCGAUCUCCUUUUUAUCUUCAUAGCUCACUUUAGGCCCAUAUUGGCCCAACUGCUCCAGCCUCCCAAUCGGCCGAUUUCCACCAACUCCAUCCGCCGAAAUACUGCAGCACCAAUCGGCCGAUUCCCAAUCGUGACCUCCGUGUUUCGCCGCAUCAGCUGAUUCCUUCCCUUCUUGACGCCGAUUUCAUAUGUGUCAAAAUCUGGCGUCAACACAUACAUAAUGAUGGUAUUGUUCCUACUUUCAGGAUGAGGUAUUUACUAUUGAAGCAACAAUAAAUGAAAUUAAUGCAACAUAUGGUUGGUACUACAUCUCAUGUAGUAGAGGCGAUUGUAAGAAGUAACUUGAAAAGAUGUUUGAUCACUACUAGUGCAAUAAAUGUGACAAGAGAGCCUAACCUAAAGCACGGUAAAUUAGUUAGUAGUUUACAAUCUUAUUAUAGUACUUCUAUUUCUAAUAGAGAAUAAUAUUUGCAGAUUCAAAAUUAAGCUUCAAAUAAGUGAUCCAACAACAGUGCACUUGUGUACUUUUGACAAGGAAGCAGAAAUUAUAAUUAAUGAAUGAGCAGAUUCGAUGAUCACCUCAGUUGAUGAUGAUAAUAAGUAGCUACCAAAAUCAAUUCAGAAAAUAUGUGAAGAAACAUUGAUUUUUCAAUUCAAAUUGACCGAGUACAACUUGACAAGUUUUAGACCUGAUUAUACUGUUUCAAAGAUAUUUUUUCCAAAAGAAAAGAGCAGUUCUAGAAUUGGUAUGGAAAGUGUAAAAAAGGUAACACUUUAUUCUUAAGUUUUUAUUGCACUUUUUUCUUUUGAAUCCUUAAUAUUUAAUAAUUUUACUAUAUCAAUGAAACAAAUUCUAACCUAAAUUUACAACUCAGACAAAUGCUACAUGAUAACUACCGAGAAUGAAGAGGUAGACACUGAUGACUCUUUUACCGAGAAAGUAACAUUCGUAGAAGAAGCCAUAAGGACUGGGGAAAGAUUGGCUAGAAAAGUAUACUCACUUCCAUCUAAGUAUUCAUUCUAUUUACAAUACAUGCAAAAAAAUAUUAUUCAUGCAAAAUUGCAGGUCUACUAAGCAUUAAAGGAAUAGCGGAUAGUGCAAUAUCUAAUUUGAGCAGCAUGCAUUACAAAGUGCUCUACUGCAAUUAAAUUAAAAAACAUGAUAUAUGUUGAAUUCUUAGACUUUAUUAUUAUACUUUUCUAUGUGACAAUUCACAAUUUUUUAGAAAAAAGAAGAUCCCAGAAGAAGUGACCAUGAAAAAAGGUCUAUGCCCAGCAAUAAGAAAAAAUGCAAGCAUAGAAACAAAUCCGUAGAAAACAUAGAAAAUAAGGUACUCCAUAAACAAAAGUAUUCUCUUAUAUUUUUAUUAAAUAUUUCUUUAACACUUGACAAGUUCUUUUUUAGGAUCAAUAUAUCAGCAAUUCAGAUGUCAUUGGAGAUGAAAACCUUAGUUCGUCCAAAAGGUCAAAAAAAACAUCUGAAGAAAGGUGUUUGGCUGAAAAGGAAAAGCAAGAAAGUUGUAAUGCAGACAAACACAUGCAGAAAAAUAUAAAAACAUGUAAUAGGGAGGCAGACCAAUCUUGCAAGGAGGUAUAGACGAAACGUGAUACACGACCUGCCUACCUUGUCGUGGAUACCCCAAGAAGAUGUCAUAGAGGUGCAGACCAAGCUAGCAAGGAGGUCGAAACGUGAUACACGGCCUGCCUACCUUGCCGUGGAUAUUAGCCCUAAGAUCAUUCUACUGUUCAAGGAAUAACACUCAAUGCUGCUGCUGCUGCUGACCUGGCUCCAUAAAGUUAUACUCCUCUAGGUGCUUGCACUAACUUUAUCUGAAGUAUUAUUCUCUCUGCACUGUAUAUAUGGUUAUGGAGUUUGCUGGAGUAUCCUGGGGGAAGAACCUACAUAAUACGUCUUGGAACUAACUGACAUUGAUUCACAGACAAACUCUACAAGGUGCUGUUGUUGCCAUUUUAGAGCAUCCAAAGGACUAUAAAUAACAUAGUUUACCAUAUACCAUAUACCAUAAUAUGUUAGCUAAAAUAAGAGCAUACACAUGUUGCAGGAGUCCAAAAGCACCGGUUGAGGACCAGGUACAUUGAAUUACUAGAAAAAGACAGGGGACAAGGUUUAGGUAACCACAUGAAACAUUUGAAUUUACUGUACCAUGAACACUUAGUUACCAUGCCGGGAGCACAUAGUUAACACUAACAUUUAGCCACUUUAGAUCACCCCGAAUCACCAAUGACCCUCAAUAGUGACAAAUUUUGGUUUAAAUGCCGUCACCAAUGAUCCUCAAUAGUGACGUAUUUAGGUUUAAAUCCCAUCACUAAUAACCCUCAAUAGUGACCUGUUUUGGUUUAAAUCUCAUUACCACUUAUCCUCAAUAGUGACGUGUUAAAACGCGUUAUCUCAAUGGCAAAUCAUUGGUGACGUGUUUUAAAAAAACAUGUCACUGUGAGAGUCAUUGGUGAAGGGUAAUUAAAAUGCGUCACUAAUGUUGUAGCAUUAGUUAUGAUAAUUUAGUAAUGCAAAAAUCUACCAUCAGUAAUGAGCUUUAGAGCCAUCGCUAAUGUGGGUUUCUUACAUAGUGAUGCAAGCUCUACAAGGUGCUGUUGCUGCCAUUUUAAAGCAUCCCAUGACUACAUGUUAAUAACAUACUUUACCAUAUACCAUAAAAAUAUUAGUUACAAUAAGCACAUACGCAUGUGGAAGAGUCCGAAUGCACCGGUUGAGGACUAAACACAUUUAAUUACUAGAACCAAAUGUAUGUCCAGAACAAAGACAGGGGUCAAGGUUUGGGUAACCGCAUUAAAAACAUUGGAUUUUACUGUAGAUGAACACUUAGUUACCAUUACCAUGCCUUGAGCACCUAGUUACAACAAACAUUAAUUUAGCCACUUUAGAGCUUCCAGAAUCGCUAUAAAUAAUAUACCUACGCCGUACCAUGAAAACAUCAAGAAGAGAGACGGAUACAUGGACCACCAUCAAGCGAGUACUGACAGCACGCACAAGAAUACCCAGAACCUGUUAGCUUGUCUGUAGUGAUCUGUUUUCUUCCCCAUAAAAUCCAUGAGUAUUGCCACAAAUAAUGAAAGAGGCUGACCAAGCUAGCAAGGAGGUAGAGCAAACGUGAUACACGGCCUGCCAAGAUUGCCCUGGAUACGCCAAUAAGAGCGACAGAUACAUGGAUCACACCAAUAUGGUGAAACGUAUAUUCAUCACACAAGCAAAGCUGGUCAGUUUAUCCAUGGUCAAAUUGUGGUCUUUGUUUUCACUUGAGAGCUAAUUGAGGCACUAUAAUAUGGGCAGGCCUAUCUUCAACAGACAUGACAGCUACAGGGAACUUGACAUAAUUUGCUGGACCGCCUGUGCACAAUUAUUUGUUUUAUUGUCCUUGCAUAGAAUGCUAAAAUACUCUUUACAAAAUGUUGGAUCUAAUAUUUGAAAUAUAGAGUAGUAAUCAUAUAUUGAUCAACAACUUGAAAUUAUCUGUACAUUCUCGGUGAAGCUGUUGAACUAAUUUUUGCAAAUUAUUAAUUAAUUCAUCUCAUUACGUAAAGAAAACAGUAAGUGGAUAAGAUAUUUCGUGGACCACAUCACUGCAAACAUGUCAUGGAGAGACAGACCAAGGAGGCAGGACGUGAUACACGACUUACCCUAGGUUGCCGUGGAACCGCCAAGAAGAGAUACGGAUACAUGGACCACACCAUCUUGGGAGUAGUGACAGCAUAUAUGCAGAAGAAUACCCCGUGCCUAUUUGCAUGCAUGUCUCAAGUGAUCUGUUUUCUUCAGAAAAUACAUGAGCAUUGCCAGAAAGAAUGGCAAGAGACAAACAUGUCAUAGAUACUUGCAUGUCUUGCCUUGGAUACGCCAAGAAGAGGGACACAUACAUGGAUAACACAAAUCUAGUGACACGUAUAUUCAUCACAAAGGCAAAUCUGAUAAUUUUAUCCAUGGAGCAGACCAAGCAGAAAUUGAUGACGGACAUGUGAUCUCUGUAUUCAGUUGAAAGCUAAUUGAGCUACACUAAUAUGAGCAGGACUAUAUUCAAGAGACUUGUUGAGAGCUACAGGGAACUUGUAAUAAUUUGCUGGGCGGCCUGCGCACAAUGAUUUGUUAUACAUAGUUGAAAUAUUUCAAGAAUUUAUCAACCUCGUACUCUGAAACCCUUGGUGCAAUGUACUCUGCUUUCCGAGGUAGACUGUUCACGUAAAAUGAGGUCAUGCGUAAGACGGAAUCGGAUUGGAUUCGCAGGGAAUCAGAUUUGGAUAGCACCUUUUAGCCGGUUUUUAGUCAAAUGCAAAUUCGGAUCCAGAUGUGGUUGAAUGCGAGUUCAAAAUUCUACUUGGAUAUCCAUUUAAUUUAGGUGAUAGCAAUUAGCACAAAAUGUUGGAAGAACAAAAUCAUAGUUAGACAUACAAUUACAUGUAUUGUUAAAGUAUAAUACAAUACACCAAGAUUAUUCCUUCAAAAUAUUUCUUAAAAAUAUUAUAAUAAAUGAAUAAAUAUAAUUGUGGCCACCAACAAAUAGUCGGUGGUCACUAAGUUGGAGCCAUUUCUGGUUACUAAUGCGGCCUGCUCCUCGACCAGCGACGACAGCUGAGCUUGUUCCUUCUGACACCAAAUCAUCAGAGUCUUCCCUCCACUACUAUAGAAUGCACCUUUAGCACCAAUUGGGAAAUCCCCUUCAGUAUCGGAUGCUGCAACCUGUGCUAUGAAAAUGGAGACUAAAAGCCUCGGUCUUGGGUACCGGUUGCAUGACGCAUUACUAAAGGAGGCAAAAGAGAAAUGUAACAAAAAAAUAUUUUGAAUUCCAAGAAUGUUUCACUAUUCAAGAUGACUAACUGAGAGUCAUCAGACAAGAUACUAGGAAUGUGGGUGCUUGAAUGCAUUUGUACAGAGGUCAUACUAUUUACAAACUCUUCUGUGUUUCCAUAUGACUACCUACUUCAAUGUCACGCGAGCCAUUCAGGACACAUGGCACACAAGCUUGCAUGUCGAAUCCAUGAUUAAUUAUUUCCACUUGUGAUCUCUUACCAGUAUUUGUCCAGACUAGAAACGUGCAACACAUUUUUUGGAUAUGGACACGCAUAUAUUUGGACUAGUAUACAGGUCACCUUUGGAUGAGUACAAGGAUGACCGGGAGGGACUAAUGGAUACAAGGAAGGGACCAUCAGGAUUAAUAGUGACAUAUGCCACAUGACAAUCUUCAUUGUCAUGCAAUCCCUAUCAACAAUCAUGGAAUCCCUAGUGUACUAAUCCCUGGAGGGUUGUGUGGAAAUUUAUUUUACCUUGCGGUGAAAAUCUCAUGAGCAGUCAUUAGUUAAGCUGACUAGCUGAGAUAUAAUAGACAAGCUAGUAAGAUUGGGAGCAUCAAUGCAUCCAUACAGGGUCACAAUAUCCUUUCCAUUCACUUUUAUAUAUAACCCUACGAAUACAAGUCCAACGAAACGCGGGCCUUUCGAUCAAGAUAAAUUAAAUGGCCCACUUGUAUUUCUAAUCCAGGAUUAAUUAUGCCCUCUGUUCAUCUCUUGCAAGCACGUGCAACACAUUUUCACGAUAUGGACAUGCAUGGAGGUUAUUAUACUGUUUGGACAAACUCUGAUGUGCCAUGACCUGGGCCUGUUUGGUUUGAGUUGCUUAUUAUAAGCAACUUAAAGUUGCUUAAAGUUGCUUAUUUGAAGUUGCUUAUUUUUAGUCUAAACUGUUUGGAUACCCUUGCUUAUGAGCAUUGAAUGAGAUGGACAUUGUCAUAUUUGCCCCUUGUGUAGCUACCCCUCCAAUUUGCCUCCCCACCCUUCUUCUUCCUGCACACGCCCGAUCCCGGGGGCCGACGGCGGGCAGGGAGCAGCAGCAGCUGGCUGGGGCGGCGGUGGGGCGGGAGCGGCGGCGCACACCAGCAUGCGCUCGCACGCCAGGUGCUGGAGCGCGGCGAGGCAGUCGUCGUAGACCGCCGGGAGCGGGUGCUCGGGCGUGAGGCGGUACUCGACGGAGACAUCGAGCGUUGGGCGCGUGGCGGCGAGCGCGUUGAGGAAGCGAUGGUAGUGCGGCGACGUCGCGGACUCCGCCACGAAGCCGCCGCCGUGGACGUACACCACCACGGGCAGCUUCGUCUUGCCGUCGGCGGCCACGGCCGCGGCCUAGGGUGGCAGGUAGAGGCGGAUGGAGCAGGAGCCGAGGUCGACGUCCCCGGAGUCGACGCCCGUGGCGGCGUCCAGGCCGGGCCCGACCGGCGGCGGCACGAGCGACGCAGCCGCUCUUGUAAAUCCAGCAGGUCUGCGCGGAGGCGGGCGGCGGGCGGGAGCGGCGGCGGGUGGUGCGGAGGCCGGCGGCGGCGGGUGGCGCGGAGGAAGGGGAGCUGGUGAGUGGUGACAGGGGAGGGGGGAGAGAGAGAGGGGGGUAGGGUGCAUUGAAUGAGGGCAGGAGGUGUAAAGUGCACCUUUUAGUCCCCAUAAGCAACCAUAAGCAGCCCAAGAGUUGCUUAUUUACUUAUAAUAAGCAACCCCAUAAGCAAGAGUGAUUGGUUUCAUAAGCAACUUAUUUGCUUAUUUUAAGUUGCUUAUGCGUAAGCAUGUGAAACCAAACAGGCCCUUAACCUAUGGUUGUGGCACACAACCAUACAGUAGAUAGUAUUUAAUAAUGCUAUUCGUUUGGUAUGUGCAGAAGGGCACGCAUGAAAUGUCUGGCCCACGGUAAACAAGUACGGACGCUGCAAAUAAUCUACUCUGCUCGUCCAGUCCCUAGCCUAUAAAUAGAUGCCAUGCUAGCUCUUGUUGUGCUCACAAUUAAUCCGAUUACACACGAGCUUCUCUCCCUGGCCAAGACACAAUCAUAGUAUGAUGAAGAACAUGGCACUAGCCGGCAAUGGUAUGAAGAAGUUAAUCCUCGCUGUUCUCUUACUGUGUCUAGUUAUAGGGCAGAUACAAGUGGAAGCUAAGAGCUGCUGCCCAUCCACCACUGCAAGAAAUAUCUACAAUACCUGCCGUAUCACGGGUACAUCCCGUCCAACGUGUGCAAAACUGUCAGGCUGCAAAAUUAUCAGCGGGGACAAAUGCAAGCCCCCUAACGACCACCUCACCCUUGACCCGGACACUGGUAAAUAAUAAAUUUAUCUCACUUGAUUUCUUUGUGUUUUGAGUCGUUAAUGUAUUUUCCAUCUGAUGAAACGUAUUGGUUUUGCAUUGAAGAGGAAGUUAAUGUGCUUAACUUCUGCAAGUUGGGGUGUGCGUCGUCUGUGUGCAACAACAUCAACGCUGGUAAGCACCUUUUGCUCAGACAGAGAAAACAAUAAUCAUUAAUUAGCGGCAGCUAGAAUCCUAUAAUCUAAUAUAUAUAUAUAUAAUUUUAUCAGCUCUGGGAAAUGAAGAGGCGAACGAUGCCGUUGAGAGUUGCGACCAAGCCUGCUCUAGCUUCUGCAACGUGCACGUUGGCGCUGCCACCGUGGUUGCUUAAGCAAAUGCAUCCAACUGGAUCGUCCUUGUGCUGAAUAAUUGGAUAUCGUAUCCACUUAAAGCUGCCUUGUGUAGUACGUCUUUGUUUGUGUCUCUCUUUAUAUUCCAAUAAGGUCGGUGAUCUUGAUGCCACACACUCAGACGUGUGUUCAUCUCCAGAUACUACUCCAUGCUACCUACCCUUUGUGUUUUGUUCAAUAACUGGGUAUCAUAUUCCGGCCAGUGUGCCAUCUGUUUUGUGUUUAUUUCCUUCUAGUUCCAAAGGGGUCAUCAUGAUGUUACCUUCUUUCGAUAUGGUGCUUUGCAUGACUACUGUUGUAUGGUACCAUCUUGUUGGCCAAUAAAUACAUCUUAUCCUAUGACCCUUUGCUAUGACCCUUUGCAAAUAAGUACAAGAUUGUUAAAUACUCGGUAUAAAUUGACUACUGUUGUGAGUUCCCUUUCAGCUUAUUGUAGGCAUACAUUAUUGCUAGCACGGUGAAGACAACCAACACGAAUGAUCAAGUAAACGUACCGGUACUUUUGUAUACCAACACCCUUGCUUAAAUGUACCGGUGUUACUCCCCAUUGGCACAUAUAUUCUUUUAUGCUAGCCGGCUUGAAAAUUAACCGAUUAAAAUAAUUAUUUCAAGAUAGAAAUAACUUAUCGGCUUCUCGAAGCAUGUGUAAUGUGAAUUCAAGGACUCGAUGGAAGUUGAAUCGCUUCAUCUAGAUUGCUUUCAGGAUUUUGGGUAACUAAAUUUAACAUUUGCACAUACAAAUGUUAAUGUACAAAUGUUAAAUCUAGUUACCCAAGCAGAAUAUGAAGAUACUCUAUAGUAUAUAUAUACUAUAUAAAUCUAGUUAACAUUUAGUCUAAAUGUUAAAUCUAGUUACCUAAAAUCCUGAAAGCAAAAUGUAUAAAUAUAUAUCUUUUAAGGAAUCCCAAAGCAAGAGUUCAGUGGCAUUCUAUAGUCCCAUGCUGCUAGUUUGAGUUGGUCGAAGCCAACUUAAAUAGGAGAGCUCUCUCACUUCUCUAAAUACGUAACUGAAGGAGAGAAGGGGGCUUGGGUUAUACAAUGCACGCACGCACGCAUAUUUGCGUUCUUUUCGCGUAACCAACCAUGUGACUUGAAACUUGCGACGUAGCGUGCUGCCAAGUCAAGUUGAUAUAACCUUUUUGCCGUUUGCGUGUAAUCUUUUGACAACGGUCAUUGGAGGUGAUAAGCACGCAGUCAAUACCUUAAUCCUGAGUUAAUAGGGUGGUUACUACUGCCAAUUAGUGGGGCAAUUUUGUAGGGGAAACGGUUAGCAGAGGGCUACCGUCUUCUCUAUAAGAAGUUCUGGAGACGUCCAGAAACACACAUGUACAUGUGAGAGACCCACGAAUUCCUUCCCUUCUCCCUUUUCCAUCUGAUGAAGAGUGCUGUGGUACUGAGCUGCUGGAUCUCACCGGCUCUUCUCCUUGGCGUGCACUGAGGAGGGUGAGCGGUAUCUCCGAGCUAUUGCCGUCAGGAAGCCUGCACGACGGACAACAAUAAAGUUUUUGGGUAGCGCAACUGUGCAACCGCUCGAUUCGAUCGACUAUGUUAUGCGCUGCCUCAUCUUCGAUCUACACUGCAACGCGUAACCCUGCAGCAAGUCUACACGAGGACGGAGCACUAAUCUGUAAGUCCUAGAUUGGUUUCUUACAAAGUUGUAGGUUACACAAGAUCUAGAAUGUUACAUACCUAUUAUUAUGGGUUACAUGAUGUUUUGUACGGUUACGUCUAUUUUGCAUAUGCUAUUUUUACAUACCGUUUACAUGCAUAUGUUAAUGGUUACACCUAGCUAUUUGAAUCUAGAAUUGGGUUACAUAGUAGUAGCAAUGAGUUACGUAAUAUGCCUCAUGUUUAUAUCUGGUAGAAUUUAACACGUAUCUCCAACAUAUUUUGAGGCAGUAUAAAUUUCAAUUCCUUUUGCUGCUCUGUUAAAUACCAUCUUUCGUUGUGGCCCAACACUCUAGUAUGCAUGUAGCACCAAGCUUGUUUGAGCUGCUUUGUGCUCUGAUUUUGCUAUCUGUAUCAGGUUGGACUGUUUCUUUGUCUUGCGAUGUAUAGCUUCAUAUCUUCUAGAGGUUAGACAGCAAAACCCGCGUUCUCUUAAGGCAACAACUCGAAGAAUCUGCAGUGCCCCUGAUAUAUCACUGCUGCAGAAACGAUCUUUAGUACUGAUCUCCAACCCCCUUUAGUAUUGGUUUGGCAAUCAGUACCACUAUGUCGGUACUAAAGGGAGUUCUCUAGAAUCGGAUCAAAUAACCGGUACUAAAAGGGCUCCUUUACUACCAGUUGGUAACACCAAUAGGUAGUAAAUAUUUUGCACCCAAAAAAUUAAAGAAAAACAGCUGGGAGGCUCGCGCACACACGCAUCAUGAGUAAUAUGUGCGUGCAUGGUUUGUAGGAUUCCAACCCACGACCAAGCUAUAAGCACGUAGUUACAAAAAAUUAAACACUUAGACAUUUUAGAGCAUCCCAAAUAACUACAAAUUCUAUAGUUUACCAUAUACCAUAAAAUAUUAGUUAAAAUAAGAGCAUACACAUGUCGGAAGAGUCCCAACGCACCGGUUGAGGAUCAGACCAGGCACUUUGAAUGCACAUGCCAUAAGAUAAUUCUGCAGGACGAUGAUUGCAAUAAUGGACCAUCAAGAAGAUAGGGGCGAUGGGGUUGCCUCAUCAAUUAUCACUUGGCGCAACAAGACCAGCAAAGUCUUUAUCGACAGGGGUGGAUCAACGGGUGGGGCGGGCAGAGCUUCAGUCCUCCUACCGCCGCUCGAACAAUGGAGCCCCCCUUAGCCCCUCCAUAAAUUUUUAGGUAGAAGAAAAAAGAAGAGAAAGGAAGGAAGGGGAAGAAGAGGGAGCCCCUCCUAAGUAGGUCGCCAUCAUGCUUCCCAACGCAUGAUCGCCGCACCGCAUCCAUUCCUCUACAAGCCUCCAGCGUCUCUCCCGCCGCUACCUCUGAACCAUGUGCAGCUGCAGACCCAACUAGUGUCUUGUCCCCCAUCUCAGUCCCAACAGAGCAGCGGCGGUUGCCAGCACAAAUCUCCCUCCGCCUCUUCUUCAUGGUCGAUGGCCGCCACAAGCAUAAACCUCACCUUCGCAUCCACGCAAAAGGGUCGCUGGGGUGCCUUCUUGCAUCGCUUCUCAGCCUCCUUCACUUGCGGCCAGCCAAGAACCGUGCCACCACCUCGGGUGCGCGCCACCACUCCAGGGCUGCUACCCCAUGCCUGCGGCUGCCGCCGGCCACCACACAUGUCCCGCCGGCCACCACACGUGUCCAACCGCGUCGCACCGCUUCCCUGCUCUGUGCCACCACUUGUACCACCAGCUCCACCACCUUGGGCUGGUCGCCAGGGUGACUGAUUGGUGGAUUGUUACUAAAAAUAAGUUCCUUAUUAUCUGCAACUACUAUUAACUCACGGAUACAUGCAUAUUUUGCUUCUCCUGCUAAUAUGUCCUAAAAUAUCUAGGAUGCCUUAUAUUUCUGGAAAGAGGAAGUAUUUGAAUAAAAUGAACCAAUUUAAAAAAAUGUGUUAUACACUACUACAGAAAGACCUAUCAGUGUCAAACCCAAAAAUGUCGUCACCGCCAGUUUUAGGCACCGUUGGUGAAAGGUUGGCGGUGAUGGGCAUCCCCUUCAACAACGGCACUGGAGCCGACGGUGAUUGGCAUUAGAAAACAAAAAAGGGGACCCUACCUAGCCACCCCUGCAACCCGGCCAGCCGUGCCUCCCCUCGUCCCCGCCACCUCGCCUCCCCCGUUACCCCCCUCCGGCGCCCUUGCGCCUAGCCCCCUCGCCUGCCCGACUGGCCACCCUCGUCACGAGAGAGAGAGGUGCAUGUUGUAUAAUUGCGUGAAUUUUUUAAUGUUUAAUUUCAUGUAAGUUUCAUGUAAUAAAUUGUACAAGAUUUAUUGUAUAUAUGAAUUCCAUAUAUAUAUAUAUUUAUAAUUUAAUGUAUGGUUUCAUGUGUAUAUUUCAAUCAUGUGUAUAUUUAGUAGAUUGCCGAUUUUUUUUUACUAGACAAGGGUUGAUGUAUAAUUACGUGUAUAUGUUUAUUGUACAGGCAAUUAGGACAAGUUUUGUAUAAAUUUCUUUUAUUUCAUGGUUGUUGUAUGGUUUCAUGUAUAUACAUUUAUUGUAUCACUAAUUGUAUUAUUAGUUAAGAUGGGAGCCAAAGAGGAUGAAAGGUAUAUAAUGGAGCAGAUUAUUGCUGGCGGUAGUGGCUCAAACGUUGCAAGAACCUACACCGAGGGUGAGGGUAGCUAGGUGGACAUGUACCUCAACAUGUCCAGUGAUGGCAAUGGUGAUGAGGAGCACGAGCAUGACGUUUAUGAUAAUGCGGAACAAGACAUUGCAGAAUUGGAAGGUUCUAAUGAGGUGUGUUUCAUGUUGAUGAUCUGGUUGGCUUUUUUUCUUUGGUCACACCUUAGUUACCAUAGAACUUCGUCUCGGGAGAAGAUUAGUGGUGCUAUGGUGAUUGGAAUUUUAUUGCCUCCAAAUCUGAUUUCCAUCGAAUCAUAUCCCUUGUAUUUAUCUUCUUUUUAUUUGUGAGAGCAUCUUCUUUAUGCUUGCAAAACAAUUCAAGUGCACAUACUACACCUAGGGUGACGAUUAGGAGUAGAAACAAUUGCCAACAAACCAACACCACAUCCUAAGAUUCUUAACUUGUGGCAUAAUUAGUCUAGUAAAAAGAAAGAUAAAAACCUAAUGGGUGUACGUGAGUGCAAUGUGUAUAUGCAUAUGAGUGGAAGGCAUAUAAGCAAAGAUAAUAUUUACACAUAGUUCUAAACACCAUGUUUACAGCUAGGUUGCUGAAUUUCUCCAUAGCUAUAGAGAUUAAUUAACCAAGGUCAAAACACCAUGUCUAUCCCAAGAUCAGUAAUUCUUUAUAGCACAAGAAAAAGAAAGCGCAUUGCAAAGUUUAUAAACCAACCAAUGCAGCAUGAAAACAAGAUGAAUAGCUAGCAAGGUUUAUUAAACUGAAUGAUGAUGGUCUGCAAGCAAGUUUAAACACCAUCUUUACACAAGAUUGCGAAUGGAAAAUGCCCAUAUGAAGCACUAACAUGGAUAUGAAAUCAUUCAUCAUAAAGCGUAAAGAACAACCAAGCCAACCAUAUGCAAAGCAUGAAUGGAAUGCAAUGAAGGUGCAAGAGAACAUUUUUGGAUGAACACAUUAUAAUGAUGGCAAAAUGCAAUGCAUGCAGAAAAAAUAAAUAUGAACAUGAAUAUGAUGAUCAUGGGGCGGACCCACUAUUGUGGCCUGGGUAUUCCUGGGCAUACCCAAUAUUUUUGGGAAAAUGUUUAGUAGUUUUUAAUGGUAUAUACAUGUAUAAUAUAGUUUAGGUGUUAAAAUUGAUAUUCACAGCUAUUUUGGGCCGCAAUUCGCGUCCAAACCAGCCUGGCCCACAGACCACACCCGGCCGGCCGGCCCAUCUAGUCACUGAUCCCCCCACCACCACACUCAGCCCGUCAGUCGGUCAGGUCCCGAGCUCCUGCCUGACCUAGUCCGCUACCGCCGCCAGGUGCCAGGCACAGCCGCACGCACCACGCCGCCCCCGUCCGCCGCACGGCCGCGCCGCGCCCCCCAGCCCCCGCGGUGAGAUCCCGCCGCCCGCUACCGCCAAACCUCAUUAGGCCUCCACCAGCAGGUCCACCCACAAUCCCGAGCGACGCGGCAGCCUCUUGGCUCUCGUCGNNNNNNNNNNNNNNNNNNNNNNNNNNNNNNNNNNNNNNNNNNNNNNNNNNNNNNNNNNNNNNNNNNNNNNNNNNNNNNNNNNNNNNNNNNNNNNNNNNNNCCCCCCCCCCAUCGGGCCUCGGCCCCUCCCCAGCUCCCCCCCUCCACCAGGACUGCUGCUUCCCCCCACUGCGAGGUAAUCAAAAUCGACUGCUCAAUCUCUCAAUCUGUUGACAUGAUGCACACGGUUGCAAAAAUAGAUGUGUCAAAUAGAUGUAUUGCCAAUUGCUAUAGAUGCAUACGGUUGACAUGAAGAAGUCAAAAAUGACAUUUGGUUCCUUGUAGGCAGUCAAAACUGAAGAAGUCAAAAAAUAUUGAUCUGAAAUCAAUGUGGGAAAGGGCUACAAAGACACACAGGUAGAUUCCCUUGUGAACUUUUUAUGUCGUUCGUCUAAAUAUUUUUUUGCAAUGGGCAUACCCUACUCUAAAAUCCUAGGUCCGCCACUAAUGAUGAUGGUCUAAAAAUAAAACAAGCCUAGAUUAAUUAGCCACAACUGAAAUUAAGCAAAGGCUAAUGUCAUUGACACUAGCUCUAUCCUAGCUUUUACCAAAGUCCUGGCACAUAUAGUGGUUGGGCCCACUCUCUCUGCUUCCCUCUCUGUUGCAUGCACGCACACGAGCAACGGGAGGCCCGACGAAGCCCAGAAGGGUUCGGCCAAACCAGUCUGAGCGCCGCUCCCUCCCAGCCUUCGCGCAGAUGCUCCUCCAACGUUCCUUGACCCCUCCCUCAGCGUCCCGUUGGGUUUAACAUUGCAGGACAGGAGUCCCUUUUUUAAAAUCUCAACCACCUCCUCUCCUCAUUCACUCCACUCUCAUCUCCAUCAAACUAAACGAGAUCCACACCAGAAAUCCCUGCUUACCACCAUGGCUAGCAAAGCCCUCGUCCCUUUCACCAACUUAGGCUUGACCACUGAUCUCGAUGGGGAAAUCACUCCGGCAAAUGUCAUUGUCCCUGUCGGGCGAUCUUGCGAUGGAGGAGGUCCAGGCACUAGAGGUCGAGCCCCUAGCCAUCAUACCGCCCAAGGGGUAAAGCAGGGGUGUGACAGGCGCUGCUAGGGGUUCAGCCAAACUCCUAGUUCGGCCAAACCAGGACGGCGCCGCCUCGGCCUCCCGCUCGACUGCACGCUCGCCCUUGCCAAGGAGGACUCUAGAACAGCGGGCGCGAGCGUCAAGUCCCUACAAAAGGCUGAAAUACAAUGAAUAUCCAGGGCCACCCUUGAAGAUGGGUGAACGCUACGCCGGGUCCUUGUUUGACUAGUACGGCGAUGCAUUCUGCCACCGCUAUGAGGAGGACUUGUGGGCAGAAAGUCGGCUACCACAAACUUGCCUCCGAAUAUUUGGAUUGCGAACCUUGGAUGGUGGUUGUGGAGACCCCAAGCCAUACCUCGCACCCUUGGAGAGGUAAUUGGCUGGAUUGCUUGGUUCGUCUCUAGAAUGCGACAAGGUCAGGCGCCACCUCUCACUGCUACCAGUUAGAAGGCCGAGGGGCCAGUUUCAACAUAGUAAUGAGAAUCUCCGAAGGCCACCAUGGUUAAGCAGCUAACCUCCAUGAUCAUAGACUUACGUUUAGAAAAUAGGAGGCUUAGCGAUGCGUUAACAGAGCAGAAGUUAGAAACAGAAGAACUUAAGGACAACUUCCGUGUCCUCCGUCGUGGUCUUUGUGCUAAGAUAAAGCGCUUGUACAAUGCCACGGGGCAUGACGGUCUCUACGAUGCAGCUCAAUAGACGUGCCCCUUGUAUCCCUUCCUUUAGGCACUUUAGAAUAUGUUUAUUUGUUUUCCUUCAUUUUAAUUUCCAAUCAGAUUGUUAGCACCUCCAAUUUAAUUUCAAUAAAGUGUAGACUCACCGGUCAUCCAACCUGAUGGAGUCCUUGUGUCACUUAGUUGUCUUUGGAAGAAGUAGCUAGGUACAAAAUAAGUGUGGGGGAGAGCCACGGACUCUCUAGAGUUGAAACAAUGCACAACACCCACAAAUAGAGAAAACCACGCUGCACCAGCACGUACGUGAAAGGGGAGCCAGAGCUGGACCCAUAGGGGUUUGGCCAACCCAGGGUGUGGCCCACUCGGGCCAUCUUCAUCCACCGCGUCGGUUUGUGUUUCUUUACCCCUGAUCUCCCUGAUUCAUGAGUUUGAAUGAAUUUUAAAUCUGACCAACUAAUUCAAACUCAACUAAAAUGAAUCAAUUGCUCCACCUGCUCUACAUGUUUUCUAUGGUUGGCUUGCAUAUGUUUUAUUCCAUGCUUAUCAUCUUGAUGCUUGUGAACAAAUAUCUUUAGGACAGCAUGCUCAUCUAAGUAGUUGAUGUGUAUGAUAUGGUUUGAUGAUAUGAUCUUCGCUCUUAAUGCUUAAGUGCUUGGAAAAUUCUAUUUGAAAAUUUAAAGCCUUUUUUGAAAUCUCCUCUUUGAUGUGCCAAGGUCCUACCAAAGCCGUAUGAUAAGUUGUCUUGAAGAACCAUUUGCAUAUAUUGCUUGUCUUUGCAUUAAGCUUUGUCAAAGUGGUGUGACCCUUGAAGAACCAUUUGCAUAUAUUGCUUGUCUUUGCAUUAAGCUUUGUCAAAGUGGUGUGACCCUUGUGACAAUUCUUUUCAUACUUUCAUGAUCAAGACUCAUGUGCACACCAUAUACCCCUUGCUAUGCUUCUAUGAGAUGUUAGCAUUGUACCAUCCAUUGAUUCCACAAAAUAAAUGCUCCACCAUAUGUGUUGGUCUCCUUCUAAGAUUAUUGUUACAAAAGAGAUAUGGGCUAUCAAAAAAAAAUAUGAAUGUCCUAGAAAGUUGGACACAUAAAUGUCAAGAGAUCAUACAAAAAGGAGUUUCCAUUCCAUCCACCACAUCCAUACACGUGCACAUCUUGAUCUGAUUGUAUGACUUAUUUUUCUCUUUGGAUCUGGUCUUUGACUUUGCAAUAUAUGUGAUGCAAGUAUGCCUUAUCCUUCAUAGCCUACCUUGAGCUCCACAUAUAGCCAUCAUUAGAAGUAGGAUGAAGAAAGGCAAGUCUAAUGCCUUGGUGAGGACAUAUACACAUUGAGUGAUCUGAGAGAAUCAAAUGAGGAGCUAAGCAAGGUUUUGUUUUGAAAACUAAUUGAAAAAUCCCAAGCUACUUGGCAUAUGGAGUUGCGGUGACUUGAUUCAAGAUCAUUCCAUUCCUCAACUACCCAAGAUGGCAUGAUAGACACUCCAAAGUUCACAAGUGCAGGUAUGGUUUGGAAUAUCUUUUAGGCUCGCUUCAUACCUUUGAAAGUUAUGUUUCACCUUAGUCCUUUCUUCUUCACUCGAGGAUAAGCAAAGGCUAAGUGUGGGGGUGUUGUUGAUGGCUCUUAAGUACCAAAUCUGCACCAUCAACUCUUGCAUAAACACAUAAAAUAUGAGCAUCAACAGUAGUGGUAGCAGUUAUUACAAACGAAUUCCACAAGUCUUGGUGAAUAUUUGUAUGCAGGCCCAUUAGGAGAGAAAAGACACCUCAAGAGCAAGGAAACACACUCUCAACCAAUCAGGAGCAAGCACAUGGAACCAUGGGCCCACAACCGGAAGGAAAUCGACUACAUUCACCACCAAACACCCUAUACCCACAUGAGAACCCAUAGGCAGUGACCCAGAGCAGAGGUGGUGCCAGAGUGUAGAUGGCAGUUAGCAUGCCAAAUUGUGAACCGCAAGCGCACGGAUCAAUUGUUGCUUUUCCCUUAGAGAUUCCCCCAAGGUUUAUGAAUCCAUGGAAUAAGGGAUUUGCACGUUUAACUAAGCACUAAUCAAUGUAAUUGAAAGCUUUUCGAAUAAGAUAUGAUUAUGCUAACAAAGGAACUAAGCAAUCUAGAUUAAGAUGGAUAGAGAGUAAAGGUUGUGAACAAGAUAGAUUAAAUGCUUGUCCUAGGGAUCUAGGAUCACUUGUAGAUGGAAUCGCCAUGCAUAAAUGAAUUAGAUCUAGGUGUUAUCAUGAGUGGUUGUGAACCAUGCCCAACACUUUCCCACCCGCAACACUGUCACUACAUGUGGGUACUCAACUAUCAGAACAUAAGAACACAUCAAGAUGAUCAUUCUAGGUAAGCAAAUAAGCAACCCAAAGUAGUGCUGGCUAGCCUUUUCAUGAAAGAGCAUCAUCAAGAUAAGAUUGAUAACAAAAUAGAUCUCAACCAAAGGUUCAGCGAUUACAAAUCAAGAUCUCCGUAUAACCCCGAUGACAAAUAGAGGUAUUACCCCCAUGAUCUUACACAUGUUGAUGAAUUUUGGGGUAAAGGACACCUUGUAGAUCAAUUGGACCAAAGAUGAUGAUAAACGGGGGCAGGGAAGGCCCAGACCGAUCAGCCUGGGCACUUUUGAGCCGAUCAGCUCAGGGGGUUUCCUCCUCCCCUAGAGAUCAUGGUACACUUCACGCUGAAGAAACAAGAGAUCGACCGAGCCCUGGGAUAGACCAUGAGGAUCAGCCUAGAGGGUCCUAGGCCGAUCGGCCUAGGCCCUUCCUAGCCCUUCUGGUCCUCUCCUUCCUCAUGCUGGCUUUUCUCGACGACCCUUAUCCAAAUAUCCAUUAAGCUCUCUAUACAUACCCCCUUGAUUAUGUCGUAUUUCCUGCCAAAAUACAAUGCUCCAAAAUACAACACAUAUGCAAUAAUAGGGUUAUUUUAGGUGCCAAUUGGUGGGUUAGUAUACGAAUAAGCAUGAAAAUACUGAUUAAAUGGCACUAAAAGUGUGUCAAUAAUGAGCACCAACAAUCCCCCCACGCUUAGAUCUUGCUCGUCCUCGAGCAAGUCUAGCGACUAAAAGAUCUUGAAUUAAACCUGAGCAAGCGAGUCAAGUACCUAGCCUUGAAACAAAAGAUUAGAGGAGCAGCAAAGAUAAUCAAAGUCUGGGUGUUCAAAGAUUUAUCUAAGCAAAGAUUCCCCUACAACUAUUAUUCAGAACCAAGUAACUUCAAGUAUCAACUACACUUAUUUUUUGGCUUUUUUCAGAGGGUUUUUCUUUCAUCAUAAAACAAUCUCCCUGCAAAAAAAUUGGAAAAAGAAUUAUUUUCCAGGUGCUUAUAUGUCGCUUAAAUGAAUGUUGGCUAUCCUACUUAUUUGCAAGCUCUCAUCUCUCAAAAGUCAUUCAAUUCUAUGGUGGAGCUUGGGUAAGGUUAGCUAGAAUCAACACGUAUAUUAUUGAAUUAAGAAAACCCUCUAACGGUGGCCUACCUUCCGAGCCAUUGAUCAUAAGAAUAUCCACAUAAUGUGAAGUUUUCAAGGAUGAGAAGAUAUAGAAUGGUGGACAUGUGCAAAUGCAAAGAAAUAUAGUGACUCUGAGGCACAAGCAAUGUCCUCGUCAUUGGAUUGCAUAUGGUUGGAAUGAAAAUCCGUUCCUUAAACAAGUCCAUCUUUUCUUUGCACCACUCUUGAUCUUCAUGACAGUAAAAACUCCUCCUUUAUUUUUUUCUCUCUUUUCCUAUUAUUUCUUUUUAUUUGUCUCAAUACUUUUCUUUCUUUCUUUCUUUAUUUUAAUCUCUUCUCUGAACCUCCUCUGAACACCACACAAUAAAAAUCAGUUUUAGAUCCUUCCAGAGACCUUCCAUGAAUUUGCUACAUGAAAACUGAGGCAAGGAGACCUCAGGCCGAUUGGCCUGGCCACUCCUUUGCUCUCCUCUAGCUCUUCUUUCUGGUGAAGCUUCCAUAUCUUGUAUCUUUCCAAAAAUUUCAAUAAGCUCGACUAGAAGCAGAACAGAUCUUCAUAUAAUGAGUUGUGUUCAAGGAAUUGGUAAUAAAAUUGAGAAAUUUGUGGUCCGGGUUUACGAAUUCAGUACAAAAAUCUGAUGGUUCCAAUGAAGAACUCUCAUUACUGAAUAUUGACGAGGCAAGCAUUCAAAGAUGGUAAAAAGGAUAUGAUCAAUUCUCAAAAUUAAAGCAAACCAAGAGAGAGCGAUCCUAAUUCAAUUCAAAGUGUCAAAUAUUGCUUAUGGUGGUAUGAAUAAAUAUUUUUAGGCAUUGGGUAGGAUAAAUAAAAACUCUCAACCUGGUUAAAAUAUAUUGAUCAAUCUUGUUUUUGCAGAGGUUUUAAAUAAAAAAUAAAAUUUUAAAUCACCUCCAAUUCAAAGCCUUACUCAUAAAUCAUAAUCAAAACUGAAGCACUUGAUCAUCAUAAAGCAUGGGUAUUGCAUAAACAAAUUGAUUACUAAAACUCCACAACUACGAUUUAGAAUUCAAGACAAUGCUCAUAAUCCAAAGUUGCAAAGACAAAAUAAAAGACAAGCAAGCCAAGGUAGACACUAAAAACACUUGCACGAUCCUUGAAUUUUAUUCAUGCUUCUUCUCACAAAGAUGCUAAAGUAGCCAUGUAGGCCUAAGUCUUCCCAAAAGCUUAAUAAGAUUACUACUUUAUUUACUUUUGGUUGAAAUAAAAACACUAAUUUAGACUCUCACAUGACUCGACUCGACCAAACUAGAUCCAAAAACUCAUAUGAGCGACGAUCUCCACCCCCCCUCACGCUUAAAAUCUACGACCUCCUCGUCGUAACCAUAUGGAGUACAUGGAAAAGAUGCUUGUAAAUGCACUAAUGACGCUACCCGCACUACUUGCACAUGGGAUGGUUGCUGCUUCCUUCACUUUGUUCUUCCUCAUGUUGCUGCACAUCUCGAAGAGCUUCCUCAUGUUCCUCUGCAAGAACUUGAAGUCGUCCUCCUGACUUGCAUGAUGUCAUCGACAGCAUCGAAGAGGUAGUGGAUGUUCUUCCUGCAAGCUGCGGAACAUGUACGAUCAUGCUCCUCUGAUUCUGGCCCGUCGUCUUCUAGAUCCUUCUCUUUGCCCUUGUCUUGAUGGUGGCCAUCUUGCUCCUUGCUCGCCUUCUUGCCUUCAGCCCAAUCCCAGUACGUGUUGUCAUCUUCUUCAUCAUCACGGCCUGCAGCACCCUAUGAUCCAGGGCUCCUAUCGUCCUCCGAAUUGCUAUCACCUCCAUAGUCAGCUGGCGUGUACUCGGGCAUCUUCGCUAUGUAGCUCUUGCGCUUCAUCAUGAGGAGCCUUGCUGAAAUCCUUGUGGGAGUGACGACGACCUCCUUCUUCUUCUUGGGUGCUUCAUCUUCGCUCGAGAAGAUGAUCAACAUGCGAUUCGCAAGCUUUCCGGAUGGUGCCUUGCCUCCAACACUGAUGUGAGCGUUACGAGUAGUCCUUGGUGGAGUUUUGGGACCCUACUCACACCUCUUGGCUUCCAUAUGAAGGGUGAAGGUGGCAGCCAAGGGAGGGGGUGGUGCUGAUCGGCUUGGGGAGGUCAGGUCGAUCAGCCUGGCCGCCUCCUUCGCCGGCUGCUGCCCCCUCUCGUCUCCCGAGCUCCUGGACGUCACCACUGCACUUUUUUUUUGGUUUGGUGGAUCUGAAUUGCUUGUGUAGAUGCAAAACUCAAGCUCCAAUUGGCCUCAUUAUAUACUCUUGAAGUCUUUGUCAAGGAUCCACACAUUUCCAAAAACUUCCUUGCCCCUUCCCGCAAAAAUUCACUUCCAUAAUCUGUUGUUACCAAAGAUGUGAAAGAGGGAACUGAAUCGGAAAUUACAUAUAUUUUUAGACGUACGCUCUGCCUCCCAAAUUUUCAUGGCAGCGCGUAUGUCUAAAAAUAUAUGUAAUUUUUUGAGUCUUACACAAAAUUCAAAUGAAAAUAAUAGAAUUUAAGAUAGUGUAUGUACAAGGUACCUAUUUUAGUGUCGUCAAGCUUGACUUGGCCAUUCUUCCUUCAUGGUAUAGACGUCAAUAGAAUUGAUAGGCACGAUGUCGGCUUCCAAGAAUACCUUUAGCCGCUGUCCAUUCACAAUAUAUUGAUCUCCUUUGACGUCCAUGAUUGUUACUGCUCUGGUAGGUGACGCAGAAUACAUGACGUAUGGUCCACCCCACUUGCUCAUCAAUUUUCCCUUACCGAAGAAUUUAAACAUGGAGUUGAACAAUAACACUUUAUCCCCUUCUUUGAAUUCCUUCUUAUGAGGCCUUUUAUCAAACCACCUCUUGAUUCUUUCCUUGUAAAUGCUUGCAUUGUGGUAAGCUUUAAGCCUCAUCUCUUCCAAUUCACUUAUUUGAAUCCUUCUUUUUACUCUCGCAGCAUUAAAAUCAAGAUUCAUCUCUUUUAUGGCCCAAUAAGCUUUAUGUUCAAGUUCAACAGGAAGAUGACAUGUUUUUCCAUAGACAAAUUUAUACGGGGUCAUACCUAUAGGUGUUUUAUGAGCUGUCCUAUAUGCCCAUAAUGCUCCGUCUAGUUUCUUUGACCAAUCCUUCCCUCCUUUGACUAUGGUCUUUUUCAAUAUAUCUUUGAGUUGCUUGUUUGAAGUUUCUGCUUGGCCAUUUGUUUGAGGAUGAUAGGCUGUAGACACUCUGUACUCAAUCCCCAGUUUCUUCAAACAUUUGCCAAAAUCUUUUUCUAUGAAAUGUGAUCCUCCGUCGCUUAUCAAUAUUCUGGGCACUCCAUACCUAGGAAAUAUUAUCUUCUUGAUCAUGUGAAUUGAUUCCUCUGUUGAUGCCUUCCGACAUGGGAUAGCUUCUACCCAUUUAGACACAUAAUCAACUAUAACCAAGAUGUGCUCAUAGCCAAGUGAAUUUAAGAAUGGUCCCAUGAAAUAUAUACCCCAAACAUCAAAUAGAUCCACUUGCAAACUAUAGUUCAAAGGUAUAGAAUUUCUAGAUGAAAUAUUUCCUUUUCUUUAGCAUUCUGAGCAAGUAGCAAUGAACCUCUUUGCAUAUUCGUGCAUCUCUAGCCAAUAAAAUCCCCUUGCCCAUACUUUUGCUUGAGUUUUGAAGUGUCCAUAAUGUCCUCCAUAUUCUGAUGAAUGGCAUUUCCUAAGCACCGCAUCUCUUUCUUCUCUAGGAAUCCAUCUUCUCAAUACUCCAUCUACUCCAUACCUAUAUACAAAAGGUGCAGACCAAUAGUAUUUCUUAUUUUCAGCAAUAUUUUUUCUUCUGUCAUUCCUAUCCAAGUGAUGCAAGGGCGCCCUUUUGAAGACUCUGAUAAUGUCAUGCAUCCAAUCAUCCUUGUCAAGUAUUCUGUAUAAAUGGUCAUCUCUCAUUCGAUCUUUAAUUGGCUCCUUCCCAUUAUCUUGUUGGUACAUCCUCGACAAGUGGUCAGCUACCACAUUUUUUGACCCCUUUUUAUCUCUAAUUUCCAUAUCAAACUCUUGUAGUAACAAUAUCCAAUGAAUCAGACCUGGUUUAGCAUCUUUCUUGGACAAAAGAUAUUUAAUUAAAGCAUGGUCGGUGUCCACAAUCACUUUAGAAUACACAAUAUAUGAUUUGAAUUUUUCCAAAGCAAAUACUACGGCAAGCAGCUCCUUCUCUGUAGUUGCAUAAUUUAUUUGAGCCUCAUUUAAAGUCUUGCUAGCAUAGUAAAUUGCGUGUACCUUCCCUUCUGUUCUUGUCCAAGUACUGCUCCAACAGCAUAAUCACUUGCAUCGCACAUUAUCUCAAUGGGUAGAUUCCAAUCCGGAGGUUGAAUGAUGGAUGCACUGAUAAGUGAUUGCUUUAAAGUUCUGAAAGCAUAGAGACAGUCUUCAUUGAAUUCAAAGCUCACAUCUUUCUGUAGAAGUUGUGUUAAUGGUUUUGUUAUCUUCGAGAAAUCCUUAAUAAAUCUUUUGUAGAAUCCGGCAUGUCCGAUAAAGCUUCUCAAUGACUUGAUGUCUGUUCAAGGAGCUAACUUUUCCACAGUUUCAAUCUUCGCUUUAUCAACUUCUACCCCCCCCCCCCCUCUAAGAUGACAUGCGCCAGCACUAUUCCUUGCUUCACCAUAAAGUAGCACUUCUCCCAGUUUAGAACUAAAUCAACUNNNNNNNNNNNNNNNNNNNNNNNNNNNNNNNNNNNNNNNNNNNNNNNNNNNNNNNNNNNNNNNNNNNNNNNNNNNNNNNNNNNNNNNNNNNNNNNNNNNNNNNNNNNNNNNNNNNNNNNNNNNNNNNNNGCGUUGAAUUGAUGUGGGCGCAUUGCAUAGACCAAAAGACAUUCUUCUAUAAGCAAAAGUUCCAUACAGACAAGUGAACAUCAUCUUAUGUUGGUCAUUCGGAUGUAUAGGAAUUUGAUCACUAUCCUGUCACUAUCCCCUGGAGAAUUAGCUCAUUCUUCUCAUUUGUCACAACAGUCAAUCUAUCCUUCUUUGGCACGCAAUGCACUGGGCUUACCCAUUCACCGUGUGGUACUGGAUAGAUUAUUCCAGCAUUAAGCAAUUUGAUCGCCUCCUUCUUUACUACAUCACGCAUAGCAUGCUCAAUCUUCUCUAGUUCUCCACAACUAGUUUGUAUUGAUCUUCUAAUUGUAUUCAAUGAGUGCAUAAGGUUCGAUUGAUUCCUUUCAAGGCUUUGAUUGUAUAUCCAAUCACUUUCUAAUGUUUUCUUAAUAAAUUCAGCAGCUUCUCAGUUUCUUCCUUCCUCAACUCGUUGUUGAUAAUGACUGGAUAUGUCUUGUUGUUCCCCAAAUAUUCAUAUUUUCAUCCCUUGGGUAAUGGCUUCUGCUCAACAUCUGGUGCUUUAGUCUCUUGCUGCUCCAAAUCUCCAAUGUCUUCAAAUUUUUUUGCUUCUAAAGUUCCGUAUUGCAGUGAUAAUGCUUCGGUUGCUUCUGCCAGUUCAUCAUCCUGACCACCCUCAUUGUUUUCCAUUGCUCUUAGUAGAGGAUCCCUGAAAUUUUCAGCAAAACAUACACUUUCUAAUUCCUCGUUAUCAGGAAGUAGAGGUAGGGUUUGUUGAGAAGCAGGCAAAAAAUUAUAAGUGUAUUUGGCACUGCCAAGAUUAAUCGUUACUUUGUCCUUCCCAGCAUCAACCACAACAUUAACCAACUUAAGAAAAGGUCUACCAAGGAUAAUAGCAUCAUGGCAAUCAUCAAUAACAAAGAAGUCAGUUGGUAUAACUUUUCCCGAGAUAGCAACAUCUAGAUCUCUAUGCACACCUAGAAAGACUUUCCGUAUGGUUGCACGUUUCACUAGAAAGACUUUCCCUCAAGUCGGUCUUUAUGUGAUCGGAGUAAGCUAUUGGGACAGGAUCCUCUACCGAGGCUGCCCUCUUACUCCCUUGUACUGUCCUUAAUAGUUUCUAACUCUUUAGUUGGUAAUUUUAGAUUUAUCUCAAAAACUCACACAUUGUGUUUGCAUAUUCCUAGGGAGUUCUAUCUUCUAAAAUGAUGCUCGAUCAUCGAUCUAGUCAUGAUCGGGGUAAUUUAUGGGAUUUUUUGCUAGAAGUGGCUUCAUGUCAAGGCGAGAAAGAGAACAGAUGUGGGUUGCUUCUGUAGGUUUGUAAAGAGAUGAAAGUUAGAUUAUUAUCUUGGUAGAUUUUAAUAUCUAUGAAUACAAGGGGUACGUGCUAGGAAUUACCUUCAUUAAAAGUCCUUAGCACGUUUUCCUAGGUUGACUAGAGCCCUGGCUUCUCAAUCUUCAGGUCUUCCGCUUCUACUUCUUGUUGGGGUCAUUGGAGCUUCCACCAGGAUCUCUGGAGUCCGGAUCUUCCAUUUCUUGUCGCAAUUCGAGCCUUACCAGGCUAACGCAUCUACGCAUCUGCUGGACGGCCAAAAAUUUGACUUCACAUAUUUUUUUGGAUCCUUGGCUUCCAACCGGGUCUUGGUUGUGUCCUCGCCUCCAACAAGCAUGCAAUCAUACAAAUAAUUCUAACAAUCAAUUUCUUGCAAUCAAUAUAUGACUAAAGGAAAUGGAAAAAGAAUGGAUGAUGGAUGCUUUAGGAAUUAUCAGAUUUCUAAGGAUAAUUCCAGAAUAAUUGAUGGAUAUCUUAUCCAUUAUUUAGAAAUAUUUCUAAAUAAUUGAUGGAUAGGAUAGUUGGAUUUCUAGGAUAAUUUUAAUAAAUUAAUAAUAGAUUUUCGAGCAGUACGACCGCUAGGGUUUUGUUGAUAUCUAGGGUUUUGAUUGGGCAACAUAUCAACUAGGUUUGGUUAAUAUAGGAGGUUUGGAUUGGGUACUAUAACGGCUGGGUUUUGGAAUGGAUCCUAAGUGUGAUUCGGGCGCUAGGUGUUGUGAAUGGAUUUCAAGGCUAGGAAACUUGCAUGACAAGCUCGGCUUCGACCCUACGACGGGUGGAGCUAGUCAAGUUUCCUUGGGCUUGGGUUGGCUGUCAGGCUUGAGAGUUUGUGCGACGGGCAUCACUUCGACCUGACCUGGUGCUAGAAGUUAGCAACCCAGCGAUAGGUGGAGCCAAGCAAGACCAAGUGGAAGCUAGAGAGCUUGCACGACAAACUCACUUCGACCACUAGGGUGGAGCUCGGGCAAGAUCAAGUGGAUGGAAGUUAGAGCUUGCUUGACAGACUCACAUCGGCCACUAGGGUAGAGCCUGGGCAAGGUGACCAAGGAUGGGCAUGGGAAUAGGCUUGGAUGGCUCUAAGAUAUUUUAAGGAAUUUUCCUAGGGUUUUUGGAAGUGAAAUAAAUGAAAUGCAACUUUUGGUGUGCACUUUAAGAGGGUUUUUCUACUAUGUAAGUAAGAAAAGGAUAUUUUGGCGAAGGGGUCAUAUGAGGUGAUCAAUGGGAAAGGAACACAUGGAUAGGUUUGGAAUAUUUUGGAAAAUUUUAGGAACUUUUGGAGUACAUGAAGGGCUCUAAGUGAACUUGUGUGUGCAUUUGGCUAGGUACGCAUAGCAAUUUCAGGAGCGCUGCCGCAACAGGGCGGGGCUGCGGGUACUGUGGUGUGGAACCGUGGUCACAACGAGCGAGCUGCGCAUGUGCAGUGGGCCGAGGUAAGGCAGGCUGAGCGAGUGUUCAGAUUUAUUUACCGACACAAACAACAACCAGUAAAAUCAACAAAUCAAGCACAAGAGAUACAAGGAUUUAUUUACCAAAGUUCAGAUUCCUUCAUCGAGGAUUCCUACAUCUCCGUUGGGUUCUUCCAAUAAAGCCGAGUCACUCUCAACCCUUUCCCCACUUCAUAUCUUGAUUUCUUCCCCUACGGAGGCGAAAUCAAAGCCUUCACAAACUUUUCAUGGCACACCACAAGCUUGGGUACUCACCAGGUGAUGCCUAGCCAUCUUGGAGGCUUGACCUAGCCACUCAAUCUGUCAAUCUGUCCACCCAACGCAUUUUUCUCUUCAAAUCUGAUAGGAACACUCAAGCUCUAGUAACAAAAUGGAGGGGAUGGAAACACAGAAGCGUAGUGGUGGGUGGAUUGGAUAAAACUAGCUAGAAUCACUUGAAGAUCACUCAACAAGAUCAACUAGCACCGAAUAUUACUCUACGGUUUUCUCAACUAGGAUAACUCGGAGAUUACUCGACGAGAUCAAUUAGCACCGGAGGUUACUCUACGGGUUUCACAAGGAAGAGCAACACUCAAUUCUCGUAUCAUAUCAAUUCAUCAACUCUGCACAACACAUUGCAUAGCAUCCCUUUAUAUAGAGAGGGAGAGACAGACACUUAAUACUUUGAACUCUUAGAAAAAUUAAAUGGACACUUAGGAACUGACUCCCUAAUUACUAGUCUUAGACUCUAAGAUACAUAUGACUCUUGGGAAACAAAGAGAUAAUAAAGCAACUGAAGAGUCUUGGACUUUCGCGCGGCUUCCUGGCAGCCUGCACACUUUACACUAAAAUGACCAUAACUCUUGACUCGGAAGUCCAAAAGAUGCAUCGUUUGUGGUGUUGGAAACUGUGCCAAUUAUUUCUCUCUUUUUCAUUCUCUCUUGGCUUAUAUCCAAAAUCAUAGCAGCCGUUGUUGAACAUUGAACUCAGAUCCAAAAAUUCCAUACAUGGAUCCAAAAAAUUUUCACUGAUAUGUUUGUCCUCAAAAAAGAUAAUACUUGUUGGCGCAUAAUAGAUAGAAACUUCAGGAUUAAUGGACAGAAAAGUGUUCGUCUCAUCACUUUGAAAGAAAUCAUCCAAUAUAUUUUCAUUAACAGAUUCAAUAGGAUCAAAAUCAAUGGAUAUAUUUUGCUCCUCAUCAUAGAUAGGUGGCAUGCAAUAACACCACUUCUUGGAGACACCAUACGAAUCAUAAGAUGCCAAACCAUAAAUCUUGCAACAAUGAUAGUCCAAAACUUCCCAUUUGCUGCAAACCAAGGACAUCAAGUUGAUCAAAAUCAGUACCUUCAUAACCAGUAGCGCCAUGAAGAGCAGCUUAACAUCCAGAAACAUCACAACCAGUAGGAGCCCCACAAGCAACUUGAUGGCCAUAAUCCUCACAGCCAGCAGUGGCACGACCAACAACCUCUUGACGAGGUACUUCACAACUAGCAGCCUCAAGACCCUAUAAGCGUUCUUGUACUUGACGAUUUUCUUCUCCAAGACCUGCAAGGAUCACAUCAUGGUGAUCAUGCUCUUGGUUGGCAAUGUCGUUGUCGGAGUCUGCUUGAUGACGUUGAUGACAAGCCAUCAACCUUAAUCCAGAUGAUAGAAAUCUUGAAGCAUGGAACAAUAGCUCUGAUUAUCAAAUGAUAGGAACACUCUCACUCUAGUAACAAAAUGGAGGGGAUGGAAACAUGGAAGCAUAGUGGUGGGUGGAUUGGAUAAAACUAGAAUCACUCGGAGAUCACUCAACAAGAUCAACUAGCACCGGAGAUUACUCUAUGGAUUUCUAAAAUAGGAUAACUUUGAGAUUACUUGAUGAGAUCAACUAGCACUAAAGGUUACUCUAUGGGUUUCACAAGGAAGAGCAACGCUCAAUUCUCAUAUCAUAUCAAUUCAUCAACUUUGUCCAACAAAUUACAUAGCAUCCCACCCUUUAUAUAGAGAGGGAGAGAUAGACACUUAAUACUUGAACUCUUAGAAAAACUAAAUGGAAAUAAAGAGAUAAUGAAGCAACUGUAGAGUCUUGAACUUUCGCGCACCUUCCUGGCAGCCUGCACACUUUCCACUAAAAUGACCCAUAACUCUUGACUCGGAAGUCCAAAAGAUGCCUCGUUUGUGGCAUUGGAAACUUAACUCAUAGGACUUUCUAAUGAUGUAUCAUAUGAAUACGGAAACCAAGUAGAUCAGUACCAGAAAUCCAUGAAACUUAGAGAUGUUGCUGCAUGUUCUUCCAACUUGUGUAAACCACCACCAUUUCAUGUAACCGGUUGGUUUACCUUCCCAUGAGGAUAUCAAAAUAUCUUGAAAAUCUAGAGAGGGGAGAGCUUCUUCGGUCUGUGAAUAUGUCUUUUUUGUGUGGGAAACCAGUAGCAGCUAAUGGGAGGCGGUGAGUGGUACAAAUACCUAUCCCAAAAAACUAGCUGUUGGGCUGUUAAGUUCCAGAAUCUCUGGAAAAAAUCUCCGAAAACUCUGGAACCCUAAAACUAGCCAUUAGAUUCAAAAAGUUUCAAACACUACGAAAAAUCGUAAAUUUGCCGAGUGUUUUUUCCUUUGUCGAGUGUUUUUUUUCGGACACUCGACAAACAAGCUCUUUGCCGAGUGCCGAGCUAAAAACACUCGGCAAAGAAAAAACACUCAACAAAGAGGGGCUUUGCCGAGUGUCAAAAACAAAACACUCAGCAAAGAGGGGCUUUGCUGAGUGUUUUAUUUUCACACUCGGCAAAGAAUUUUUUUUUUGAAAAAAAAGUCUUGCCGAGUGUCCAGAUUGGGACACUCGGCAAAUGUCAAAAAUAUAUCUCCCGUCCCCGACCCCCCUACCCCAGCACCCCACCCGCCCGACGCCCCCCUCCUCUUCCUCCGCGCAACACCGGCCCCCACCUCCCUCUCCCUGCCGCCGGCUAGCUGCCGCUGCCGCCGCCCCUUCCCUCCCUCCCUCCCUCUCCCUCUCCCUCUCCUACCGGCGCCCCUCCCCCUCCUCUCCCCUCCUCCCUCCCUCACGCAGCCGCCCCCUCUCUCCGGUGGCGACCUCCGGCCGCCGCCCCGCGCCUCCUCCCCGGAUCCGGCGGGGACUCGCAUCGGGGACGCCGGAUCUGGCGGGGACUCGCGUCGGGGGCCCCGGGAGUGGCGGUCUUCAAGCGGCGGCGUGGAGAUGUGGUGGUGGUGGUGGUCGGCGGGAGGCAGCUCGUGGUGGUCUGCAGGCUGUGGUGGUGGUGGUGGUGGCCGGCUGUGGUGGUGGCAGCGGGCGUGGAUGGUGGCCGGCUGUGGUGGCGGUGGCGGCGGUGCGGAUCGUGGCGGCGGGCGUGGAUGGUGGUGGCAGGUGUGGAUGGUGGCCGACUGCGGUGGUGGCGAUGCCGGCGUGGAUGGUGGCAACGUGCUGGUGGUGCUGCCGACGGUGUCGGCAUGCCUUUUUUUUUAUUUUUUUCAAAAAAAUUGUUUGCCGAGUGUUUUCUGGGCACUCGGCGAAAGCUUUGCCGAGUGCCCGACCGAAAACACUCGACGAAUGUUACUUUGCCAAGUGCCAGAUGCCGAGUGUAACACUCGGCAAAUUUGUUGCCGAGAGUAUUUUGGGUUUCGCCGAGUGCUCCUGGCGCUCGGCAUAAAACCUGUGUCCAGUAGUGGAAAUCUCCACAAAAAUCUCUGGAAACUCUAAAUAUUUUUGUUCUCUCAAAAAUCUACAGAAACUCCACAAAAUUCUCCGAAAUCUCUGCAACUUACCGAUUCUCCGUAGAAUUCUCUGGAAUUUCCGCAAGUCCACUGGACAACAUAAGUCACCCAAGAGAAAGGGAUCUUGGACUCUAAGGAAAUCUUGUUCAAAGAACUAUCCAGUCCAAUUUAAAACAAGCCACCAGAUCACUCAGUGCAAGUGUUGUGACAAGUGUUUCUCUCAUGUUAAAACUUGAAAGGAUAGGUUUGAGCACUAAGGCAUAGGUGAAGCAAUCAUUGCAUCCCUCUCGAUAGCACGGCAUUACAUAUACUCAAGAUCAAAAAAUAGACACAAUAUCAACCACUUGAGCUUGAAUACCUUCACCAUGCUGCUUUUCUUUAAAAUCACACUUUGAGGUGUUUGCAAGCAUUUCUUUCUCUUUCUAUCGGUGUUUUAGACCGGCAACCCGCCUAGGGGUACCCUAGGUGGUCUUUUAUGCGGUAAGGGUCGUCGAGAAUCAAGGAAUCAAUGGUGACACAAGGAACACGAUUUAGACAGGUUCGGGUCGCUAGAUCGCGUAAUACCCUAUGUCCUGUAUGCUUGUAUGUAUUGAUCUUAGAUGCACUUGGAGUUGUUCUGUUUGAGGGGGGUCCCUGCCCGCCCUUAUAUACACGGGAGGGCAGGGUUACAAGUCUGAGUCCUAGUCGAGUACAAUUACAGAGUUCUACUCGGUAUGGCCCGAGUAGUUUUCCAUAUGCAUACUUGACUAGUCCGAGUGGAGAAGCCUAUCCCUUUGUCCUGAUCAUAUCCGAGUACGUCCCUUAGUGGGCUGUCCAAGGUCUACUCGUGGGCCUAGGGUGCAUGCUCGACAAGCCCCCGAGUACUUUGUAGUCGUGCACUGUAGUCUUGAGUACUGUGGGCAUUAUCUGAGUAGUUCUUUUGUAGAGGUUGCGGUGUCCAAAGUGCUCGAGUAUUGUUCGCGUGGCUGGAAGGUACUCUUCUUGCUCCUUUGAGUUGCUUUUGUUCCGAGAAUUUUUUAUAUGGUAGUGCGAUGACAAUCGUACUCCAUAUGGAGUAGCCCCAGAGCCUUAGGUUGAGUCGAAGAGUCAGGCUUAGGGUCAAUCCUGCUUCUUGGCUGUUUUACUCUUGGUAAUCUGAAAAAGAAAAUUCUGACCAUCGGGUACGGUACCCGCAGCCCCCGAGCACUUAGGCAAUUUUUUUCGUUGAAGUGGUCAAGACCCAUUGAACAGAGUAUCCGUUGGGUGUUUAAGGCAAUUAAUUUGUUUAAAAACCCAUCCGUUGCGUAACUAAUGCUUGGAAUCCGGAGGUGGCGGAGAUAUAAUCGGAGGGCCCCCUUUCAGUUAGGUUUACGCCCCACUGUAGCAGAUCUGUUUCUCUUCUUCCCCCACCUUUCCAUUCCUGUUUUCCUCCACCGUGAUUGUCUAGCGCCGCCGCCACCGUUGCUGCUCCUCUGAGAGAGGUCCGAGGUUGAGUGCAUUUUGCUGCGGGUGAAGCCGGUGGAUGCGCACCAAGAAGAUGGGGAAAAAACCCGAGAAGGCUCAAGGCAAGGCUCCUGCGGCGGGCAAGGUGAAGUCCAAGAAGGGGAAGGAGGUGGUGCUACUGGCGCCGAAGGUAGGGCCGACAAACCAGACUGCGCCGCUGCCGCCUGGAGCGAUGUGGUAGCAUUCGGUGAUGAAGGAGGCGGCCAUUCAGGUGCUUGUCGAUGCCAAACUUCUGCACUCGAAAUAGGUACUCGAGUGGAGGCCUACCUUCGCUGACGCGUGGCAAUUCGAGAAGCAUCCGAAUGAGACGGUUAUGCUUGCUCACUUUGUGGAGAGGGGGUUGGCAGUGCCCACCUCCGACUUCUUCAGAGGUAUUCUUGAGUACUACAAGCUUCAACUUGUACACUUGAACCCCAAUGGUGUACUGCACAUGUCUAUUUUUGUGCACCUUUGUGAAGUUUACUUGGGAGUUCCUCCUAGUCUUGAGAUGUUUAGGAAGUUGUUCCGUAGCAGGCCUCAACCUAGUGCUGUUAGGACAGAGGUCUUUGGGGGCGCUGGGUUCCAGCUCAGGAACUCAGGCGCGUAUAUUGAAUAUAACUUGACUGACUCCCAUGGGAAGUGGAAGAAAAGGUGGUUUUAUAUUGGGAACCAUAACCCUCGCUUGCCGGUGGUCACUGGUCAUGCGCCGAAGCACGCAGAGAAUUGGGUGAGCGAGCCUGAAGAUAGCCCAGAGCUCGAUCACUUAAUUCCCCAGAUUGCUGAGUUGAAGGCACUCGGUUUGACUGGAGUCAAUCUGGCAGCCAGCUUCCUCAAGAGAAGAAUUCAGCCCUUGCAAAAGCGGGCGCACUUGGGUGGGGAGUACUCAGGUUUUAAUGACCCGUCCCGUAUGUCUCCGGAUGAUAUUUCUGAUGAUGAUGUUGAGGCACUGUUGGCCAAGUUCUUUAGGAAUUAUCAAGGAGUACUAGUUAUUCCUUCAACGCUUCGUCAGUUUGAUGCUUGGUAUCAGCCAGAAGUGGUAUGGUCUUUCACUUUGAGUUGUACUUUUUGAACUGUUCGGGAUAUUGUUUGAGUGUCGACUUGCUUUUGUAGUCCCGAGUUCUUACUGGCUACUUGGUGUAGUCGGAAGAAGAAGAAUCUGUUGUUGAGGAGUCAGAGGACGAGCCCUCUCCUCCUGUGAAGAAACGCUGAGUAGUCCGCAAGAUGUCUGCUGCUAAGUCUACCACGACUUCUCCUGAGAAGUCUCGGGGUGCCAAGGUAUGUAGCUGUGUACUCACUUGUAGCUGACGGAUUUUAACUUGUAAUCUUUGAUCACUUUAUCUGUCUUCAAAAGGCUGACGACGCGGCGCUUGGUGACGAUGAGGCUGCUUCGGAUGAAGUAGUCAUGAGCGCCUAGGGUGUUGAUGUUGUGUCUGUUGAGAAGGUACUAGGGAAGGUGCCACCAACAGAUGCUGGAGUAGCCCCCGAGCUGACAGUCCAAGCUCCAUCGGCUACCGCGCUGCCGGUCCCAGACCAGGCAGUCCUGGGUUUGCCUGCUGGAGUGGCGGACGAUGUUGGGAAAGGAGUAUCACCAGUAGUUGCUACUGGUUCUUUGUCGUCCAAGGUGAUUGCUAGUGGUGAGCUUUCUUUCCCGACUGGUUUCGUUAGUCUGAGUUGUAUUUUAGUCUUGACCCUGUGUUUCCCAGGUCUUGGCGAGAAGACAGAGCCAGCAGCUGCUCCCGUGGCGUCGAGUACUCGGCCACCUGUUGCCGAGAAGAAGCGUGUGCGAUUGCCGCCACGAUCAACUCGGUGAGCUGUUUAUCCUUGGUGUGUAUCUUCAAGGUUUCUUCAAGUCGUGUAAUGACUUUGUAUUUUGAUGUAGGGAUGCGGAGGAGACUAUCCCUGUGGAGGCAAGAGUAGAUUCGUGUCCCCCGACUACUCUUUCUGCUCCUUUUGAGGAUUUGACUGUCGACAAAGUAUCCGGAGUUGAUGCUAGUCAUCUUGGAGCGUCCAUGUCUAUGCUUCAAGAAGUGAUCCGCUCGGUGGAAGAUCCCCCUGCUGCCUCGGGUUCUAGGAAUGUAUCCUUGUCAGCGUCUACUGGCGGAGAUUUGGCUGUAAUUGAUGCAGGGAAAUCUAAGGAACCAGCUACCCUAGGUAUGUAUCCGCAGUCUUGGUAUUGUAUUCGUAGUAUUGAGGUGGCUGAUGUUAAUCUCUUAGGUACUGCCUUGGGUGCAGCUCCUCAUCUUGCGAAGAGUACUCAAGGUCCAGUAAUCGGGCUCCCGUCUGAGUCAGAGUUCCAGAGAGCUGUCAAUGUUUUUCAAAGCUUCCAGGUGUGUUUUAUUUACUUAUCUAACAGGUUUAGUAACUAGGGGAGUUGACCGUUUGCUUUGCUGUGUAGGAUCUGUAUGACCAAAUGCAAAGGAACACUCGGGCCCUUCAGGAGCGGAACGAGCAAUUGGAGCAGGAGUGUGUCCGACUUGCGGAAUCCUUGAGGGUUCAUGAAGCUGGAGGGAAAUCCUUUGCUGUGGAGCGGUCAGAUCACGAAGUCUUACAGCAAAAGCUAGAGAGCCGCUACAAGUCUUUGAAUAAAAAGUAUCAAGGUGAGUACUUUUCAUGUUCUGGGUAUGUCCGACUAUUGUCGGUUGUGUUUGAACUUGGCCGUUUUUGCAGAACUCAAGAGGAAGGAGGCUACUGCAAGUAGCCAACUCCUUGAUUGGAGAAACUCGCAUGACCGAGUAGCGGAUGAAGCUGAACAUCUUCAAGCCGCGCUGACAGAGGCACAGGCUGCCUGCGAGCAUCAACGGGAUAGGAAGAUCCAGAAUGGAGUGAUGCUUGCUAUGGCCAUAGUGGUGUGCAGAGACCAUGCCCAGACCGUUGGAAGAUUUUGAAGCGAGCUCCAAGAGUUAACUGAUGCCGCUCAAGACUUGGUGAACGCCAUUGCCCCCUUAGAAGAGGAUGCAGGACCUCAAUCACUAGUCGAGCGCUUCAAGGCUGCUCCGGGUAAGGUGGCAGGCCUCUGCAAGGCUGUUUGCAAAUAGCUCCUUGCUAUGGUAAGGUCAUACUACCCAAGGGCAUAUUUUUCAACGGCUGGUGACAGCGUUGCUCGCAAUUGCACAGAGAAAGCCUAUGCGCAGUACCUCGAGGAGGCGGAACCAAUCGCGUCGAAGAUGUCAGAAUUUGUAUCUCUGGAGGAGCCUUGAGCGUUUAUGUACUCUUGUAAACUUUCGAGUACUUUGAAUGAUAUUGUGUCUGAGAGUUGAACACUUGUCUAUACUUUGUUGUUUGAAGUGGGUCUGACCCAUCAUGGGUAAGGAACGUUUUACUCUAUCUCACCUGACCCAAGGUCCCAUGGAUAGACACGCCCGACCCUAUGAGGAUGGAACUCCGCCUUGCCCGACCCCUUGCCGUAAGGCUUCAUAUCGCCCGACCUCGGGUGUAGGGAGUCGGACUCAACUGGGCCCCCAGGACAAGGAUCCGCUACAGGCACAACCCAGGUUUUGGCAGAAGUUGUUCUGAGGAUUGAGUUUGAGUAGUCACGAUGUAGUCGAGUAACCUUGUUAUUCUGUGAAUAGGAGGUGCACGGGUGUACUGUACUCUUUUGUCCUUCGUGGCAUGAAUGCUUUCACGUGGGCAGUCAGAGAUCAUCCAGACUCAUCGAUCACGGGCGCAUAGUAAAUUCUGGGUGGUUGAUGGUUGCAGCCCUUGGCUAUAAAUAGACCCUCCUGGAGGUCGACCCUGAAUCAAGCUUUGAGUAGCGCUAGAUUGCCUUCGGUUGCUGUUGUUUGAGUGUAGAGAGCCUUCAAAGAGUACACCGGUGCUAGAAGAUUCCUCGUAGGUCCCUGCACAGACUCUAGCGCUCAUAGGGAUAGCUGCGAUGCUAGAAGAAUCCUCGUAGGAGGUUUCAUCGCUGUCGUUUUGGAGUAGCUUUGGGAUCAACAUUUAGAGAGUGUUCGAUCAGCUCCUUGGGCACACCGGGCAUGUCAGCUGGUUUCCAAGUGAUGAUAUCGUGGUUAGCCCAAAGGAAACUGAUGAGCACGGAUUCCUAUUUAGGAUCUAGCCCUGUUCCAAUCAGGGCUGUCUUGGAGGAGUCACCCGUCUGGAGAUCGACUGGUUUGAAGUCUUGCUUGCUUGCGGGUUUCACCUUUGUAGACCCCGACUUGUUUUCUGGGAUCUCGAGUUCGGUUAGAUGGAGUUUCUUUGAAGCUGUGAAGACUUAUUGCAUGGGACUAGGUGUUUGAGAAGUCGCAGCGAUCUCCACGGCUUUAGUGUCGCAUUCAUAGGAUCACCGUAGAUCUCCCCGUAGCGUUAGUUCUCCCUUGGGACCUGGUAUUUUGAGUACCAAGUAAACGUAAUGUGGUAUAGCCAUGAACUUGGCGAGUGCUAGCCUUCCGAGUAUGGUGUGGUAGGAUGUCUCGAAAUCGGCGACUUCAAAUAUGAUAUAUUCGGUGCGGUAGUGUUCCUUAGUUCCAAAGGUAACUGGGAGGACAACUUGUCCAAGUGGUAUAGCUGCAUUUCCAGGUACGAUGCCAUAGAAGGGUGAAUCUGUUGGGGUCAACAUUUCUGUGACGUCGAGGCACAUCUUUCUUAGUGUUUUGGCGAAAAUGACAUGGAGUCCACUUCCACCAUCGAUGAGUACCUUUGUCAGCUUUGACCCUGCCACAAUGGGAUCGAGUACUAGAGGGAAUCGGCCUGGUUCUGAGAAUUUUGUCCACUGGUCUUUUCUGCUGAAGGAUAUGGGUACUUCGAACCAUUUAAGUGGUGUUGGAUCUAUUGGCUCGAUGGCCAUGAUUUUCCUGAGUACGAGUUUGUUGGCUCGCUUGGAUGCAGUGCCUGGGAUUCCGCCAAACAUGACGUUGACUGUCUUGGAGGCGGUCUGGAAGUCGCCUUCUUCUUCGUCGUUGUGGUUGUUCUUGCCCUUGUCCUUUUUCUUGUUGUAUUCUUCAGGGGGUGGUGGUGUGGGUAAGUCUUGCAUGACUUGACGCAUGCUGUAGCAAUCUAUUGCCGAGUGCUUGCUAGUCGGGUGCCAUGGGCACUGCUUUUUGAGUAGCUUGGUGAAGGUUGGCCCUUCAUCGUUUUUACGGGAUCCCUUUUUCCCGGAGUUGGUCAUGGCAGCAACGGUGUUGUCGGGCUUCCUUUUGCGAUUCUGAUUACUCGAAAAGUUAUUUCAAGUAUCAUUGUGCUGAGUUCUAUCUUGGUCAUUGUUGUUGUCGCGUCCUCGGUUGCGAUGAGAGCCAAACCAUUCACGCUCUUUGUCUUCUUCAUCCGCCCACUAUUGCACCAUGACUUUGAGGUCUUUGACGUUAGCUGGUCAUCAUUGACCGAAGUCUUGGUAUGUUCGCCGAUCAUAGGGUCCGUUCUGGAAACACUCGAUGACGUCUGUUUCUGAAAUGUCAACUAUAGUUGCCUUCUUUUCGAAGAAUCAUCUCAAGUAGUCGCGUAAGCUUUCACCUUCUUUCUGCUUUAUUUGACUCAAGUGGAUCUUGUUGCCUGGUCUAGCCAUGGAGCCAGCAUAGUUGUUGGUGAAAGCCUUUGUCAAAUCUGCCCAAGAGUCAAUUGACUUGGGUUUGAGUGACUCAAGCCACGUCAGUGGUUCGGGUUCCAUGCAUAUGGGAAAGUGGAUGACUUUGGUGUCGUUAUUGCCCCAAGCUGCUUGAACUGCUAGCGAGUAGCAUCGUAGCCAUUGAAUUGGGUCUUGUUUGCCAUCAUACUUGGUGAUUCCUGUUAGCUUCAACUUCUUGGGUAGUCUUGUCUUCAUUACCCUAUUUGUGAAAGCAGGAAAGUGGUUGUAGUUGUCGACUUCUCGCUCACGCCAACUGUUGAGUAUUUCUCGUAGAUCACUAAAGUUUGACACUUCGUGUUUCUUCUGAGUAGGGUGAAUACUUUUGUUGGCGCUAGAAAUCAGCCGAUUGAAUCUCUAGCGUCGGACACACGACCCGGGAGAAUCUACUUAACUCCUGUUCCGGUGAUCGCCCUGGUGCGGUUCGCGCGACGUGCCAGCCAAUCUGACCUAUUGAUUGGCACGGAAAGAAACGUGUCAGGUCCUAGAGGUUGCGAUCGGCUAAGGUUCCGAUCUUGAGAGAGCUUAUCAGCGAAUGGGUCGAUUUGCUGUAAUAAAGGAAUCGGCUAUAAUACAGCCGAUUACCAGGCAACAUUGGUAAAGAAAACUGCUAAGAGUAAACUAAACAACGCUACAGUAGCAACACUAGGAAUAGAUCUUAAUCGGCUAUGCAAAAAGUAGUAAAUUGAGCAAUAAGAUAUAAAAAAGCCGACAGUACUAAUUCCAAGCUGGAUAACUGGUGAUAAAACUAGAACAACAGGAAAAACCUAGAAUUCUAGUGAUUAUCGAUAACUGGUGAAUAAAUCUAAACGAAACGACAGCAAUGUGCCCGAAGUUAAAGCUUAGAUAUUACUCGAUAAGAGGAACUUACAGAAUCGGCCGGAGAUCAAGUUGAUGCAGCCCCGCCAACCCGUACGAACUCGUGAAAAGAAGAAAAGUAUUGGCGAAGUCGCCUGCUCGAAAGUAAAGUGCGAGGAAAUAGUAGUUUGUUGUAUUGAUUUGAUGAUGAUUACAGAUCUAUGAAAGCGGCUAUUUAUAGCCAGUUGCAACCAAUCUCUUAACUGACUAGGACUCUAUCUCUAAUUUUAAAUGAAAACAAAUAUUUACAAGCAUAAUUCUUAUCGGAGUUGGUCAUCGUGUUCCCACGGGCCGAUCUCCUUUUUAUCUUCAUAGCUCACUUUAGGCCCAUAUUGGCCCAACUGCUCCAACCUCCCAAUCGGCCAAUUUUCACCAAGUCCAUCCGCCGAAAUACUACAGCACCAAUCGGCCGAUCCUCAAUUGUAGCACCAAUCGGCCGAUUCCCAAUCGUGACCUCCGUGUUUCGCCGCAUAAGUUGAUUCCUUCCCUUCUUGACGUCGAUUUCAUAUGUGUAAAAAUCUGGCGUCAACACAUGCCCCCCAGUUUCGGAGUAAAACAUAAUCUUUACUUCGAAAUUCCUUUCAACUUCCCUUCCGAAACAAUUGCAUUGAAAAUACACUUUCGUUUCGCGGUCUUCUGCCUGAUGAUUGCAAUCUUUUCGAAAUGGGCGCCCACGACAACCACUCCUCCCAAAAAAAUCGAACCGUCGGCGUGGUAAAAAUUCCGCUUUUACCCUUUCUCAGACCGCCCUUAGAUAUCAGUACGUCCCGUACUUCUUCUUCACGAGCCCACGUCUUCCUUCUUUGGCGCACUGGCCUCCUUCUUCCGGCGUCUCUUUAGCCUCUAACCUCUCACUUCGGCGAGUUCUUCCAUCUACAUUCCACCCCACCUUCUCGAUGGCGACACCUUCAGGCACUCCACCAACAUCCGAGGUCCUGGAGACGGCUCCAUCAGCAGUGGCUCCAACAGCAAUGGCGGCAGCUCCAUUGGCAGGAGCAGGAGCUCCAUCGGGCGGGAGCGGGAGCUUCAUCGACGACCACAAUGAGCUUCAUACCAGAGGUUUCUACCAAAACUUUCCUUUCCGCUCCUCUAUGUCGAUGCAUUUACCUUAGAUCUGUUCUUACUUCCCCUUCCAUUCUUUACCUGUUUAGGCGGUUAGGCACAAGAUUACUAUUCGCCUCACCGAAACUCCCGGCCUUAUCUGUCUUGGUCCCAUGGGAAACAUAGAUACAACCGACCUAAUCAAUUUGGAAACCCAUAGGAUCCCUUUCAAGCAAUCAACCAUGGACCUAGAUCACUGGUCAGGUACCUUCAGAUCAUGGCCGAAUGAAACCCCCAGCUGGAGGGAAUGGUACCAAUGGAUAGCCGCCUUAAAAAGAGUUCAAUGGGACGAGCCUUUAGUAAUAGCAGCCUUAUCUUUGUCCCAAAUGGAAAGGAAUGAGCCUUUAGUAAUAGCAGCCUCCUACUUUUGGUCUGAUGCCCUCAACGCAUUCCUCUUAGGACACGGACCUAUGACCCCUACCCUGGCCGAUGUGGUCAUGUGGAUCGGCCUUGAUAUCUCCUCUCCCGAUACUCCUUUCCGUUACUUGGCCAAAACAUCCCAUCGGCUGGAGACGAAAGGAAUCGGCGGGUGGAAAGGAUUCAUCAAGUGCAACAGAAGGGCCGGGACAGUCCAGGAAAGAGAGCAUGCGGCCUUCUUGAUGAUGUGGCUAGAGAAACACCUUUUUUGCGGGAGGGCAGCCGGUCCAUCCACUAACACACAGGCUCUGGCCGAGACACUAUCGAUAGGGGCCUCUGUUCCUCUUGGAAAGCACCUAUUGGGAUCGGUUUACCAUAUGUUGCAUCAGAUCGGCGUCAAGCUAUCCAAAGGAGAGCCGAUUGGAAACCCAGGUGGACCCUGGUGGUUCAUCAACUUGUGGCUUAAUCUGUAUAUUAGCAAGAUCUCCCAGCAGCGAGUGGAGUACAUGACGUUCCCAAACAUCGAAUCGGCAGAGAAUCCCACUGUACGGCGCCGGUGUACUUCCUUCGGUGAAGCGGCAUCGGCCUUCUCCGGUUUCUCAUAUUCUGUUGCCAAGGUGGCCGAAUACUUCAGAUGCUUCUACAAUGGCUUUAGUGAAGACGCAACCAGCUGGUUCCCUUAUCAAAGGGAGGAACCACUCUUCGAGCUCCCGUCCUGUUUUGACUCGGCCACCAGCAAAUUUGAUGAGGACCUCACAGAUGAAUUGAUCAAGCCGGGGAUCCUGCCGGCGAACUUCUUCUCGGGGAAGGAUGCCCCCACUUAUGAGUUUUACCAUCCUUCCGUCACAGCACGGCAAUUCGGCUUGGGUCAACUGCCGAUUUAUGCAUACUUCACCGGCCGAGCAAAAUUUCGAGACGAGCUCACCAAAGGUCUCCACUACUACGAUCGGAUUCUAGACUCCAGCACCAUAGACUUGGCCAGUUGGAUAGUAGCCCCUUUCGCUGUUCAGCAGUUCAAGCUAUGGUGGGUGGAAUGGAAGCAACAUCUAUUCUGCGCCUCUACGGCGAUAUAUUGUAAUCUCCUGAAUCCCGACAACAUCGAUCCGAAUGCCGAGGUAUCGCUCUCUUUCUGGCUGAUUUUCAACUCCUUUUUUUUUAUACUGACUCUUAUUAUUAUUUCAGUCUGAGAGCCAUGCUCCCCCAAAAUGCAGUCGGAGUGGUCGGUCGAUAGAGGACCGUUAUCCAUACACAGCAUUCCCCCUCAUCGGCUAUCACGCCCCCUCCGUUGAUGACAUAGCCGGCCGAGCGAAGCAAGCGCAGAAAAAGAUUAUCAAGAAGACAAGUCGCCGAGUACGCGCCCGCACAGAAUCGGCCGAUCCACCCGUGGUUGCAUCGGCGGAAAUUUCGGCUGCGCCGACCCUUCCAGUCGCUGAAGAAUUUGACCUCCAAGCUGCUACAGAGGCCGGAGCAGCUGCCGCGUCAUUAUGGGUGGAAGCUAUUCAGGUAAACUCACCAUCCAAUUUUCCUAACAGUCAUUUCAAUACUGUCCUUUCCUUUAUUAGGCCGCGCAGACUCCCUCAGCAGAUCCACAGCAAUCUGCAAUGCCCCAAGCAGAAGUUGAAAUACCAGUGCCCCUUCCCGUUGAGGUACAUGAUCUCUCAACUCAAUUCUUUAAUAUUUGAAUGAUGAUCCUACCAACCUUGAUGCAAGUCAUCGGCACAUUAACUAUGCUAUCCGACUAGCCAUCUGCCAGAGAAGUCCUUCAAGAGGCCGGCCCGAGCAGAACGCCGAUCGUUGUCGAAUCCUCUUCUUCCGAUGAGCCAAUGGCACCAGUCCCCGAGUCGAGAGUGGCUGUUCCGCAAACACAGAUGGAGGAGAUCCGUUUCAAAGAGGUGAGAAGUCAUUUGACCCGCAUUGACCGAUUCAUCACCACCAUCGGCUGACUCAUUUUCCUUUUAUUUAUCAUUCACAGGAACAGGACACUCCCAAUAAUAGCCUCUUCUCAUUUGCGGUCGCGCUCUCUGAUGACGAGGAAGUUUCUUCUUGUCAAGUUACUUUGAGCUCCAUCCCCGAUGAUGUCCGCACUAAGCUCGAAAGUAUAUGGUCCCUUCUUCAAGAGGACAUCGGCCGAUUGGUGGAGGACGCCUCGCCGAUUUGGCAGCUCUUUGGUGAUGUCAGCGGGCAAGUCCCAGAGGAAGCAGAAGAAGCCUUAGCGCCGGCCGCUUAUAUCGAGUCGAUGCGGAUCCCGAUCUUCAGGGCUCUGCGUCACAUGGCUGAUAGCGCCAAGCUGGCUAAGACUCAUGAGGAAGAGGACUCGUACAAGCAUCGGGCCCAGGAGGUACACCAUCGGAUUCACUUCCUCGAGAAUUCCCGACCCGGACUCGUCGGCACGAUAGAUCGCCUCAAGCGCCGAAGGGCGGAACAUGCCAAGGAGAUGGAGCAGGUAACCAAAGAAAUAGCUAUUGAAGAGAAGAAGCUUCAGGAACUCCCUUCCGUUAUCGCCGAUUUAAAGCAGGAGAGGCAGCAUCUGGCCCAUGAGGCCCUUAGACUCCAUCGCCAUAUGUCAGAAGUUCCAGGGUCGGCAGAUGAUGACCAACGAGUCUUGGACUCGGCCGAUCAGAUCAGAAGUCGAGCGAUUGCAGCCAUUAACGCCCUUCUGGGUGAUCUGUAAAAGUACUGGCCAUUUUGUACGAACAUUAAUGCCUUUUGACUGUCCUUCGUGGCGCUCUCCUAUUUAUUACCCUUUUUACUCUGACAGGACGCAUCUUACCAAACCUCCGCGCUUCCUCUUAUUAUAAAUACCGGCCCUGGUUUCGCUCUUGAGAAUACCUGCUCCACUCUAUUCCUUUUUCCCCGAUUACGUUUCCAUCGGAACGUUCGUAGUCAUGUCUUCUUCGUCUUCUUCUUUCUCCUCGCCUUCUAUCAAUCAGGUACGAGGUCCGUCUCCGCCCUUUUUUCAGUUUGAUCCCUUUAAAUCAUUCCAACUUUUAGGCGGCUAUGUGCUAACUUUUUCAGCCAAGGCACCUUAGCCCUGAACUCGAAUGAGCAAUCAAACUCGUGCACUCUGACGAGUCAUUGUCGCAAGAGAACAAGGACUUGAUCAAGGCACACCGUGAAGAACUCAGAGAUCACGUUCCUGCCGACGUCCAACGGAUCUGGGACUUCAUCGAUGUCAAUGAUUACGGGAGACCGCAAGUUGACAGGAGCCACCCACUUCCUCUUCCGGUUGUUCUUGAAAACGUCGCGGUAGGGACAUCGCACCCGGUGAUGGAUCGGAGCCAUCCUCUUCCUCGCCAAGUUGAGGCGGAGGCCGCGAUGAGAGAUGUGGCAGAACGAAGCAUUCGCCUUCUGAUAGAAUUAGGUAGGAUUGAGAGGGAACUCAAGAAGAAGCGUAGUUGAGUAUUUUUUGUUCUAAGGACGAAGUGUACUGCGUCGGUCGUGUAAUUCAUCGUUCGUACCGAAUCACAAAUCGGCCAAUUUGAACGAUUAUUUUUCUCCUUUAGGCGAUUUCUUCUCCCGUAUCGGCUGUGUGAUCAUUCAGGGAGCGAUCUUUCUGUCUUAUGUUCCGACCCAUAUACUGGGGUAAUACCUUUUCAAGUACCUCCCGUUUAAGGCCCUAGUAAAUUCUUCUCCUUCGAUCAUUUCCAGAAUGUAAGCGUUUCCCAGGGCACAUCGGCCGAUUCUAUACGGCCCUUCCCAAGUGGGAGACCAUUUACCGAAUUUAGGAUCUUUUGAUCCAAUCGGCAACACUAACUUCCAUACUAGAUCCCCUUGGGAGAACUGCUUGACUUUGACCUUCUUGUCAUACCAUCUGGCCACUUUCUUUUUGUUUUCCUUGAUACUGAUCAAGGCUCUCAAACGUUGGCCCGCCAAAUCGUCGAGUUCCCUAUUCAUGAGCGAGGAGUAAUCAUCGGCCGUCAGCUGAUCUUGAAGCGACGUGCGUCUCGACCCUGUUCUCAACUCCCAUGGCAAUACUGCCUCAUGACCGUACACCAAUUGAUAAGGAGACACCUUGGUAGCCCCGUGGCAGGCCAUCCUGUAUGCCCAUAGAGCUUCGGUUAGACAUAAGUGCCAUUUUUUGGGUUGUUCUUCGAUCUUCCUCUUGAUCAACUUGAUUAUCCCUUUAUUGGAAGAUUUGGCCUGGCCGUUAGCCUGAGGAUAGUACGGGGAGGAAUUUAGCAGCUUGAUUCCCAUAUCGGCCGUGAACUCCUCGAACUCUCCCGACGUGAACAUCGUCCCUUGAUCAGUUGUGAUAGUCUGAGGGAUGCCGAAACGAUAGACAAUAUGAUCCCUCACGAAAUCGACCAUAGCGGCCGAUGUUACGGCCUUUAAUGGAACCGCCUCCACCCAUUUGGUGAAAUAAUCUGUGGCUACCAGAAUGAAUUUAUGUCCUUUACUUGACGGAGGAUAAAUUUUUCCAAUGAGGUCUAUUCCCCAACCUCUGAACGGCCACGGCUUGAUAAUUGGAUUCAUAGCCGACGCGGGCGCGCGUUGCACAUUCCCAUAUUUCUGACAAUCUUGGCUUCCUUUAUAAUACUUGAAACAGUCCUUAAGGAUUGUCGGCCAGUAAUAUCCAUUAUUCCUAAUCAUCCACUUCAUCUUAUGCGCCGAUUGGUGGGCUCCACACACCCCUUCGUGCAUUUCUCCCAUCAGGGUCUUUGCCUCCUCCGUCCCUAGGCAUUUGAGUAGAACACCAUCAAUCGUCCGGUAGAACAAAUCAUUUUCCAAUAACACAUAUUUUUGUGGCCUGAAAUCGUAUUCGCCGAUCCACUUUCUUAGAUGGGUCUUUUAAAUAAUCGGCGAUCUCUUUUCGCCAGCCGUCGGCCGCGAGUUCCAGAAUCAUGGCGCCUUGAAUCGGCCGAUACCCGAACGCGUGCUGAGCCAGCCUGUUGGCUUCUUCAUUGUAAUCCCUGGGGAUAUGCUCAAUAACUGUGGAUUUGAAUUCUUUCAGAAGUUGGAGGCAAUCCUCAUAGUAAACCCUUAAUACAUCAUCUUUGCACUCGGAUCUUCCUAUCAAUUGGUCCACGAUGAGCAUGGAAUCUCCAAAAACAUCGAUGGUGUCGGCCUUAAUUUCUCUUAACAAUUGUAACCCUUUCAGGACAGCCCGGUAUUCCGUCUGGUUAUUAGUGGCGGAUGCUUCUAUCGGUAGAGAGAAAUCAUAGCUUGCCCCCUGAGGUGAUAUGAGAACGAUGCCGAUUCCCGAUCCGGCCCCACAUGAUGAGCCAUCAAAAUAUAAGGUCCACGGUACUGGUUCCACGACAGCGAUUUCUGGUCCGCAGUGUUGGGCGACGAAAUCAGCCAUAACCUGACCUUUGAUGGCGUUUGCCGAUUCGUACCGUAGAUCAAACUCUGAUAAAGCCAAAAUCCACUUUCCGAUCCACCCUUUCAAAAUCGGCAAUGACAGCAUAUACUUUACUACGUCAUCCGUGCAUACAACCACGCAUUCUGCUGAUAACAAGUAGUGCCUGAGCUUGGUGCAUGAGAAGUAAAGACAUAAGCACAGCCGCUCUACCGGGGGAUAUCUUGAUUCGGCGUCCAAAAGUCUUCUACUAACAUAAUAUAUUACCCGUUCCUUUCCUUCGAACUCCUAGACUAGUGCCGAUCCGAUAGCUCGCUCAUCGGCCGAUAAAUACAGCUUGAAUGGCUUACCAGUUUCUGGUGGGACCAAGUACUGCUUGAUGUCUUCUAGUGCCUUGCGUUGCUCUUCUCCCCAUACAAACUCUUGGUUGGGUUUCAAUUUCAACAACGGUGUGAAGGCCUGGAUACGUCCGGAUAGGUUGGAUAUGAACCAGGCAACGUUGGUAAAGAAAACUGCUAAGAGUAAACUAAACAACGCUACAGUAGCAACACUAGGAACAGAUCUUAAUCGGCUAUGCAAAAAGUAGUAAAUUGAGCAAUAAGAUAUAAAAAAGCCGACAGUCCUAAUUCCAAGCUGGAUAACUGGUGAUAAAACUAGAACAAUAGGCAAAACCUAGAAUUCAAGUGAUUAUCGAUAACUAGUGAAUAAAUCUAAACGAAACGGCAGCAAUGCGCCCGAAGUUAAAGCUUAGAUAUUACUCGAUAUGCGGAACUUACAGAAUCAGCCGGAGAUCAAGUUGAUGCAGCCCCGCCAACCCGUACAAACUCAUGAAAAGAAGAAAAGUAUUGGCGAAGUCGCCUGCUCGAAAGUAAAGUGCGAGGAAAUAGUAGUUUGUUGUAUUGAUUUGAUGAUGAUUACAGAUCUAUGAAAGCGGCUAUUUAUAGCCUGUUACAACCAAUCUCUUAACCGACUAGAACUCUAUCUCUAAUUUUAAACGAAAAUGAAUAUUUACAAGCAUAAUUCCUAUCGGAGUUGGUCAUCGUGUUCCCAUGGGCCGAUCUCCUUUUUAUCUUCAUAGCUCACUUUAGGCCCAUAUUGGCCCAACUGCUCCAGCCUCCCAAUCGGCCGAUUUCCACCAACUCCAUCCGCCGAAAUACUGCAGCACCAAUCGGCCGAUUCCCAAUCGUGACCUCCGUGUUUCGCCGCAUCAGCUGAUUCCUUCCCUUCUUGACGCCGAUUUCAUAUGUGUCAAAAUCUGGCGUCAACACAUACAUAAUGAUGGUAUUGUUCCUACUUUCAGGAUGAGGUAUUUACUAUUGAAGCAACAAUAAAUGAAAUUAAUGCAACAUAUGGUUGGUACUACAUCUCAUGUAGUAGAGGCGAUUGUAAGAAGUAACUUGAAAAGAUGUUUGAUCACUACUAUUGCAAUAAAUGUGACAAGAGAGCCUAACCUAAAGCACGGUAAAUUAGUUAGUAGUUUACAAUCUUAUUAUAGUACUUCUAUUUCUAAUAGGAGAAUAAUAUUUGCAGAUUCAAAAUUAAGCUUCAAAUAAGUGAUCCAACAGCAAGUGCAACUUGUGUACUUUUGACAAGGAAGCAGAAAUGAUAAUUAAUGAAUGAGCAGAUUCGAUGAUCACCUCAGUUGAUCAUGAUAAUAAGUAGCUACCAAAAUCAAUUCAGAAAAUAUGUGAAGAAACAUUGAUUUUUCAAUUCAGAUUGACCGAGUACAACUUGACAAGUUUUAGACCUGAUUAUACUGUUUCAAAGAUAUUUUUUCCAAAAGAGAAGAGCAGUUCUAGAAUUGGUAUGGAAAGUGUAAAAAAGGUAACACUUUAUUAUUAAGUUUUUAUUGCACUUUUUUCUUUUGAAUCCUUAAUAUUUAAUAAUUUUACUAUAUCAAUGAAACAAAUUCUAACCUAAAUUUACAACUCAAACAAAUGCUACAUGAUAACUACCGAGAAUGAAGAGGUAGACACUGAUGACUCUUUUACCAAGAAAGUAACAUUCGUAGAAGAAGCCAUAAGGACUGGGGAAAGAUUGGCUAGAAAAGUAUACUCACUUCCAUCUCAGUAUUCAUUCUGUUUACAAUACAUGCAAAAAAAUAUUAUUCAUGCAAAAUUGCAGGUCUACUAAGCAUUAAAGGAAUAGCGGAUAGUGCAAUAUCUAAUUUGAGCAGCAUGCAUUACAAAGUGCUCUACUGCAAUUAAAUUAAAAAACAUGAUAUAUGUUGAAUUCUUAGACUUUAUUAUUAUACUUUUCUAUGUGACAAUUCACAAUUUUUUAGAAAAUAGAAGAUCCCAGAAGAAGUGAUCAUGAAAAAAGGUCUAUGCCCAGCAAUAAGAAAAAAAUGCAAGCAUAGAAACAAAUCCGUAGAAAACAUAGAAAAUAAGGUACUCCAUAAACAAAAGUAUUCUCUUAUAUUUUUAUUAAAUAUUUCUUUAACACUUGACAAGUUCUUUUUUAGGAUCAAUAUAUCAGCAAUUCAGAUGUCAUUGGAGAUGAAAACCUUAGUUCGUCCAAAAGGUCAAAAAAAACAUCUGAAGAAAGGUGUUUGGCUGAAAAGGAAAAGCAAGAAAGUUGUAAUGCAGACAAACACAUGCAGAAAAAUAUAAAAACAUGUAAUAGGGAGGCAGACCAAUCUUGCAAUGAGGUAUAGAUAAAACGUGAUACACGACCUGCCUACCUUGUCGUGGAUACCCCAAGAAGAUGUCGUAGAGGUGCAGACCAAGCUAGCAAGGAGGUCGAAACGUGAUACACGGCCUGCCUACCUUGCCGUGGAUAUUAGCCCUAAGAUCAUUCUACUGUUCAAGGAAUAACACUCAAUGCUGCUGCUGCUGCUGACCUGGCUCCAUAAAGUUAUACUCCUCUAGGUGCUUGCACUAACUUUAUCUGAAGUAUUAUUCUCUCUGCACUGUAUAUAUGGUUAUGGAGUUUGCUGGAGUAUCCGGGGGGAAGAACCUACAUAAUACGUCUUGGAACUAACUGACAUUGAUUCACAGACAAACUCUACAAGGUGCUGUUGUUGCCAUUUUAGAGCAUCCAAAGGACUAUAAAUAACAUAGUUUACCAUAUACCAUAUACCAUAAUAUGUUAGCUAAAAUAAGAGCAUACACAUGUUGCAGGAGUCCAAAAGCACCGGUUGAGGACCAGGUACAUUGAAUUACUAGAAAAAGACAGGGGACAAGGUUUAGGUAACCACAUGAAACAUUUGAAUUUACUGUACCAUGAACACUUAGUUACCAUGCUGGGAGCACAUAGUUAACACUAACAUUUAGCCACUUUAGAUCAUCCCGAAUCACCAAUGACCCUCAAUAGUGACAAAUUUUGGUUUAAAUGCCGUCACCAAUGAUCCUCAAUAGUGACGUAUUUAGGUUUAAAUCCCAUCACUAAUAACCCUCAAUAGUGACCUGUUUUGGUUUAAAUCUCAUUACCACUUAUCCUCAAUAGUGACGUGUUAAAACACGUUAUCUCAAUGGCAAAUCAUUGGUGACGUGUUUUAAAAAAACAUGGCACUGUGAGAGUCAUUGGUGAAGGGUAAUUAAAAUGCGUCACUAAUGUUGUAGCAUUAGUUAUGAUAAUUUAGUAAUGCAAAAAUCUACCAUCAGUAAUGAGCUUUAGAGCCAUCGCUAAUGUGGGUUUCUUACAUAGUGAUGCAAGCUCUACAAGGUGCUGUUGCUGCCAUUUUAAAGCAUCCUAUGACUACAUGUUAAUAACAUACUUUACCAUAUACCAUAAAAAUAUUAGUUACAAUAAGCACAUACGCAUGUGGAAGAGUCCGAAUGCACCGGUUGAGGACUAAACACAUUUAAUUACUAGAACCAAAUGUAUGUCCAGAACAAAGACAGGGGUCAAGGUUUGGGUAACCGCAUUAAAAACAUUGGAUUUUACUGUACAUGAACACUUAGUUACCAUUACCAUGCCUUGAGCACCUAGUUACAACAAACAUUAAUUUAGCCACUUUAGAGCUUCCAGAAUCGCUAUAAAUAAUAUACAUACGCCGUACCAUGAAAACAUCAAGAAGAGAGACGGAUACAUGGACCACCAUCAAGCGAGUACUGACAGCACGCACAAGAAUACCCAGAACCUGUUAGCUUGUCUGUAGUGAUCUGUUUUCUUCCCCAUAAAAUCCAUGAGUAUUGCCACAAAUAAUGAAAGAGGCUGACCAAGCUAGCAAGGAGGUAGAGCAAACGUGAUACACGGCCUGCCAAGAUUGCCCUGGAUACGCCAAUAAGAGCGACAGAUACAUGGAUCACACCAAUAUGGUGAAACGUAUAUUCAUCACACAAGCAAAGCUGGUCAGUUUAUCCAUGGUCAAAUUGUGGUCUUUGUUUUCACUUGAGAGCUAAUUGAGGCACUAUAAUAUGGGCAGGCCUAUCUUCAACAGACAUGACAGCUACAGGGAACUUGACAUAAUUUGCUGGACCGCCUGUGCACAAUUAUUUGUUUUAUUGUCCUUGCAUAGAAUGCUAAAAUACUCUUUACAAAAUGUUGGAUCUAAUAUUUGAAAUAUAGAGUAGUAAUCAUAUAUUGAUCAACAACUUGAAAUUAUCUGUACAUUCUCGGUGAAGCUGUUGAACUAAUUUUUGCAAAUUAUUAAUUAAUUCAUCUCAUUACGUAAAGAAAACAGUAAGUGGAUAAGAUAUUUCGUGGACCACAUCACUGCAAACAUGUCAUGGAGAGACAGACCAAGGAGGCAGGACGUGAUACACGACUUACCCUAGGUUGCCGUGGAACCGCCAAGAAGAGAUACAGAUACAUGGACCACACCAUCUUGGGAGUAGUGACAGCAUAUAUGCAGAAGAAUACCCCGUGCCUAUUUGCAUGCAUGUCUCAAGUGAUCUGUUUUCUUCAGAAAAUACAUGAGCAUUGCCAGAAAGAAUGGCAAGAGACAAACAUGUCGUAGAGACUUGCAUGUCUUGCCUUGGAUACGCCAAGAAGAGGGACACAUACAUGGAUAACACAAAUCUAGUGACACGUAUAUUCAUCACAAAGGCAAAUCUGAUAAUUUUAUCCAUGGAGCAGACCAAGGAGAAAUUGAUGACGGACAUGUGAUCUCUGUAUUCAGUUGAAAGCUAAUUGAGCUACACUAAUAUGAGCAGGACUAUAUUCAAGAGACUUGUUGAGAGCUACAGGGAACUUGUAAUAAUUUGCUGGGCGGCCUGCGCACAAUGAUUUGUUAUACAUAGUUGAAAUAUUUCAAGAAUUUAUCAACCUCGUACUCUGAAACCCUUGGUGCAAUGUACUCUGCUUUCCGAGGUAGACUGUUCACGUAAAAUGAGGUCAUGCGUAAGACGGAAUCGGAUUGGAUUCGCAGGGAAUCAGAUUUGGAUAGCACCUUUUAGCAGGUUUUUAGUCAAAUGCAAAUUCGGAUCCAGAUAUGGUUGAAUGCGAGUUCAAAAUUCUACUUGGAUAUCCAUUUAAUUUAGGUGAUAGCAAUUAGCACAAAAUGUUGGAAGAACAAAAUCAUAGUUAGACAUACAAUUACAUGUAUUGUUAAAGUAUAAUACAAUACACCAAGAUUAUUCCUUGAAAAUAUUUCUUAAAAAUAUUAUAAUAAAUGAAUACCACCAACAAAUAGUCGGUGGUCACUAAGUUGGAGCCAUUUCUGGUUACUAAUGCGGCCUGCUCCUCGACCAGCGACGACAGCUGAGCUUGUUCCUUCUGACACCAAAUCAUCAGAGUUUUCCCUCCACUACUAUAGAAUGCACCUUUAGCACCAAUUGGGAAAUCUCCUUCAGUAUCGGAUGCUGCAACCUAUGCUAUGAAAAUGGAGACUAAAAGCCUCGGUCUUGGGUACCGGUUGCAUGACGCAUUACUAAAGGAGGCAAAAGAGAAAUGUAACAAAAAAAUAUUUUGAAUUCCAAGAAUGUUUCACUAUUCAAGAUGACUAGCUGAGAGUCAUCAGACAAGAUACUAGGAACGUGGGUGCUUGAAUGCCAGGUGCUGGAGCGCGGCGAGGCAGUCGUCGUAGCCCGCCGGGAGCGGGUGCUCGGGCGCGAGGUGGUACUCGACGGAGACACCGAGCGUUGGGCGCGCGGCGGCGAGCGCGUUGAGGAAGUGAUCGUAGUGUGGCGACGUCGCGGACUCCGCCACGAAGCCGCCGCCGUGGAUGUACACCACCACGGGCAGCUUCGUCUUGCCGUCAGCGGCCACGGCCGCGGCCUAGGGUGGCAGGUAGAGGCGGAUGGAGCAGGAGCCGAGGUCGACGUCCCCGGAGUCGACGCCCGUGGCGGCGUCCAGGCCGGGCCUGACCGGCGGCGGCACGAGCGACGCGGCCGCUCUUGUAAAUCCAGCAGGUCUGUGCGGAGGCGGGCGGCGGGUGGGAGCGGCGGCGGGUGGUGCGGAGGCCGGCGGCGGCGGGUGGCGCGGAGGAAGGGGAGCUGGUGAGUGGUGACAGGGGAGGGGGGAGAGAGAGAGGGGGGUAGGGUGCAUUGAAUGAGGGCAGGAGGUGUAAAGUGCACCUUUUAGUCCCCAUAAACAACCAUAAGCAUCCCAAGAGUUGCUUAUUUACUUAUAAUAAGCAACCCCAUAAGCAAGAGUGAUUGGUUUCAUAAGCAACUUAUUUGCUUAUUUUAAGUUGCUUAUGCAUAAGCAUGUGAAACCAAACAGGCCCUUAACCUAUGGUUGUGGCACACAACCAUACAGUAGAUAGUAUUUAAUAAUGCUAUUCGUUUGGUAUGUGCAGAAGGGCACGCAUGAAAUGUCUGGCCCACGGUAAACAAGUACGGACGCUGCAAAUAAUCUACUCUGCUCGUCCAGUCCCUAGCCUAUAAAUAGAUGCCAUGCUAGCUCUUGUUGUGCUCACAAUUAAUCCGAUUACACACGAGCUUCUCUCCCUGGCCAAGACACAAUCAUAGUAUGAUGAAGAACAUGGCACUAGCCGGCAAUGGUAUGAAGAAGUUAAUCCUCGCUGUUCUCUUACUGUGUCUAGUUAUAGGGCAGAUACAAGUGGAAGCUAAGAGCUGCUGCCCAUCCACCACUGCAAGAAAUAUCUACAAUACCUGCCGUAUCACGGGUACAUCCCGUCCAACGUGUGCAAAACUGUCAGGCUGCAAAAUUAUCAGCGGGGACAAAUGCAAGCCCCCUAACGACCACCUCACCCUUGACCCGGACACUGGUAAAUAAUAAAUUUAUCUCACUUGAUUUCUUUGUGUUUUGAGUCGUUAAUGUAUUUUCCAUCUGAUGAAACGUAUUGGUUUUGCAUUGAAGAGGAAGUUAAUGUGCUUAACUUCUGCAAGUUGGGGUGUGCGUCGUCUGUGUGCAACAACAUCAACGCUGGUAAGCACCUUUUGCUCAGACAGAGAAAACAAUAAUCAUUAAUUAGCGGCAGCUAGAAUCCUAUAAUCUAAUAUAUAUAUAUAUAAUUUUAUCAGCUCUGGGAAAUGAAGAGGCGAACGAUGCCGUUGAGAGUUGCGACCAAGC
This 165671-nucleotide long non-coding RNA is filed under the name Setaria italica (foxtail millet). RNAcentral describes it as "long non-coding RNA (SITA_LNC004628)". Lineage: Eukaryota; Viridiplantae; Streptophyta; Magnoliopsida; Poales; Poaceae. The record is from RNAcentral.